RNAcentral lists this long non-coding RNA (109980 nucleotides) under Hordeum vulgare. RNAcentral describes it as "long non-coding RNA (HVUL_LNC002023)". The record is from RNAcentral. Lineage: Eukaryota; Viridiplantae; Streptophyta; Magnoliopsida; Poales; Poaceae.
GGGGAAUGAAUGGAUCAAGGAAGGGAUGGACGGAGGAGACGAUGUGGAUAGUGGUGGUGGGUUAGGCGAUACGUACGGCAGUCGGAGGAGAAGGAAGGCCCUGGAGAUCGAGGGAUCCAAAGCCUUCCCACAGAGGAGAGAUGGAGGAAGGAGAGGGUAGGAGAGGGAGAGGGGGAGGCUAAGUUUGGCGCGCGGGAAACCAGGAGGCCUGGGUUGGACGUGCGGAGCACCACGUACUUUUUAAGCCCGGAGCGAGAGGGAGGGGAGGGGAGGGGAGGGGAGGGGAAGGGAGGNNNNNNNNNNNNNNNNNNNNNNNNNNNNNNNNNNNNNNNNNNNNNNNNNNNNNNNNNNNNNNNNNNNNNNNNNNNNNNNNNNNNNNNNNNNNNNNNNNNNAAAAAAAGAGGAGGUGGGAAGGGAAGGAAGGACUCCCACCCACCAAACCAAGUCCAACUAGGUUUGGGGGGGAGCCUUCCCCCUUGGACUCGGCCGACCCUCUUGGGGCUCCUUGAGCCCCAAGGCAAGGUCCCCUCCCUCCCACCUAUAUAUACGGAGGUUUUAGGGCUGAUUUGAGACGACUUUUCCACGGUAGCCCGACCACAUACCUCCACGGUUUUUCCUCUAGAUCGCGUUUCUNNNNNNNNNNNNNNNNNNNNNNNNNNNNNNNNNNNNNNNNNNNNNNNNNNNNNNNNNNNNNNNNNNNNNNNNNNNNNNNNNNNNNNNNNNNNNNNNNNNNNNNNNNNNNNNNNNNNNNNNNNNNNNNNNNNNNNNNNNNNNNNNNNNNNNNNNNNNNNNNNNAGAGUGCCGUCACGCUGUCGGAGAACUCUUCUACCUCUCUGUCUCUCUUGCUGGAUCAAGAAGGCCGAGAUCAUCGUCGAGGUGUACGUGUGCUGAACGCGGAGGUGCCGUCCGUUCGGUACUAGAUCGUGGGACUGAUCGCGGGAUUGUUCGCGGGGCGGAUCGAGGGACGUGAGGACGUUCCACUACAUCAACCGCGUUCACUAACGCUUCUGCUGUACGGUCUACAAGGGUACGUAGAUCACUCAUCCCCUCUCGUAGAUGGACAUCACCAUGAUAGGUCUUCGUGCGCGUAGGAAAUUUUUUGUUUCCCAUGCGACGUUCCCCAACAAAUAUCACCUAGCUUGAUAUGUUCACGAAUGAAGUGAUGGCGAAUAUCAAUGUGCCUAGUCUUGCUGUGUUGAACCGGAUUGAGAGAAAUCUUGAUAGCACUUUGAUUGUCGCAUAGGAGAGGCCCUUUGUCACAAGUGACACCGUAGUCCUUUAAAGUUUGCCUCAUCCAUAGCAACUGGGCACAACAACUUGCAACUGCUACAUACUCAGCUUCGGUGGAGGAUAGUGAGACACAAUUCUGCUUCUUUGAAGACCAACUUACCAGUGAACGACCAAGGAAUUGGCAUCCUCCAGAGGUUGACUUCCUCUCCACACAGUCUCCUGCCCAAUCUGAGUGAGAAUAGCCCACUAGGUUAAAGCUUGCUCCUUUGGGAUACCAUAGACCAAAGUUUGGGGUAUGAGACAAAUAUCUAAAGAUUCGUUUGACAGCCAUGUAAUGGCUUUCCUUUGGUGUGGAUUGAAACCGUGGACAAAUCCCUACACUCAAAAUGAUAUCUGGUCUAGAUGCACAAAGGUAAAGGAGGGAUCCAAUCAUGGAGCGAUAUACCUUUUGAUCCACUGCUUUACCAUUGGGAUCACUGUCAAGCCUGCAUCGUGUUGGCAUGGGAAACUUGACCGGCUUGACAUCCUCUAGCUCAAACCUCUUGAGCAUGUCUUGAGUGUACUUGGCUUGUUUGAUGAAAGUCCCUUCUAAGCCUUGUUUGAUCUCGAACCCGAGGAAGAACUUCAACUCACCCAUCAUAGACAUCUCAAAUUUCUCGGUCAUCAAUGCAGCAAAUUCUUCAUUCAAAGAUUCGUUAGGAGAACCAAAAAAUGAUGUCAUCAACAUAUAGUUGGCAUAUGAACAAAUCCCCUUUGACCCUCUUAGUAAAAAGAGUGGGAUCAAUCUUCCCAAUUUCAAACCCACGAUCUUGUAACAACUCAGUAAGAUACUCAUACUACACACGUGGGGCUUGUUUAAGGCUAUAGAGUGCCUUAUUAAGUUUGUACACAUGAUUGGGGAUCUUGGGAUGUUCGAACCCUGGGGGUUGUUUGACAUAGACCAACUCAUUUAAAGGGCCAUUAAGAAAGGCACUUUUCACAUCCAUUUGUUGUAAUUUGAAAUUAUGAUGAGAAGCAAAUGCAAGCAGCAUGCGAAUAGAUUCUAGACGAGCAGCACGGGCAAAGAUUUCACCGUAGUCGAUACCCUCGACUUGGGAGUAGCCUUGAGCCACUAAUCUUGCCUUGUUUCGAAUCACAAUCCCAUUGGCAUCUUGCUUGUUUUUGAAGAUCCAUUUGGUCCCGAUGACAUUAUGUUCCUCCUUUGGCCUUGGCACUAAAUCCCAGACUUGAUUGCGCUCAAAGUUGUUGAGUUCUUCAUGCAUGGCCAUAAGCCAAUCCUCAUCAUCUAGCGCUUCCUGUACCUGUUGAGGUUCACAAUACGAAACAAACGCAUGAUGCUCACAAUAAUUCCAAAUUUGUUGACAAGUGGAUACUCCCCUUUUCAAACUACCAAUUACAUUCUUCAUAAGACGUGACUUGACUCUCAGCUUGUUCGCAAUCUUGGCUGCGCGACGCUCCAAGAGUUCUUCAUUGGAUAACUGGGGAACAUCGACUUGAUUGCUUUGCUUGCCCUUGCGUUUUGAUCCUCCCUUGGCGCCAGUACCCUUUUUAGGCGCUGCAGAAGGGAAUUGAGAGACAACAUCCUGGUCAACUUGAUCUUCGACUUGAGCAGGUUCACUAGUUUGUCCUUGUUCUUGUGGUUGCUCUUGAUCUUGAUCUUGUGCUUCUAUUUGGUCUGGAUCAUGUGGUUGCACUUGAUCUUGAUCUUGAGCAGGUUCGGAACCUUGGGUGAGUGCUUGUACCUCAUGGGACAUGUCACCAUCUUUAGGCAAUUGGUCUUGUUCUUGAUUUUUUCAACUUGUUGAGGGUCUUCUCUUUGUUCAUCGGAAGCGUGUGGGACUUGUGAGGAUGAUGGCUCCACUUGAGUAGAGCAUCGUCCUCCUUCGGCCACAAGGGGUUCCUAAAUGGGGAGUAUUUGACCAAUCCCCAUUCUUCGUAUGGCUUGGGGAGGAAUUUCAUCACCUACAUUACAAAGACCACUUUGCUUCACUUGGGAGCCAUUAUUUUCGUCAAACUCCACGUUAGACGUCUCCUCAAUGAGUCCGAUGGACUUGUUGAGGACACGGUAAGCAUGAGAGUUUGUUGCAUAAUCAACAAAGAUGCCCUCAUGUGCUCUAGAAUCAAAUUUAGCUAAACGAGCACCUUUCUUGAGAAUGAAACACUUACACCCGAAUACCCGGAAGUACUUGAGAUUGGGUUUGUUUCCGGUGAGAAUCUCAUAUGGGGUCUUGUUCAAGCCUUUGCGGAUAUAGAGCCGAUAGGAUGCAUGACAUGCUGUGUUGAUGGCUUCGGCCCAAAAGUUAUAUGGAGAUUUGAAUUCCGCCAUCAUUGUUCUUGCAGCGUCCAUCAGUGUCCGGUUCUUCCUUUUUGCCACACCAUUUUGUUGAGGGUAUAUGGUGCCGAAUAUUGAUGUUUUAUUCCCUCAUCACCUAGAAACUCAUCCAAGGUGUAGUUCUUGAACUCGGUGCCGUUGUCACUUCUGAUCAUCAAAAUCUUUGCUUCAUGUUGACGUUGAGCUUCAUUAGCAAAGUUGAUAACAGUUUGUUGAGUCUCACUCUUCCUCUUGAAGAAAUAUACCCAGGUGUAUCUUGAGUAAUCAUCAACAAUCACCAAGCAGUACUUUCUGCCCCCAAGACUAUCAAAUGAUGGGGGACCGAAGAGAUCCAUAUGAAGGAGCUCCAACAGUCUCUUAGUGUAAAUGAGAGUCGUUGGACGAUGAGCAGUUUCAUGGAUUUUUCCUUCAAUGCAGGCACUGCAAGCACGAUCUCUGGCAAAACUCACAUUUGUUAGUCCACGAAUAUGGUCCCCUUGAAGGAGACUUUGCAAAGAUCUCAUAUUGACAUGAGCUAGUCGGCGAUGCCAAAGCCAGCCCACGUCAACUUUAGCCAUUAGACACGUCGCAGUCUUAGUGGGUCGCUUUGAAAAUGUCACCACAUAGAGACCAUUUUCGACAUGUCCAACAUAGGAUACUUUAAGAGUCUUGCUCCACAAAAGGACCACAAUAUCAAGAUUAAAGAAUGUGGAAAAGCCCAUAAUUGCAAGUUGACAAACCGAAAGUAAAUUAUAAGCCAGGGACUCAACAAGCAUGACCUUCUCAAUAGAUAACUCUUGAGAGAUGACCACCUUACCAAAUCCCAAUACCUUUGACGAUGAUGCAUCGGCGAAUUGGACAUGGGUGGGCAUAGAUGGGGAAGGAUGCACAUCCACCACUAAGUCCUUGCUUCCGGUCAUAUGAUUUGUUGCUCCACUAUCGAGCAACCAUGACACCCCACCGGAAGCAAACUCCUGCAAUAGAUCAAGGCUUGGUUUUAGGUACCCAUUUUUGAAUGGGUCUUUUAAUGUUAGAGACAAGGGUAUUAGGAACCCAAAUAGCACAUUCAAUGCCCUCAUAGUAAGAACCAACAAAUCUGGCAUAAACAUGCCCAUCACCAGCACGAAAACAUAGGAAGGAUUUAGUUUGUCGGCUGUGUUGGUAGGAAUGGUUUUGCCCUUCUUGAUGCUCCCAUUUUCCACCUUGUUCAUGUUCACCUCCUGAGUCCCUUCGCCCUCUUUGACAAAGAUGUCCAUGAGGGUGGGGGAUCUGUUGUUCAUGUUCUUCCUUUUUUCUUUUAGACUUAGAUGUAAGUCCAAGCCCCUCCUUUCCUACCACACCCUUUUGAUUGCUCAAAAGGUCGUUUAGGCUCUUCUUGCCUUGGAUGAAUGACACAAGGCCCUUCUCAAGUUUAUCCUUCAACUUGGCAUUUUCCUCCACAAGAUGUACAUGCUCACAACUAGGGUUAGUUGUACUAGCAUUAUCAAUUAAAACAAAAGGAGGACAAGUAGAGAUUUCCUUGGUAAGCUUUGCUUGAAGUUGAUCAUGAGACUCUUUCAGGGAGAAAUGACUACCUUUCAAGACCUUGCGAGCCUUGUCAAGUGUGUCAAACUCCAUUUUGAGUCUAUCAUGGUCAACCCCAAGAGCAUCCUUUUCAGACUUAAGCAUACGAGUAAGAACAGUACCAUGACAUACUUUCUUUUGCAAUUUAGCGCAGUCAUCGUUGUAUGACUCCUCAGGAGCCAAACGAAGAGUGCGCUCCGUUUCUAGUGCAAUAGAAAGUUCAGCAAUCUCAUCGGCAUAGUCACGACUAUGACCUUGCAUCUCGGAGAUGGUCUCCUCAUGAGACUCGAUGAGGUCAUUAGCCUCACCCAAUUGUUCCAAAAGGGCAACAAAGUGCCUCUUGGUUUCUCCUUUGAUAGUACACAGAAAUUUGUCAAGAUCAUGCUCAUUAAGUUCCACAACAUCACUAUCAUCAACACAAUUCAACAAUGAGGGAGCACUAGUGAUGUUGGUCUUAAUGCUGGGUGUUACCUGAUUGAUACCUUUGGCCAUGAGGCACUUGGCGAUGUGAUUAUCGUUGGGGGCGUUGAAGAGAGACACAUUCUUGGGAGAAGGAGUGGCGAUAGCGACAGUCACAGUUGCCACCAUAUCAUCAUCAUCAUUGGAGGGGUACUCUUCAAGUGCCACCAUACCCUUUGGAUGGGGUUUCUUGACAAAGUUGUUCUUGCUUGGGAAUGACUUUGUUUUGUCUUUGCGAAUGAGCUUGCCUCCGUUGUCUUCCCUCUUCUCAUAGGGACAUUCCACCAUGAAGUGGCUCACAUUACCGCAGUUAUAGCAUGUCCUCACUCGUUGCUUGGGUUUGAACCCACUUGAGUUGUUCUUGGUGAAGUUGGGUCUUGAGUUCCUCUUGUUGCCCCAAAAUUGCCUUGACGCAAGAGCCAUGUGCUCGUGAUAAGCAUACUUAGUGUCUUCAGGGCAGCUCCCCUCUUCCUCAUCCUCCUCUUCUUCUUCAGAAGCAGCCUUUGCCUUCAAAGCAAGGUUAGGUGAAGCUGUCUUUGACCGAACUCGAGCAAGUGCAUUGUCAGCGGUCUCGUUCAUGAUUUACAUUGCAAUGAAUUCAUCCAACACCUCACUGGAGGACAAGGAGUGGAAAUCUGAACGUUGGCGAAUGACUGAUGACAUGGCUUUGUUGAAAGACAUGAUGGCCUUGAGAAACUUGCGCUUGACCCAUGUGUCAUCCACAUCCUUGCUCCCAUGAUCCUUGAGAGCAACAACAAUAGCAGUCACCCUUCGAUAGAGAUCACGAGGGUCCUCAUCUUCCUUCAUUACAAACUCAUCGGCCUUAUCAAGGACCACUUCAUAGUUUGACCGUUGAAUGCUAGAGCUUCCCUUGUAUAGCACCAUAAUGUGCUCCCAACAGUCCUUGGCCAGAGAGAAGGGGCGCAAGUGAGGCAGAUCUUCAGGCGGUACCGCGGACUGUAGAAUAAACAAUGCGGAGUGAUUAUAUUGAUUUUCCGCUUCUUCUCUUGGAGUGAGGUUGCUUGGGUCAUGAGGAUAGUAGCCUUGAUCGAUGAUUCUCCAUAAAUUUGUUGAGCUGUGAUUCAAAUGAGACUUAAUAGAAAACACCCAGUUAGCAAAAUCACCCUUAACAAGCUUAGGAGGAGGACCAACAGGGUUAAGACGCGGUGUGGGAACAGGUCCUCCAUAGACCAUGGGAGGUGGAACUGAGGCAUAGGUUCCAGUCCCAUCCUUUUCGAGAGAUGAGGAAGGUCGCAUACCUUUAGCGCUUCCUUAGAGGAAUUGGCCUCCGAAUCGGUGAUGGUGGGUUUAACCACUAACGUCGGUUCAGGUGAACUUUUAAUUCCCUCAAUUAACUCUUUAAGCAUGGUCUUGACUUCGUUCGUCAAGGACAUCUUGAGGGCGGCCAUAGCCGUAUUCAAGUCAUCCCUUGUGACCGAGGUCAAGUCCAUGGCCUCGGGUUGCCCAUGGGGAACUCCCUCUUCGCCUUCCAUACUCUUCGGGUGGUGAAACCCUUAACAAAGAGACAUGGCUCUCAUACCAAUUGAAAGGAUCGAUAUGGUUGACUAGAGGGGGGGGGUGAAUAGGCAACUACCAAUUUUUAUCUUUUCUAAAUAAAUAAGGAGUAGCAAUCAUAAAGGUUCACUAACAUGACACUAGGAGGACAACCUAUAUAAUGCUACUUCGCAACGAGUAAAGAAGCACGUAGGAGAUACUCUACAACACAAACAAAUACAAAGUAAAGGUAAGAGAUAACCACAAGUGGAACCGAUGAGGACGAGGGUGUGUUACCAAAGUUCCUUCCCUUUGACAGGAAGUACGUCUCCGUUGGAGCGGUGUGGAGGCACAAUGCUCCCCAAUAAGCCACUAGGACAACCGUAUUCUCCUCACGCCCUCGCACAAUGCAAGGUGUCGUGAUUCCACUAUAGGUGCCCUUGAAGGCGGUGACCGAACCUUUACAAACAAGGUUGGGGAAAUCUCCACACAAAGCUUGGAGGCUCCCAACAAGACCACAAAGCUUCACCACAAUGGAAUGUGGCUCCGAGAUGACCUCAACCAUCUAAGGUGCUGAAACACCCAAGAAUAACAAGAUCCGCAAGGGAUUAAUAGGGGGAAUCAAAUAUCCUUUGGUGGAAGUGUAGAUCAAGGCCUUCUCAAGCAAUCCCUAGAAAAUCAACAAGGUUGAUUGGCUAGGGAGAGAGAUCGGGCUAAAAUGAGCUUGUGGAGCAACAAUGGAGCUUGGAGAGGUUAAAGGUAGGCUCUAGGAAGAAGAAGAUGCCUUUUAUAGUAGGGGGGCAGAUCCAACCGUUACCCACCUAUCACAUAAAUGUACGAGCGGUACUACCGCUCCUGGGAGCGGUAUUACCGCUCAGCUUCUCACCAACCACGGUAGUACCGGGGUACUACCGUGCCACCACCUCCGUGGGAAAGUAUGCGAGAAAAAGCCCGUCGGUGCGGUAGUAAAUUAAUACUACCGCACUGAGGGCGGUAGUACCGCCCUUGGAGUGGUAGUAAAAAACUACUACCGUACUUCGGGCGGUAGUACCGCUCCUGGAGCGGUAGUAAAAGUUUACUACCGCAGCUAGGACGGUAGUACCGCUCCUGGAGCGGUAGUAAGAAUUUACUACCACUCUGAGAGCGGUACUACCGCUAUGCCAGCGGUACUACCGCUUACCCUUUUUCUCAAAGGCAAAGAAAACACAUUGGUGCUCCAUUGAAGCCAAAAUAUGGGUGGNNNNNNNNNNNNNNNNNNNNNNNNNNNNNNNNNNNNNNNNNNNNNNNNNNNNNNNNNNNNNNNNNNNNNNNNNNNNNNNNNNNNNNNNNNNNNNNNNNNNGUCCAUCACAAACGUACACAUGCCGCAAAGGCAUCCUCUAUCACGAACCUCGUGAUCUCGUUGGAUUCCUUAGAGGAAAACCUCAACUCUGGGGGAAACCAAAGCUUCACUGGGAUUCCUAUACGCAAGAUAUAUCGCUAAGGUAAGGCAAGGCUAGCAGGACCUCCCGACAUGUCGACGGCCCCGAUAAGAGCCGCGUAUCUCAGUCUCGGGACACGCCGGAUAAGCGAAGCGUACGGUGGCCAGAGAAAUCUCCCGAGUUGCCCCAGGAUGGCCCCGCACGGUGCUCUAGUUUGGACCAACACUCAUGAGGAGCACUGGCCCGGGUUGUUGAUUAAAAUCCUCGGGGUAGCUAUUCCCUAUGCAGUUUAUUAUCAAGUGAUUAGCAAAUUAACACCAAAGUUGGGUCCUGACGGACAAGCCUUAGCACUACGCGAUUUAUCGAGGGGAUCCCCAUAACAGCCCCGAACAUGUUAGGAGCGAUCAUUAUGGAAUCAAACACCGGUAACCUGUAACUAAGGCGGCAAUAACGGAACAAAGCACCCGGCAAAAGGCUAGGCCUCCCGUCAUCUACCCAGUAUAUAGGUGCAUUAAUUAAAAUAACAGAAUUUAAGAUAAUGAUAUCAAGCUCAUCUUAUCACAUGAGUCAAAGCACCUGCAUCUAGCAAUGCAAACAUUAGUAUCUGAGCUAAGCCUACUUAGCCAUACAAGUUAUGCUGGGAAGGGAUCAGUGUAAUGGGCUCAUGGCAUUUAAAGAGGCAAUUUAAUUCAGUGGUAGGCAGUGAGCAACAUGACAUGGAAACGAAACUAGCAUAACAAGUCUAGAGAUGGAAUCAAGGUCAUAUCAUCUUGCGUGUGAUAUCCUCAGCUUGGACUGGUUCUGGUUCGUCCUGCACGUACUCUCCUGACUCCACGUAUUCGUUCUCCGAUCCCGGUGCUACCCAACAUAAUAAUAACAACCAAUGAACAGCAGCACCACAAGAUGCAACAAACACAUCAUGCAUGAGAUGAAAAAUGAGCAUGCAUCACUAUUUCUAUCACUAGCACAAGCAAAAGAAACUACUAUAAGUUUCUGGACAGAACUGUACACUAGGCUAUUUUGACAUGCAUGAGAAUGGCAUGAACAUAUGCGACUCGUGAAAACGAUGUGAAACCAUAUAAAGAACAUUACAAUCGGAGCUACGGAUCAACGGGAAUCAACGAAACAAGAUAAGAAGCCNNNNNNNNNNUAAUGGCAUGAACAUAUGCGUCUCGUGAAAACGAUGCGAAACCAUAUAAAGAACAUUAUAAUCGGAGCUACGGAUCAACGGGAAUCAACGAAACAAGAUAAGAAGCCCUACGUGUAAGAACCAACACCACACCCACAAUUGGCACAAAUCUGGUAAUCCCAGGUUGCCAAGACAUAUAAAAACCCAACAUGAAUGGAUUGGAUCAAGGAAGAACACCACAACAUCAACUAAUCACCCACAAUCAUCAAAAUGACUAUACUACUCAAUCUGCCAAAAUCUGCAUCUUAGAUCUUUGUGAGCUACAUGCAACAUAGCUACAGCCCUCCAAAUAUGACAAAUAAUAUAUGUGGUUGUAGCCAACCAAGAACACUACAAGCACCAGCAAUAAUCACACCAAAAGGAAUUAAACUCUAGAAGAUACAAGGCCACAAACUUUCCCAAAACCAUGAGAUCUCAGGGACUUAGUGAAAAUUCCUGCACCUGACUUUCUGUCUUAGUUCUGAAGCUUUUGGACAGCAACCAAAACAUAAUCUAGAGGGCUCCAAAUGAGCUGAAAUUUGACAGGGAGCUUCACAAACAUAUCAGGUCCAAAUUCCUAGCACUGAACUAAGGCUGGAUCACAACACAAUGACCAGCACAACCUCAUCUACAGGAGAAGCAAAUGUUUCCAGAUUCUCAGACUUGGUGAAAUUCCAGAUUUCACUAAGCUGGAAUUUUCCAGCGACAUGCCCACUUUGUCUAGGCAUAGCUUGCACACAAAUAACACCAAGUGAUAAAUGACACCACUAUGGUGUAGAGAAAAACCCCUACUAUUACCACACAAAAACUCAUGCCCUUGGGCUCCACUUAUUCCAUGGAAACAAAGAGCAAACUUGCAACAAAUCUGAAUAUGUCAACUCCAUAAAUUAUCCUAAUGGCAAAACUAACUUCACCACUGGAUUCCUUGGGAUAUUCUACCCCAAAAUCAUAUAUAAUAUGUGGGCACUUACUUGGAGCUAGUGACCACAAAUUAAGAAAGAGGAAACUACUUCAAAUCAUGCCUAGUGAAUAGGGCAUCAUUUCAUGUAGUUCCACUAUAUCAACAUCUACAAAGGUUGAGCUCAUGUGCACAAUGACAAAGUGACAUGGGGGUUUGAACCCCNNNNNNNNNNUUUGUGUCAUGCACAUCAACUUCACGACUACUUCUCUCUAAGUCACCCACACACUCACACAUCAUGCCCUCUCUCAUAUGAACAUGAGGAGGUGCACAAGUGUUGCCAAUGGGGCUAUUUCACCACACACACAUAUCAUCACCACAACCUCAUCUAGGUGCACAUGAGGGCUACCCUCUUGCACAAUGAAUGUGCCAACACAUGCACACACCAAGUGCACAUGCACCACAACAUCACUCACUUGUGCAUGCAUAUGCACUAGCACACACACACACACAAGCACUCUAGAGCACACACACUCACAAACAAUAUGCAGGAGGAUAUUACAUAGAGCACCAAAAAAAUAUGCUAAGUUGCUGCCAAGACAAGAGCACAGGAAUUAGACAAGGAAAUACAUAGCAAAAUACAGGGAACAGUAAAAUAAAAGGGGCAGGGUCUGGGAUCAAACCCCAGACCUGCUGGCGUUACUACUGCAGCGCUACCACCCUGCUAAGCUAGCGCACUCGACAAAACAGGGGCUUCACACAAGUCAACAUGCCCUGCUGCGGCAACCACAACACCGAAUACAACCGACAAAACAAAAGGAGGCUUCCCCUGGGAUCGAACCCAGGACCUCUCGAGCACAACCGCAAGACACCAACCACUGCGCUAGUGCAUCGAUGACUUACAAAGAAGGGAACUGAAUCAAGAAAACCCGUGCCUUCAGUCUUCUCUGCACACGCACGCACGUCGGCGACAGGGAGGCCGCCGGGCACGCCUGCUGCUGCUGCUGCGUCACGGCAGGAGAACUACCAGCACAAACAAGAGCUGCGCCUGCUAUGCACCACAUCUACUGCUACUGCACCGCGAUUGCACACUGCAACACUACUAUAACUUCUGCAUCUACUAACAGACAAAGAAGGUACGCGAGCAACUCGCNNNNNNNNNNAUCCGGCGACAGGGAGGCCGCCGGGCACGCCUGUUGUUGCUGCUGCUGCGUGACGGAACGAGAACUACCAUCACAAACAAGAGAUGCGCCUGCUAUGCACCACAUCUACUGCUACUACCACACAAACUACUGCUACUGCACCGCAACACUACUGUAACUUCUGCAUCUACUAACAGACAAAGAAGGUACGCGAGCAACUCGCCCGAUCCAGGCCGGUCUAGGGGAUAGAAGAGAGGGGAGGUGCAACCUCACCUUGGGGAGGAAGUAGGGGCUCGGAUCGGAGGAGGAGUCCGGAUGGAGGAGGAGGAAGAAGCUUGGGGAAGUCCGUGUCUGCAGAACCGAAGAAGAGGAAGUAGACCACCGAGUCCGCGGCGAAGACGUGGUCGGGGCCGUCGGUGCCGUCGUUCCCCAGGGCUCCUAGCGCCGGGAAUUGAGCGCGGGCAACCACCCCGAGCUCCCGGACAUGGCGGACGGCGUCGGNNNNNNNNNNGGUAGACCACCGAGUUCGCGGCGAAGACGUGGUCGGGGCCGUCGGUGCCGUCGUUCCCUGGGGCUCCUAGCGCCGGGAAUGGAGCGCGGGCAACCACCCCGAGCUCCCGGACAUGGCGGACGGCGUCGGAGACGAUGAUGACGGCGGGAUAGACGCGGGCACCUUCUCUGGUCUAUCUACAGAACUUACCAGAGGAGGGAGGAAGAAGAUAAGAUGGAGAUGGGGGAGAGGAGAGGUGGCGGCGGCAGGAGGGAUGGAGNNNNNNNNNNCGAUGACGGCGGGGUAGACACUGGCACCUUCUCUGGUCUAUCUAUAGAACUUACCAGAGGAGGGAGGAAGAAGAUGAGAUGGAGAUGGGGGAGAGGAGAGGUGGCGGCGGCAGGAGGGAUGGAGAGGAACCCUAGGCCGAGGGGGCGCUCGGACACCCAGGUUAUAAGGGGGGACCUCGACGUCCGCGCUCACGGCGUCGGGCGUGCUCUCUGUGGAGCUUGACGGAAAGGAGGCACUGGGAGGGAACGGCGUCAGGGAAAGAAGAAGGCACGCGACCCUUGCGCACAUAGCGAGGGAGAUGGGCCGGCCUAGGUGGGAGGAGCCCAUUGGCGCCACUUAGGAAGAAAAGAAUUCCUGUGUUUUUCUUUUUAAAGAAAAAGCCAGGAGGAAAAUAAAUAAGCAAAGCAAACAAGUGGGGAUAAAAUCAAAAGAAAAUACCCCCUGGUCAUAGAAAAAUAUGACCUAUUUAAAUNNNNNNNNNNAGAGGAAAAGAAAUAAGAAAAGCAAACAAGUGGGGAUAAAUUCAAAAGAAAAUACCCCCUGGUCAUAGAAAAAUAUGACCUAUUUAAAUAAAACAAGAACAAGAUUUUUAGGAGCAAGCAAUAUUUCACAAAACAGAAUUAAUACCUCCGUUUUGUAUUUAUUGCACCUGUUUACAACACUUUUAAAAUCACCAAACUUGCACAACUUAACACCCACAAUAUCCCCUAAACAUUGGACAUUUUAAAAUCAGGGAAGGAAUAGUUGGAGUAAGGAGCUAGGGAUAAAUUGAGAGAAAGGGCCUUCUUUUGAAAACUAGUGCCACCACAAUACUAUUACUACUAGCCACAUGAAAUCACAAGGUANNNNNNNNNNUCAAAGGAUAUUUGAUUCCCCCUACUAAUCCCUUGCGAAUCUUGUUACUCUUGGGUGUUUGAGCACCCUAGACGGUUGAGGUCACCUCGGAGCCACAUUCCAUUGUGGUGAAGCUCCGUGGUCUUGUUGGGAGCCUCCAAGCUUUGUGUGGAGAUUGCCCCAACCUUGGUUGUAAAGGUUCGGUCGCCGCUUUCAAGGGCACCUAUAGUGGAAUCACGACACCUUGCAUUGUGCGAGGGNNNNNNNNNNNNNNNNNNNNNNNNNNNNNNNNNNNNNNNNNNNNNNNNNNNNNNNNNNNNNNNNNNNNNNNNNNNNNNNNNNNNNNNNNNNNNNNNNNNNGAAGUGGAUAUUUGUUCUUGAUUGUCUUCUUGUUCAAUGGGAGGUAAUCGACACACAGCCGGUCCGAACCAUCCUUCUUCUUGACAAAUAGAACACCACAUCCCCACGGAGACGAGCUUGGUCUGAUCAAACCCAAACGCUCUUGCUCAUCGAGUUGCUUCUUGAGUUCCUUCAACUCUUAUGGACCCAACUUGUACGGCCGUUUGCACACUGGCUCUAUGUCUGGCUCAAGCUCAAUGACGAACUCAACUUCACGGUGCGGAGGCAUGCUUGGCAGCUCUUCGGGAAACACAUCUUGAUAUUCGCAGACUACUGGAACUUGCUCAAUAGGAUUGAUCUCGCCCUUUUCAUUCAAGGAGAACAAACGGAUUGUAUCAUCGCGCGCCGCGAAUAUAAUCACAUCCUCCGAAGAGUGGGUAAGCUUCACUUCUUUAGCUUCACAAUCAAUUGAUGCCUUGUUCAUGGCCAACCAAUCCAUACCAAGAAUCAAGUCGAUGUCGGAAUUGCCCAAGACAUACGGAGACGCCAGAAAGGAAUAAUUGUCCAUCUUGAUAGAAACAUCAGGAACUCUACAAUUUGACCUCAUCUGAGCAGCCGGAGAAACAACACCCAAAGGUCUAUGCAAACUUGUCGAGGGAAAAUCAUGCUUGAUGAAAAAUGACUUUGACAUAAAGCAAUGCGAAGCACGAGAAUCGAACAAGACUUUAGCAGGAAAAUCAUUGACUAGGAGAUUACCCAUGAUCACAUCAGAGGAGUUGUCUGCUUCAGCUGCAUUCACCAUGUUGACUCGAGCUGAUCUGGGGUUGAAUUUGACAAGAGCGUUGCUUGGAGGUUUGCCUGGAGGAGGAGGCGGCAGACGGAGCUGAGAAGUACAUUUGUUGGCAUAGUGACCCUUCUGCCCACAUUUGUGACAAGUGACAACUUCUGGCUGACGGAACUGAGUCUGAGGAGGCCCUUGCUUCUGAUGCUGGUAUCUCUGCUGGAAGCCAGGGUUGGGUGGGUGGGAAGAACCACGUCCACCUGAGUGCUUCAGCUGCUGUGAGUGCCGAGGAGGAGGAGGAGAAACCCAAAACAUGUGUUGCUUGUGAACCACCUGAGUCGAGGAAGAGCUGGAAUCUCUGAAGCGCUUCUUGGAGUUUUCCACCCUGAGCACGGUUGCCUCUGCUCGGAGAGCCAAGUUGUAGAACUUGUCAAACUCCUCAGGAUCGUGCAAAGCAAGCGCUAACUGCAAAUCCUCCUUCAGGCCACCCCUGAACUGGUAGAUCUUGCUCUUCUGAUCUGGGACAUCCUGCAACGCGUAACGGGCCAGCUCGUGGAACUCGACAUUGUACUUAUACACAGAAUUGCUGCCCUGCUUCAAACGCGUGAACUUCUCACGCGUCCCCUCAACAAAACUGGAAGGAAUGUAGUGGGACCUGAAGUCACGACAAAACUCGUCCCAAGACAUCACCCUGUCACCUCUGGAGUCCUUAAGCUGCUGCCACCAAAUAGAAGCCUGCCCCUUCAACUGAAACGUAGCAAACUUGACAUAAUCCACAGGACGCACAUUGCUACACUUGAAAUGCUUGUUCAUAUCACGGAUCCAAUCUUCCGCAGCAAACGACUGGUCGCAAGAAGUGAACGUCUUAGGCUGGUUUGACAGGAACUAACUCAGAUUGGCGAAGUGAUUGCCACCCUGCUCAAAAUUGCCCUGCUGAUGAUUGGCUCUCUCCUGGAUCAACUGCAACAGCAUCUGAGUGUUUGCAUUAGUAGCUGCCAUCAUCGCCUGCCAGGCCUCUGCAGCAGGAGGCGGCAGCGGCGGAGGAGGAGGUGGAGGCGGCAUAUCCUCACGUCCUGGGGUCUGACGAGUCGGUGGAGCCAUCCUGAAGACGGACAGUAUAUUAGUCCACAGAAUAAUUGAAGAUAUUGUUGAAUCAAAAGACAGGAAUAUCUGAACAGAAUUUAGCAUUGCACUCGAACAACAUAGCAAGAGUGCAUCCUCAAAGUAACAGACGACAAAAUUCCGAUAAGGACCACUGCAAACAAGUGUGAGCUGGAACUGCUCGGAACAAACAUAAGACCGAGAUUUCCCAAAACCUCAAUCAAGCGUUUGUAGGAAGAUAGACCUAUAAGAUACUACUAGAUAUCCCACCUAUGAAUUCCCGAAAUAACUGGUCAUGCAAUCAGGUACACGGAUACAAGGAGUAUUUCACACAACUCCUAAACUAAUCCGUCACCUGUAUCACAUCCUUCAACACACAACCAGCAUCUCGGACCUUCAACUACAACAGAUCCUCGUGAUCACAACGAUACCAAGUGUGGUAAUACCCCCGAACAAUCUACACCAGUACUGGGGACAUCGGGGUUAUCUCACCACUACCAGUAUUGAAGCAAUAACGAACAUCCUCCGUUCUUAGAUACUCAGAAAUCUGAAUGAUGGCGAUGUGCGCGAUAAUCCCUGGAGCUCAACUCCCCUGAUACUUAGAGCAGAUAGGAGACACCAAGACAGGAUUCCGUCACAUCGAAAUCAUAUAGAUUUCACAAAUACCCACGUGAUCCUAAAAAAAUUUUGAGCGAGAAAAGGAGUAGAGUUAAAGAUUUCCUAAGACGGGAACCUCACCAGAGCAUAGAAGAGGAGAAAAAAGAAUCCUACUCUCCGAUAUAACUAAGACUCAAAACAUUUCUAGACUCGACUCGGCCAAAUACGAUCACACAAAGGCUCCUAUGGUCAUAAGGCUAUGAUUACCAACUUGUAACGACCAAGAUGCGGUCCUUUUCGAUCUCGGGGUUGAGGCCCCAAAUAGGAAAGAAGCGCAUCUAAGCGUUUCGUAAGCAAGUAACAUAGCACAAAUAAUAAUAAAAGUAGACAAUUCGGGAUUCAACUGUCUUCUCAUUAAUAACUCAGAGUACAUCACAGAUACAAUCAAGGUAGUUCCGCUACGGACUACAAAACAUGAAAAUGCUAUGCUACCCUGCCUGCAGGCCCACGAUGACGACCACGCCUCAGUCCUUUGGAUAGUUCACGUAGAGGCGGUCUGUCUCCUCGUCGUACUGCCAUGCCAGCUGAGUGCCGUCGGGAUCAUCUGUCUAUGGGGUACCUCUACCUGUUGGGAGUUUCGGAGGAAUCCGUGAGCCACGGGGACUCAGCAAUCUAAGACCGUGGUGCCAGAACUAGUCAUGUUAUUAGGUAGGGUAAGGGUGAAGUGUAAAAGGCUGCAGCAACCUAAGCUUGAUUUAGUGGCUAACUUACGUAAGGCAAUUAUGAAGGUGGUCUACACUAGCGGUCGUGAUUACUUCAUCACUAAGUGAUCCUGAACACCUACCUACGACAUUCAUAACCCCACCAUGUUCCCGAUCGAAGAGAGAUCUUCGAGGGGGACAGUCACGGUUACGCACACAGUUGGCAAUUUUAUUAGCUUAUGUUUGAGUUCUCUAAUACCGGAUGUUAACAAAAUAUUCCAAGUUGCCACAUAACCGCGGGCACGGCUUUCCGAAAGAUUAAACCCUGCAGGGGUGCUCCAACUAAUCCAUCACAAACGUACACAGGCCGCAAAGGCAUCCUCUAUCACGAAUCUCGUGAUCUCAUCGGGUUCCUUAGAGGAAAACCUCAACUCUGGGGGAAACGAAAGUUUCACUGGGAUUCCUAUACGCAAGAUAUACCGCUAAGGUAAGGNNNNNNNNNNGUCGGAUUCCUUAGAAGAAAACCUCAACUCUGCGGGAAACCAAAGUUUCACUGGGAUUCCUAUACGCAAGAUAUACCGCUAAGGUAAGGCAAGGCCAGCAGGACCUCCGGUGUGUCGACGACCCGAUAAGAGCCGCGUAUCUCAGUCUCAGGACAACACCGUCUAUGCAAAGUGGACAAGGACCAAACCUCAAGUUUCCCUGGGUUGGUCUUGCCGACUGCUAGGUGAUUGGACCAACACUCAUGAAGAGCACUGGCCCGGGUUGUUGAUUAAAUUCCUCGGGGUAGCUAUUCCCUAUGCAGGUUAUUAGGUGAUUAGCAAAUAAAACCAAUGUUGGGUCCUGCCGGACAAGCCUUAGCACUACGCGAUUUAUCGAGGGGGUCCCCAUAACAACCCCGAACGUGUUAGGAGCGAUCAUUAUGGAAUCAAACACCGGUAACCGGUAACUAAGGCGGCAAUAACGGAACAAAGCACCCGACAAAAAGGCUAGGCGUUCCAUCAUUUACCAAGUGUAUAGGUGCAUUAAAUAAAUAACAGAAAUUUAAGNNNNNNNNNNAACCGGUAACCGGUAACUAAGGCAGCAAUAACGGAACAAAGCACCCGACAAAAAGGCUAGGCCUUCUGUCAUUUACCAAGUGUAUAGGUGCAUUAAAUAAAUAACAGAAAUUUAAGAUAAUGAUACCAAGCUCAUGUUAUCACAUGAGUCAAAGCACCUGCAUCUAGCAACGCUAACAUUAGUAGCUGAGCAAAGCCUACUUAGCCAUUCAAGUUUUGCUAGGAAGGGAUCAGUGUUUGGGUUCAUGGCAUAUCAAGAGGCAAUUUAAUUCAGUGGUAGGCAGUGAGCAAUAUGACAUGGAAACGAAACUAGCAUAACAAGUCUAGAGAUGGAAUCAAGNNNNNNNNNNNNNNNNNNNNNNNNNNNNNNNNNNNNNNNNNNNNNNNNNNNNNNNNNNNNNNNNNNNNNNNNNNNNNNNNNNNNNNNNNNNNNNNNNNNNCGUAGCAGCAGGAUUCCUGGCGCCGUUGCCAGGGAAGGUCUGUUGUCGCAGUAGCAGAAGGAUUUCUGGCGCCGUUGCUCGGGAGAAUAUCUAUCCAAGUAGGUGUCACAAACUCAUCUCUUGCAUUUACCUUUUUUGCCAGUUGCCUCUCGUUUUCCUCUCCCCCACUUCACAUUUGCCGUUUUCAUUUGCCUUUCUCCUUUGCCGUUUCCCUUUACCUUUUUGCCGUUUUCCUUUGCCUUUUGCCGUUUUCCUUUGCCAGUUUUCUUACUUGCUUGUGUACUUGUUGGUUUGUUGAAGUCAUCAUGGAUGAAAACACCAAACUUUGCGACUUCUCGAGUACCAAUAAUAAUGGUUUUAUUAGUACUCCGAUUGCUCCCGCCACUAGUGCGGAAUCGUAUGAAAUCAACGCAGCUUUGCUGAAUCUUGUUAUGAAAGAGCAAUUCUCUGGCCUUCCUAGUGACGAUGCCGCAUCCCAUCUCAAUACCUUUAUUGAGCUUUACCAUAUGCAAAACAAAAGAGAUGUGGAUAAUGACGUGAUUAAGUUGAAGCUUUUUUCCUUUCUCGUUGCGAGAUCGCGCAAAAACUUGGUUUUCUUCUUUGCCUAAAAAUAGUAUCGAUUCUUGGGAUAAGUGCAAAGAUGCUUACAUAUCCAAGUAUUUUCCACCGGCUAAGAUUAUCUCCCUACGUAACGAUAUCAUGAAUUUCAAGCAACUUGAUCAUGAACACGAUGCACAAUCUUGGGAGAGGAUGAAGUUAAUGAUUAGAAAUUGUCCCGCUCAUGGCUUGAGUUUGUGGAUGAUUAUACAAGUCUUUUACGCUGGUUUGAAUUUUGCUUCUCGCAAUAUCUUGGACUCCGCCUCAGGUGGAACGUUCAUGGAACUCACGUUAGGAGACGCUACAAAACUCCUAGACAAUAUCAUGACCAACUACUCUCAGUGGCACACUGAAAGGUCACCUGCUAGCAAAAAGGUACACGCUAUAGAAGAAAUUAACUCGCUUAGUGCUAAGAUGGACGAUUUGAUGAAUUUGGUUGCUAGUAUAAAUGCUCCUUUAGAUCCUAAUGACAUGCCACUAUCUUCCUUGAUUGAGAGUAGCAAUGCUAGUUUGGACGUUAAUUUUGUUGGUAGGAAUAAUUUUGGCAACAACAAUGCUUUUAGAGGAAACUAUGUUCAUAGGCCUUUUCCUGGUAACUCCUCUAACAAUUAUGGCAAUUCCUACAACAACACUUAUGGAAAUCACAACAAAUUACCCUUUGAUUUAGAGAGUAAUAUCAAAUAGUUCAUCAACUCUCAAAAGAUUUUCAAUGCGUCCAUAGAGGAAAAACUACUUAAAAUAGACGAUUUGGCUAAGAGCGUUGAUAGGAUGUCUUGUGAUAUUGAUGCUUUGUAAGUUAGAUGUGCUCCUCCCAAGGUCAACUUGGAUGAAACUUUAAAAUCUAUGCGUGUCUCCACGAAUGAGAGCAAAGAAAGAACCACCCAAAUUCGCGCUAGGCAUGAAUGGUUUAAAAGGGUGCGUUCUAGUGAUGCAAAUCACGAAGAUCUUAAAGUGCUUGGUGUGACUCCUCUUGAAUCUUUGUUUUCGCGUGUCAAACCUAUUGAUGAAGGGGCUGGAUAUGAAUCCACUUUGGUUGAAAAAUGCCCCAAUGAUUCGGAGUCCACCUAUCUUGAUGAUAAAGGUGUGGAGAGUGGAGUAGAAGAAAUCAAAUUUUUGGGUAGUAAUGAAACUCCCACUUUGGAUUUCAAGGAAUUCAAUUAUGAUAGUUUCUUCUUGUUUGAAUGCAUUUCCUUGAUGCAAUCCAUUGCAAACUCUCCACAUGCUUAUAGCCAAAGCAAAGCCUUUACCGCACAUAUCGUAGAUGCUAUGAUGAAAUCUCUUGAAGAGAAGGUCGAAUUAGAAGUCUCUAUACCUAGAAAACUUCAUGAUGAGUGGGAACCUACUAUCAAAAUCAAGAUCAAAAACUAUGAAUGCAAUGCUUUGUGUGAUUUGGGUGCUAGUGUUUCCGCGAUUCCAAAGUCUUUAUGUGAUAUUCUUGGUUUUCAUGAGAUUGAAGAGUGUUCUCUUAAUUUGCAUCUUGCGGAUUCUACUGUCAAGAAACCCAUGGGAAGGAUCGAUGAUGUUCUUAUUGUUGCAAAUAAGAACUAUGUACCCAUGGAUUUCAUUGUACUUGACAUAGAUAGCAAUCCUUCAUGUCCCAUUAUUGUUGGUAGACCUUUCCUAAGGACUAUUGGUGCUAUCAUCGAUAUGAAGGAAGGGAAUAUUAGAUUUCAAUUUCCCCUAAAGAAGGGCUUGGAGCACUUUCCUAGAAAUAAAAUAAGAUUGCCUUAUGAAUCUAUGAUGAGGGCUACUUAUGGUUUGAGCACCAAGGAUGACUAUACGUGAUUCCAUGACCUUAUGCCUAGCUAAGGGCGUUAAACAAUAACGCUUGUUGGGAGGCAACCCAACGAAUCUAUCCUUUUUCUUUCUGUUUUGUGUUUUCCACACUUUCACAAUUCUGUUAUGAUUGUGUUUUUUGUGUUUCUUUUUGCGUUUGUGCCAAGCAAAACCGUUAUGAUUAGUCUUGGGGAUGAUCGUUUGGUCAUGCUGGAAAAGACAGAAACUUUCUGCUCACGAAAAGCAUUUUCAUUUUUUUUCUGUAAGAGAUUUUGAGUUGAUUCUUUUUGCUGCUGAUUUCUACGCAAAUUCUUCAGACUGUCAUAAUUUUUAAGAAUUUUUGAAGUGCGAGAAGUAUACGAAGUAUACAGAUUGCUACAGACUGGUCUGCUGUUAACACAUUUUUUUUUGUUGAGUUGGUUGCUUAUUUUGAUGAAACUAUGGAUAGUAUCGGGGGGUAUUAGCCAUGGAAGAUUUAAAAUACAGUAACCCAACAUCAACAUGAGUAGAAUUUAAAGUUUUCUACAGUACCUAAGGAAGUGGUGGUUUGCUUUCUUAUACUAAUGUUAUCACGAGUUUCUGUUUAAGUUUCGCGUUGUGAAGUUUUCAAGUUUUGGGUGAAGUUCUUAUGGAAAAAAAGAUAAAGAGUGGCAAGAACUCAAGCUUGGGGAUGCCCAAGGCACCCCAAGUUGAUUCAAGGAUGCCGUAAAAGCCUAAGCUUGGGGAUGCCCCGGGAAGGCAUCCCCUCUUUCGUCUUCAAUCCAUCGGUAGCGUUACUUGGGGCUAUAUUUUUAUUCACCACAUGUUAUGUGUUUUGCUUGGAGCGUCUUGUAUCGUAGGAGUCUUUUAUUUUUGUUGUGUCAUAAUCAUCCUUGCUGCACACCUAGAGAGAGAAACAUGCACUCACCGUGAUUUUUUCGAGCUUCACUUAUAUCCUUUGGCUAGACAAUUCAGCUCACAUGUGCUCCACUUAUAUCUUUUGAGCUAGUUGCUUUUGCUCUAUGUGCUUCACUUAUAUCUUUUAGAGCACGGAGGUGCAUGGCUUGGUAGUUGAUCUAUGCUAUGAAAGUAGUUUCAAAAGGGGUAGUUAUCCAAAGGGAUAUGAAAACUUCCGCCUUCAUGUGCAUUGAAUAGUUAGAGAAGUUUGAUUCAUCUCAAUUAGUUUUGAGUUGUGGUUGUGGUAAUAUUGAAGUUAUAUUAGUAAGGUGUUGUGGAUCUAGAAAUACUUGUGUUGAAGUUAGUGAUUCCCGUAGCAUGCACGUAUGGUGAACCGCUAUGUGAUGAAGUCUGAGCAUGAUUAGUCUGUUGAUUAUCAUCCUUUGUGUCGCUGUCGGGAUCGCGCGAUGGUUUAUACCUACCAACCCUUCCCCUAGGAGUAUGCGUUGAAUGCUUUGUUUCGAUUACUACUAAAACUUUUGCAACAAGUAUAUGAGUUCUUCAUGACUAAUGUUGAGUCCAUGGUUUAGAUGUACUUUCACCUUCCACCAUCACUAUCUUCUUUAGUGUCGUGCAAUUUUCGCCGGUGCACAAAACCACCCAUAUAGCCUCCCUCAAAACAGCCACCAUACCUACCUACUAUGGCUUUUUCAAUGCUAUUCCGAGAUAUAUUGCCAUACAACUAACACCAUUACAUGUGCCACCACUUCUACAUUGCCAUUGCAUGAUCAUAAGAUAGCUAGCAUGAUGUUUCCAUUGAUGUCUAUGCCAUGCUAGAUCAUUGUCACGGUACACUACCGAAGGCAUUCCAUAUAGAGUCAUCAUUGCUCUAAGUUUUGAGUUGUAAGUGUGAUGAUCAUCAUUGAUGCAUCAUUGUCCCAUGUGAGGAAAUAAAAGAGGCCAAAGAUGCCCACCAAAAAAAGAGGCCAAAGAGCCCACAAAAAAAGAGAAAAAGAGAGAAGGGACAAUGCUACCACCUUUCCACACUUCUGCAUAUUAAGCACCAUGAUCUUCAUGAUUGAGAGUCUCUCGUUUUGUCACCACCAUAUAGCUAGUGGGAAAUUUUCAUUAUAUAACUUGGCUUGUAUAUUCCGAUGAUAGGCUUCCUCAAAAUUGCCUUAGGUCUUCGUGACCAAGCAAGUUGGAUGCACACCCACUAGUUUUCUUUAAGAGCUUUCACAUACUCUUAGCUCUAGUGCAUCAUUUGUUUGGCAAUCCCUACUCAUUCACGUUGAUAUCUAUUGAUGAGAAUCUCCAUAGCUCAUUGAUAUGCCUAGUCAAUGUGACCAUCUUCUCCUUGUUUACCUUGCAACCUCCACCACACUCCACACCACUUAUAGUGCUAAAACCAUGGCUCACGCUCAUGUAUUGCGUGAGAGUUGAAAAAGUUUGAGAAAGUAAAGGUGUGAAAUCAAUUACUUGGCCAAUACCGGGGUUGUGCAUGAUUUAAAUUUGUUGUGCAAGGAUGAUAGUGUAGGGAACGUCGCAUGGGAAACAAAAAUUUUCCUACGCGCACGAAGACCUAUCAUGGUGAUGUCCAUCUACGAGAGGGGAUGAGUGAUCUACGUACCCUUGUAGACCAUACAGUAGAAGCGUUAGUGAACGCGGUUGAUGUAGUGGAACAUCCUCACGUCCCUCGAUCCGCCCCGCGAACAAUCCCGCGAUCAGUCCCACGAUCUAGUACCGAACGGACGGCACCUCCGCGUUCAGCACACGUACAGCUCGACGAUGAUCUCGGCCUUCUUGAUCCAGCAAGAGAGACGGAGAGGUAGAAGAGUUCUCCGACAGCGUGACGGCGCUCCGGAGGUUGGUGAUGACCUUGUCUCAGCAGGGUUCCGCCCGAGCUCCGCAGAAACGCGAUCUAGAGGAAAAACCGUGGAGGNNNNNNNNNNNNNNNNNNNNNNNNNNNNGGCGCUCUGGAGGUUGGUGAUGACCUUGUCUCAGCAGGGCUUCGCCCGAGCUCCGUAGAAACGCGAUCUAGAGGAAAAACCGUGGAGGUAUGUGGUCGGGCUGCNNNNNNNNNNNNNNNNNNNNNNNNNNNNNNNNNNNNNNNNNNNNNNNNNNNNNNNNNNNNNNNNNNNNNNNNNNNNNNNNNNNNNNNNNNNNNNNNNNNNNNNNNNNNNNNNNNNNNNNNNNNNNNNNNNNNNNNNNNNNNNNNNNNNNNNNNNNNNNNNNNNNNNNNNNNNNNNNNNNNNNNNNNNNNNNNNNNNNNNNNNNNNNAAACCGAGUUAUACUUGGUUUGGUGGGUGGGAGUCCUUCCUUCCCUUCCCACCUCCUCUUUUUUUUCUCUUUGAUUUUCUUUCCUAGGCGCAUAGGGCCCUUUUGGGCUGCCCCACCAUCCCACUAAGGGUUGGUGCGCCACCCUCAUGGCCUAUGGGCUUCCCCGGGGUGGGUUGCCCNNNNNNNNNNCAAACUGAGUUGGACUUGGUUUGGUGGGUGGGAAUCCUUCCUUCCCUUCCCACCUCCUCUUUUUUUAUUUUCUCUUUGAUUUUCUUUCCGAGGCGCAUAGGGCCCUUUUGGGCUGCCCCACCAGCCCACUAAGGGCUGGUGCGCCACCCUCAUGGCCUAUGGGCUUCCCCGGGGUGGGUUGCCCCCCCGGUGAACUCCCGGAACCCAUUCGUCAUUCCCGGUACAUUCCCGGUAACUCCGAAAACCUUCCGGUAAUCAAAUGAGGUCAUCCUAUAUAUCAAUCUUCAUUUCCGGACCAUUCCGGAAACCUUCGUGACGUCCGUGAUAUCAUCCGGGACUCCGAACAACAUUCGGUAACCAACCAUAUAACUCAAANNNNNNNNNNAUUUGUUUCUGGACCAUUCCGGAAACCCUCGUAACGUCGGUGAUCUCAUCCGGGACUCCGAACAACAUUCGGUAACCAACCAUAUAANNNNNNNNNNAACCAUUCCGGAAACCCUCGUGACGUCCGUGAUCUCAUCCGGGACUCCGAACAACAUUCGGUAACCAACCAUAUAANNNNNNNNNNNNNNNNNNNNNNNNNNNNNNNNGACCAUUCUGGAAACCCUCGUGACGUAUGUGAUCUCAUCCGGGACUCCGAACAACAUUCAGUAACCAACCAUAUAAAUCAAAUACGCAUAAAACAACGUCGAACCUUAAGUGUGCAGACCCUGCGGGUUCGAGAACUAUGUAGACAUGACGCGAGGGACUCCUCGGUCAAUAUCCAAUAGUGGGACCUGGAUGCCCAUAUUGGAUCCUACAUAUUCUACGAAGAUCUUAUCGUUUGAACCUCACUGCCAAGGAUUCAUAUAAUCCCGUAUGUCAUUCCCUUUGUCCUUCGGUACGUUACUUGCCCAAGAUUCGAUCGUCAGUAUCCGUAUACCUAUUUCAAUCUCGUUUACCAGCAAGUCUCUUUACUCAUUCCGUAAUACAAGAUCUCGCAACUUACACUAAGUUACAUUGCUUGCAAGGCUUGUGUGUGAUGUUNNNNNNNNNNUGAUCCCGUAUGUCAUUCCCUUUGUCCUUCGGUAUGUUACUUGCCCGAGAUUCGAUCGUCAGUAUCCGUAUACCUAUUUCAAUCCCGUUUACCGGCAAGUCUCUUUACUCGUUCCGUAAUACAAGAUCCCGCAACUUACACUAAGUUACAUUGCUUGCAAGGCUUGUGUGUGAUGUUNNNNNNNNNNUCUUUGUCCUUCGGUAUGUUACUUGCCCGAGAUUCGAUCGACAGUAUCCGUAUACCUAUUUCAAUCUCGUUUACCGACAAGUCUCUUUACUCGUUCCAUAAUACAAGAUCCCGCAACUUACACUAAGUUACAUUGCUUGCAAGUCUUGUGUGUGAUGUUGUAUUACCGAGUGGGCCCCGAGAUACCUCUCCGNNNNNNNNNNNNNNNNNNNNNNNNNNNNNNNNNNNNNNNNNNNGCACACAAAGCAUUCCUCCGGCGUCAGUGAGUUAUAUGAUCUCAUGGUCAUAGGAAUAAAUACUUGACACNNNNNNNNNNGUCUUGAUCCAUACUAACUCAACUAACACCUUCGGAGAUACCUGUAGAGCAUAUUUAUAGUCACCCAGUUACGUUGCGACGUUUGAUACACAAAAAGCAUUACUCCGGUGUCAGUGAGUUAUAUGAUCUCAUGGUCAUAGGAAUAAAUACUUGACACUCAGAAAAUAGUAGCAACAAAAUGACACGAUCAACAUGCUACGUCUAUUAGUUUGGGNNNNNNNNNNUCCAGUUAUCAAGCAACAACACUUUGUUCAUAAUCAAAAGACACUGACUAUCUUUGAUCAACUGGCUAGCCAACUAGAGGCUUGCUAGGGACGGUGUUUUGUCGAUGUAUCCACACAUGUAAAUGAGUCUUCAUUCAAUACAAUUAUAGCAUGGAUAAUAAACGAUUAUCUUGAUACAGGAAUUAUAAUAAUAACUAUAUUUAUUAUUACCUCUAGGGCAUAAUUCCAACAGUCUCCCACUUGCACUAGAGUCAAUAAUUUAGCCCUCACAUCAUCAUGCGAAUUUCAUUGUAAUAAAUCUAACACCCAUACAGUUCUGGUGUUGAUCAUGCUUUGGCCGUGGAAGAGGUUUAGUCAGCGGGUCUGCUACAUUCAGAUCCAUGUGCACUUUGCAUAUAUUUACGUCCUCUCACUCGACGUAGUCGCGGAUGAGGUUGAAGCGUCGUUUGAUGUGUCUGGUCUUCUUGUGAAACCGUGGUUCCUUUGCUAAGGCAAUGGCACCCGUGUUGUCAUAGAACAAGGUUAUUGGAUUCAGUGCGCUUGGCACCACUCCAAGAUCCGUCAUGAACUGCUUCAUCCAGACACCCUCCUUAGCCGCCUCCGAGGGAGCCAUGUAUUCCGCUUCACAUGUAGAAUCUGCUACGACGCUUUGCUUGGAACUGCACCAGCUUACCGCACCCCCAUUAAGAAUAAAUACGUAUCCGGUUUGCGACUUAGAGUCGUCCGGAUCUGUGUCAAAGCUUGCAUCGACGUAACCUUUUACGGCGAGCUCUUCGUCACCUCCAUACACGAGAAACAUCUCCUUAGUCCUUUUCAGGUACUUCAGGAUAUUCUUGACCGCUGUCCAGUGAUCCACUCCUGGAUUACUCUGGAACCUACCCGCCAUACUUAUGGCCACGCUAACAUCCGGUCUAGUGCACAGCAUUGCAUACAUGAUAGAACCUAUGGCUGAAGCAUAGGGGACGGAGCGCAUAUGCUCUCUAUCUUCAUCAGUUGCUGGGCACUGAGUCUUACUCAAUUUCGUACCUUGUAAAACUGGCAAGAACCCUUUCUUGGACUGUUCCAUUUUGAACCUUUUCAAAACUUUAUCAAGGUAUGUGCUUUGUGAAAGUCCUAUCAGGCGUUUUGAUCUAUCCCUAUAGAUCUUGAUGCCUAGAAUGUAAGCAGCUUCUCCUAGGUCCUUCAUAGAGAAACUUUUAUUCAAGUAAUCCUUUAUGCUCUCCAAAAACUCCACGUUGUUUCCAAUCAGCAAUAUGUCAUCCACAUAUAAUAUUAGAAAUGCCACAGAGCUCCCACUCAUUUUCUUGUAAAUACAAGAUUCUCCAACCACUUGUAUAAACCCAAAUGCUUUGAUCACCUCAUCAAAGCGUUUGUUCCAACUCCGAGAUGCUUGCACCAGUCCAUAAAUGGAUCGCUGGAGCUUGCAUACCUUGUUAGCAUUCUUAGGAUCGACAAAACCUUCGGGUUGUAUCAUAUACAACUCUUCUUUAAGGAAACCGUUAAGGAACGCCGUUUUGACAUCCAUCUGCCAGAUUUCAUAAUCGAAAAAUGCAGCUAUUGCUAACAUGAUUCUGACGCACUUAAGCAUCGCUACGGGUGAGAAUGUCUCAUCGUAGUCAACUCCUUNNNNNNNNNNACGUUUGUUCCAACUCCGAGAUGCUUGCACGAGUCCAUAAAUGGAUCGCUGGAGCUUGCACACCUUGUUAGCAUUCAUAGGAUCGACAAAACCUUCGGGUUGUAUCAUAUACAACUCUUCCUCAAGGAAACCGUUAAGGAACGCUGUUUUGACAUCCAUCUGCCAGAUUUCAUAAUCGAAAAAUGUAGCUAUUGCUAACAUGAUUCUGACGGACUUAAGCAUCGCUACGGGUGAGAAUGUCUCAUCGUAGUCAACUCCUUGAACUUGUGAAAAACCCUUUGCCACAAGUCGAGCUUUAUAAAUGGUCACAUUGCCGUCAGCGUCCGUCUUUUUCUUAAAGAUCCAUUUGUUCUGAAUAGCCGUGCGGCCCUGAGGUAGUACUUCCAAAGUCCACACUUUGUUCUCAUACAUGGAUCCUAUCUCGGACUUCAUGGCUUCUAGCCAUUUAUUGGAAUCUGGGCCCACCAUUGCUUCUUCAUAAUUUGCAGGUUCAUUGUUGUCUAACAACAUGAUUGAUAAGACGGGAUNNNNNNNNNNGCAGGAAUCUGGGCCCACCACCGCUUCUUCAAAAUUUGCAGGUUCAUUGUUGUCUAACAACAUGAUUGAUAAGACGGGAUUACCGUACCACUCUGGAGCAGUACGUGGUCUCGUCGACCUGCGUGGUUCGAUAGAAACUUAGAACCGGAGUUUCAUGAUCAUUAUCAUUAACUUCCUCCUCAACCGGCGUUGCAAUGACAGAGGUUUCCCCUUGCCCUGCGCCACCAUCCAGAGGGAUGAGAGGUUCGACAACCUCGUCAAGUUCUACCUUCCUCCCAUUCAAUUCUCUCGAGAGAAACUCCUUCUCGAGAAAAGCUCUGUUUUUAGCAACAAACACUUUGCCCUCGGAUUUGAGAUAGAAGGUGUANNNNNNNNNNCACCGUACCACUCUGGAGCAGCACGUGGUCUCGUCGACCUGCGUGGUUCGACAGAAACUUGAACCGGAGUUUCAUGAUCAUCAUCAUUAACUUCCUCCUCAACGGGCGUCGCAAUGACAGAGGUUUCUCCUUGCCCUGCGCCACCAUUCAGAGGGACGAGAGGUUCGACAACCUCGUCAAGUUCUAUCUUCCUCCCACUCAAUUCUCUCGAGAGAAACUCCUUCUCGAGAAAAGCUCCGUUUUUAGCAACAAACACUUUGCCCUCGGAUUUGAGAUAGAAGGUGUACCCAACUGUCUCUUUUGGGUAACCUAUGAAGACGAACCUUUCCGCUUUGGGUUCCAGCUUUUCAGGCUGAAGCUUUUUGACAUAAGCAUCACAUCCCCAAACUUUAAGAAACGACAACGUUGGCCUUUUGCCAUACCACAGUUCGUAUGGUGUCGUCUCAACGGAUUUUGAUGGUGCCCUAUUUAAAGUGAAUGCAGCUGUUUCUAAUGCAUAACCCCAAAAUGAUAACGGCAAAUCGGUAAGAGACAUCAUAGAUUGCACCAUCUCUAAUAAAGUACGAUUACGACGUUCGGACACACCAUUACGCUGUGGUGUUCCAGGCGGUGUUAACUGUGAAACAAUUCCACAUUGUCUUAAGUGAGCACCAAACUCGAAACUCAGAUAUUCACCCCCACGAUCAGACCGUAGGAACUUGAUCUUCUUGUUACGAUGAUUUUCCACUUCACUCUGAAAUUGCUUGAACUUUUCAAAUGUUUCAGACUUGUGCUUUAUCAAGUAGACAUAACCAUAUCUACUCAAAUCGUCAGUGAAGGUGAGAAAAUAACGAUAUCCGCCGCGCGCCUCUAUGCUCAUCGGACCACACACAUCGGUAUGUAUGAUUUCCAACAAGUCACUUGCACGCUCCAUAGUUCCGGAGAACGGAGUCUUAAUCAUCUUGCCCAUGAGGCAUGGUUCGCACGUGUCAAGUGAAUCAAAGUCAAGUGACNNNNNNNNNNUUUUACACCAAUAUGACCUAAGCGGCUGUGCCACAAAAAUAUGGCGCUAUCAUUGUUAGCUCUAACUCUUUUGGUCUCAAUGUUAUGUAUAUGCAUAUCGCUAUCAAGAUUCAAUAUGAACAAUCCUCUCACAUUAGGUGCAUGACCAUAAAAGAUGUUACUCAUAGAAAUAGAACAACCAUUAUUCUCUGACUUAAAAGAGUAACCGUCUCGCAAUAAACAAGAUCCAGAUAUAAUGUUCAUGCUCAACGCAGGCACUAAAUAACAAUGAUUUAAGUUCAUCACUAAUCCUGAUGCUAACUGAAGUGAAACUGUGCCGACGGCGAUUGCAUCAACCUUGGAACCAUUUCCUACGCGCAUCGUCACUUCNNNNNNNNNNGUGAUUUAAGUUCAUCACUAAUCCUGAUGGUAACUAAAGUGAAACUAUGCCGAUGGCGAUUGCAUCAACCUUGGAACCAUUUCCUACGCGCAUCGUCACUUCAUCUUUCGCCAGCCUUCGUCUAUUCCGCAGUUCCUGUUUCGAGUUGCAAAUAUGAGCAACAGAACCGGUAUCGAAAACCCAGGCACUACUACGAGAGCCGGUUAAGUACACAUCAAUAACAUGUAUAUCAAAUAUACCUGAUUUUUCUUUGGCCGCCUUCUUAUCUGCCAGAUACUUGGGGCAAUUGCGCUUCCAGUGACCCAUACCCUUGCAAUAGUAACACUCCGUUUCAGGCUUAGGUCCAACUUUGGGUUUCUUCGUCGGAUUGGCAACAUGCUUGCCGCUCUUCUUCGAAUUACCCUUCUUGCCUUUGCCGUUUCUCUUGAAACUAGUGGUCUUAUUCACCAUCAACACUUGAUGCUCUUUACGGAGUUCAGACUCUGCGACUUUCAGCAUCGCAAACAACUCGCCGGGAGACUUGUUCAUCCCUUGCAUGUUGUAGUUAAACACAAAGCCUUUAUAGCUUGGCGGCAGUGAUUGAAGGAUUCUGUCANNNNNNNNNNNNNNNNNNNNNNNNNNNNNNNNNNNNNNNNNNNNNNNNNNNNNNNNNNNNNNNNNNNNNNNNNNNNNNNNNNNNNNNNNNNNNNNNNNNNAGUAGCAACUGCUUGAGCCUUGUUGUGCUUACUCAUUCAUGCUUGCUUACUGUGCCUGCUAUGCUUAGAGUCGUGUCGGGUCUGAUCCAUCUGGAUGAUGAACCAGAAUGGUUGAGUUAUGUCCUACAGUGUGAGAGUAAAAGUGUGAAUCCGAUUUGGUAAAGGUAGCGAGGAGAGGCCAUGUAGGAGUACAUGGUGGGUUGUCUCAUUAGGACCGUCCUUAAGAACUGAGUUCUGUGUAUGUUAUCCAAGACAAGAUACUACCACACAUUGGGAUACUUAAUUGACCCUCUUGGCUUAUUAAUCGCCUAGAUCUCUGUCCAAGAGUUGCAACUAGUUUCUGGUGUUUGUAGGAAAAGUGUUGGCGACCGUGUUUAGCUCUGCCCGACGGGGUAGGCUUCUCUGCAGUUGAUACACAAUGGCACGGUGUACCAAGUGGCACCCGGAUGGUGGGCUUGGGAACCAUGCGCACAUCGUUUGGGGCCGUAGAGGACACCUCGGUCGGACUUCCUUGCGGGUUCAAUCUCAUAUAGGCGAUAAACCUGGACUAGGGUCUUGUGUGGUUAACGGUCAUGGCCGACACCCACGCCAGUGCUUCCGCUUGAAGGUUGUCGAGAUGCAUGACGUGCAUAUGGUGCUAAGUGGUGAGAGCAUGUGUGAAGAAGUAUACCCCUGCAGGGUGAAUCAAUCUGUUCGAAUAGCCGCUUCCUCGGAUAUGGACUACUUGGAAACAUUACGUGGUACAUAGACAACUUAAAUGGAUACUCUAAAACAUGCACGAUAAGCAUGAGUGCUAUGGAAGGCCUUCUCAUAGGGAGACGAGAGUGGAUCCAUAGUGGUGUAUUGAAUUGGUGAAUAUGUGGACUCGUGUGCGCUAUCCCACCUCAAAGAAAGAACUUGUAGUCAUAGUACAGGUUAGCCAACAGUCAAAGCUGGCUUGCUGCAAUCAAACCCCACAAACCUUUCAUUGAUACAUGAUGCAUAUGUAGAUAGUUCUGAUGUAAGUCUUGCUGAGUACCUUUGUACUCACUGUUGCUUUAUUUAUGUUUUUGCAGAGAAGAUUUAGACUCAUUAAAAGGUUCUACGCGAUGUGUUCGAUGUUGACCGGAAUAGUUUGGGAAUCCCAGACAGAGGUCUGGUUCCUUUGGUAGGGUCGUAGUAGCUUUUCAAGCUCUUCCGGCAACUUUUACUAGAUAUCUGUACCCAGACAUGUUGUGCUUCCGCUUGAUGUUUGUAUGACUUGAGUGACGGGUCACGAGACCCCUGUUUGUAAUAUCAUACUAUGUUGAUUCUUAUGAGUCUUUGAUAAAAUCUUGAGUCAUAGAGUUAUGUUGUGAUGCCAUGUUGUAUAUACGCAUAUAGUGCAUAUUGUGUGCAUGUUAUGAAAUGCAUUAUAUGUGUGGGAUUCGACACCUAGUUGUGUGCCUUUAGUAGUACUCUUUACAAGGAAAUGCCUCUUUGUGCUUCUAUCGAGCCUUGGUAGCUUGCUACUCCUCUAGACACAUUGAUUGACUGGCGUGUAUCCUUCGUUGCUGUUGUGUCGUCCCCUCGGGGAAAUGUCACGCGGUGUAAUGGAGUCCUUGUAGCUUGCUACGACUCAUCUACACAUGCUGUUGAUCGACACCUGCUUUGCUGGGUUAUGUAUGCAUGUCCCUGUACGGAUGUACCGCUUGGGUUUAUAACUAGUCAUGUCCACCCGGGUUCUUUGUCGUUUGAACGCUAUCAACAUAUUCAUAUACGUGAGCCAAAAGACGCAAACGGUCCCGGCCAAGGUAAGGUGGCAGCCGUGGAGUUUACCGUGCGUGAGGCCGCAAAGUGAUGUGAUGUGUUACAGGCUGGGUUCUUAUGACUCAGGAUCGGGGUCCCGUCAGCUUUGGUAUCAGAGCUUGAUUGCCUGUAGGAUAACCGAGCCAAACUGGUCGAUGUUGUGUCUAGCAACUCUUUAUUUAUAUAAGGGAAUUGUUUGUGGAAGGAAACGUAAGGCUCUUUUUACUCCUUUCCUUGUGUCAUUUUAUUCUGAGUCAUCCUCUUCUUUAUUCUACGGGGUUUAAGAAUUAGGCUUUCUCAUCUAUUCAUUAGGAUGACGAGUUACUAUUUUGGAGACCUAUAGCAAAGUUGUUGUCUUCAAGGAUCAGUGUCUCCAUAAGAAUUCAUUGUUAUGACGUCAGUUUUCUUGCAGGUUGCCUCAUAUUUCAUGCCCGUACAGCCGUUAUGCUGUCCGAGUUUUCCAAAGUUCCCAAACAAUUUGUUGCAAUUGUAACUUCCUUCCUCUUAUUUCUAAUGUAUUUUGGCCAGACCAAGCACACUAAUCUUCAUGAUGAGGUACUUCAUUACCUCGACCUAUUGUUGAAGUAUUAGGAAACCAUGUCACCUCGAAAACCACCAAAUAGUCUAGAUGUGCUCUAUGUUUCCAGUGUGAUAAUUCUUUCCAUCAUAUUAGAAAACAUCUCGUGAUGUUAUUUAGUUUGUAAGUAUUCUAUUUCUGGAUUUUUGAAUCCAAGGAUCAUUCUGCUCAAUUCUGUUGAUAGUGUUGCUAGUUCCUUUAGAAUGGUUAGUAACCUUGUUGUAGUUUCCAAGGUUCAUGGUAUAUCAUUCUUCCAACACCAUGGACCAUCUCUGGUAGAAGUUCUUCGUGAACUAAAGACCAUAACAAGAGUGCUCGUGAUGAGUUCUCUACUCCAUAUUGUGAUUCUGCCAACUUCGCCCUUCUGCAUGAGUUAUCUGGAAGAAUUAUGUUGAACUCGUUCGAUAUUCUAAUCCAUGCAUCCACAACUCAAGAAACCAUGUGCUCUUGAGUUGGCCCUUCCUAGUUGUAUUCUGACCUUCAUUUAUGAGAGGAUAGUCGAUGUCUUCUAUUCCAUGGUCUGUCAAGUUGUUCUAUUCUUGAAUGACUGAGAGAAGCAAACUCCAGUACCUCAUCCAUUUCUUGGAUUGGGUCAAAGUAGUUGUAUUCCGCAGAUCGAAAUGCUAACCCAGCUUUUGUUCCGUUCUAUCUAGGAGUAUUACCCUCUUUUCGUCAAUAGUGUCAUGAGAAUUGCACCAUCUCUUAUGAGCUCUUGAUGUAGUGAUACUUCUCGCUAUCAUUGUUCAUCCCUCGGUUUUCAUGUUGGUUGUAACCGGAAUAUCAACAAGUGAACCAUGAUGUGUGAAAUCAAUACUCCUAGCAAUGUUAUUGAUUGGUAGCUAAUGGACAACAAUUUCACUCUUACGGUAAUGGUGAUUGAAUCGUCAUCCUAAGAUUGAGCGUGCUACCUAGUCCAUGUUUCAUGGUGCACUUUUUGAUCGAUGGGUUAGGAUUGUGUCAAUCCCACGCUCUUUUGAUCACAUCAUCUUGCCCUGAAAAGAGAGAUUGUUCUCGAGCUUAAUAAUCUCGUGAUAUUCUGAAUAUCUUCUCGGAAGUAUUACCAGGUUGUUUCCUGAUUGAUAUGUCGAGCUUGUGACUAAAUUGGUAUUUCUAUAAACCAACCCCUUCUCCAAGAAUCCGUGUUGGAUACCCCGAGCUAGUGGGUUAAGCUAAACAACAACUUGGAGAGUUGGAAUAUAAAAGCUCCGCCUAAAGUUAGUUCAUUUUAAAGGGAUAUCUUUCCUGUUGUGCGAGUCUGAAGAAAGAUGGUAUUUUCAUCGGUUGAUUCGUGUUAUCAAUUGUUGCAUAUAUUGUCUUGGUUAAUUUUGAUUUGAGUAUGGGCUAUUGUCAAAUCAAACUCAGAACCAAAGAUUUUAGUAACAGUGUCUUACUCAUGGAUUUCCUUGAGCCUACACCAUUGUAUUCUUUGAUCUGACCAAUGCUAUUAUCUUGCUCACAUAGUUGUGGAAAUCCAUCUAUAUGGGUAUCUUGAUGAAUUGUUGUUGAGCCCAUCAGCAUCAUUUUCAUUUGUUCCAUGACUUAUGUUGGACAUUAAGCUAGUGUUGGAAACUUUGUAGACAUUGUCUUAGUGUUUCGAGCACGAGGUAUAUGUUAGGUGUAAGAAGUGACUUCCUCUAAUUCUUGUGCAUUUGAUGUAAGUUGCCGCCGUGAAUUCGAGAAAAGUUAAUUUGUUUUCUUCGGAAUCGUCCCAAGUCAGUCACACACGUGCGAAGUAUUCUAUGGUUUGAUAGACUGAUCAUCUCCACUCCAUAUGUAUCUCCUAGCACACCAAGCCACUGAUUGAUUUGUUCAAGGAAAAGAAGUUAAGUGCCAUUCCUGAAGGUACCAGACGAACUUGCACAUGGCUUCGUCAUCCGCAAUGAUGGUUCCCACCCAGAACUCGGUAGUGUUUGUUGUAAGACUUUUCAUGUGCUCAUCAUUGUCUUGGGCAGUGUGUUCACGUGGGUCUUGCAAUCCAGCUCAUGUUUUGGAGCUGUCUUUCGUAGUUCAUUUCCUGAGAAUCUCGCAACGUUAUCUCGUCGAUUUGUGUUGCAAACUAUCUUUUCGGACAUGCUGAGUCUGAAACAUCAUGUCACAAACCAAAUCUGAAUCUCAGGCAGAUAUGAUGGUUGUAGCGCUUCCCAAGGAUUAUAAUAUUGGUCUCUCUAUAACCCGGUAAAGUGAUGUCGUGGUUAACACACCUAGCCGGAAGACUUAAUAUUAUAAUAUCUUGCAUCAGCAACCUUAGCCAUUUCCCCGUGAGGACUUUGUAUGACUUGUUCUAGAAGUUGUUCCUCAUGGACCCUUUAAGCCCCGAAGUCCGAUCUAUAUUAGAUGGGCUAGAUAUCAAGAAUGACCUAUAAUUGGGUUGUGCUAGUACAUCAAGGAGAAUAUUAGAAGCGAAGUGCUAAAUGUCUCUCGGUCGAUCAACCAGAUUUCGUUCCCUUGGUAUAGCUAAGGUGAAAUCUGAGGAAGUGUUGUCUUCCUUUGCAUCUCCAUCCUCCAUCACUGUUCAUCAUGGUAGUAUGUUGCGUCACCAAGAUCUUGGCACAGAUAUUGGUAAAACUUUGAUGAAUAUGGAAAUGCUCAAGUUCUUGAGAGCACGCUGAGACACUAGGUUAUAACCUCGGUAGUAACUGGAAUGUGCCUUCCGUUCGUCGAGUUGUUCUAUAACCCUAGUUUCUUUCCAACCUGAGUAUGCCCUUCUUUUAAAUUCCUUCAAACAAUCAUUUGUGAAUUUCCUUCCUUGGUAUGAAGAGUUUUAAUGAUAUUAUAUCAAAAGUAAUUCUUUUUUCCACUUAAGGGAAUAACUCUACGAGUCAUCCUCCUAUGGUGCCCCGAUAUGGUAUGAAGGGUAACUUAACUCCUUGCUACUUUGAAACCUCGUCAUCAUCUGUAUUAAGUGUGGAUUUGUUGCCUACCAAUUGAACCUCUGUUAUAUGUCUCAUUUCCUCAUCCCUGUUAUGUGUAUAGUGUCUCAGCUCAAGGGACGUUUCCACAUCUCAUUCUAUAAGUUGAUCUUGAGUUGCUUGAUCUUGGGGAAAUCGAAUUUUGUAGAGUCCUCCUGUUCUUGUCGUCGUGUUAGACAAAGACCUCGAAGACAAAGAUGUCAAGACCAACAUGAAGCAAUGAUUCAAUAUCUCCAAGAAGGGCAAUUGGAUUGUGAAGAUUGCGAUAGCUUAGUGUCCCCUCUUCCUCUUCCCGACUAUGCUUGAAUCUCGGGACGAGAUUCUUGUUUCGUGGGGGUGAGUUGUCACAGCCCAAGUUUGCCUUGCUUGCCAUUGCAUUUCAUGCAUGCAUUCAAAUUGCAUUGAAUCUGAAAAUGGGAAGUGAUCAAGCCCAAAUGAGUUGAAAUUUGACAAAAAGGCAAUAAAAAUAAUACCUUAAAAGGAACCAGGAAAAUGUUCCAAAUAUUUGGGAAAAUAGUGACAGGGAAUAAAUUUGUCAAACCAAAAUUUUAAUUCACAAGAACAUUUUGAAAAGGAUUUUUGAUUUGAUCAAAUAACUGUUUGGAAUGGAGUUAUUUUGUUCUCCUUUAAAAUAAAAGUUUCAAAAAUGGUGAAACUAUUAUGUGGCAUUGAUUAUAUUUAUCUGUGUCAUAUAACACUAAUUUAGGGUUUUAUAAAAUAAUUAAACAUUUUAUUUUAAAACCUAAACCUAAAUGCCAGAAAGAAAUAAAACAAAAAUAGGAAAAGAGAGAGAUAGAAUUUACAUGACGCUUACCUCCAGGCCCAGCCCAUCAGGGGGGCACCCCUGUCUUCUUCCUCCUGCCAGAAGGCAGAGGAGAAGCAGAGGACAGUGAGCUCACGGGAGCGCCACGCCUCCUGCCUGCCUGGCCUCCUCGCCGAUUUGGUGAGCGGGAUAGGCUCAGAGGAGCCGUCCCCAUCGAGCCAGCCUCCCUAUUUCCCCCUGCUUUCCUCCUCGCCUCUGCUCGCCAGGACCGAGCCGCCAUGACCAAGCCGCCGUNNNNNNNNNNNNNNNNNNNNNNNNNNNNNNNNNNNNNNNNNNNNNNNNNNNNNNNNNNNNNNNNNNNNNNNNNNNNNNNNNNNNNNNNNNNNNNNNNNNNNNNNNNNNNNNNNNNNNNNNNNNNNNNNCAUGACCAAGCCGCCGUCAACCGCGUAGCCUCGGGCUUCCCCUCGCCUCCCCGAGAAGACCGGAGGGACCCCCUCGUCGCCUUGCUCCUUCUCGCCACUGGAAUCAGGUCCGGGAGCCACGGAGCGCCGCCAUCGCCGUCGUUCCCUUCACCUCCGGCCGCCGGACCUUCCUCGUCGAUUCGCCCCCUCCGGUGCAUCCUCAAGCCUGCCGUCAGCACAAUCAGAACCCCUGUGAGCCAUAGAUUUCGUUUCCUCUUUCCCCGUUGAUGUUCCCCUCCUCUAGCGUGGUAGCCACCAGAGCCGAGAGCUCCUCGUCGCCGGCCAUGUCGUCAUCGUCGCUGUGGUACCCCAUCCACGCGCUCGAGCUUGGGAUAGAGCUCCUGGAGCUCUGUGGAUGAUGUCAAGCCCCUCACCUGCCCUUCCCGUGCCCUGCAGCCACCACCCGCACAAGGCCGAGCUCCGGCCGCCGCCUCUGCUGUCGUUGCCGUCAGCUCUGGCCACCCCAGUGCCUCAAACCCGUCGGAAUGGAUGCGGCGCUUUGCCAGCUUCCCGUAGAACCCAACCGCAUGCCAAAUAGUGCCCCAUAGCGCAAUUUCGGCCAACUCCAGCGAGCCUCCGUCGCGGUUUUGGUCGCCACCGGCCACAUUCCGAUGAGCGUCGACGUGGCUUGGUGAUUAGCGCCUAAUGAGCCCCCCCAGUCACUGACAGAGGGCCCCACAUGGGGUCAAAGCCUGGUUAGCCUCAAGUUUGACCGGGGAUUAGCUCUGUGUCACUGAUCAGUGGGCCCUGACUGUCACGUUUGACCUGACCCAGGCCAGUUGACGUGAUGACGCAAUGAUGACGCAGUGUUGACGCAGUAAAUACUAAUUCUGUAUUAUUAUAAAUCUAGAAAAUGCCUAAAACUUCAAAAAAUCAUAGAAAAUAUUUUGUAAGUCCAAUGAAAAUAAUUUAUAUAUGAAAAAUGAUCAAAAAAAUCCAAAUAAUCUGAUUAUGGCAUUUUCAUGCUAGUUUGAGAAAGUUAACAUCACCAAAUAGGCAAAAUGAUGAUUAGGAUACAUUUAAUAAAUAGCUUGGAGUUGGCAUUUGAUACCUAUUUGAAUUCCACUUCAAUUACUAUGACCAAACAAUGAUCUAGGAAACUCAGCACCCCAAUAUGCCAUCUUCGUGCAUGCUCAAACAAGUUGUACCUGAGCAUCAGGUCGAAUCAAUUAAAAGGGUAUCCAGAAAAUACCUUGCUUGAAGUGGUAUUUGAAUUCUAAUUCAAAUCCAGCUUCAACCUAAGAAAUGGUAGCUAUAUUGGCCCUGCCACAUUUCAUUUCUAUUUCUUGAUCAUGCAUCAUAGUGUUGCAUUUCCUUGAAGUAAUUAUUGUCCCUUUCUUGUUUGCCGGUGCUAUUCCCUCUCGGUAGACGAUGGUUCCGAUGAUGUGAUCAUUGACAUUGAUGAAGACUCAUUGCUAUCUUCAGACGUGUCAGGCAAGCAAACCCCCUUGAGCAUACUGAUAUAAACCCACUUUUCGCUCCUGCUCUCUUUUAUUGCAUUAGGAUAAACACGAUGCAACUGUUACAUGUUGUAGGUAGUGGAACCCAUUCCUGUGCAUGACCUGAUUUUGCCACAGUAAAUAGUUGAAACCACUUAGCAUGAGUAGCAACUGCUUGAGCCUUGUUGUGCUUACUCAUUCAUGCUUGCUUACUGUGCCUGCUAUGCUUAGAGUCGUGUCGGUCUGAUCCAUCUGGAUGAUGAAUCGGAAUGGUUGAGUUAUGUCCUACAACGUGAGAGUAAAAGUGUGAAUCCGAUUUGGUAAAGGUAGCGAUGAGAGGCCAUGUAGGAGUACAUGGUGGGUUGUCUCAUUAGGAUCGUCCUUAAGAACUGAGUUCUGUGUAUGUUAUCCAAGACAAGAUACUACCACACAUUGGGAUACUUAAUUUACCCUCUUGGCUUAUUAAUCGCCUAGAUCUCUGUCCAGGAGUUGCAACUAGUUUCUGGUGUUUGUAGGAAAAGUGUUGGCGGCCGUGUUUAGCUCUGCCCGACGGGGUAGGCUUCUUUGCGGUAGAUACACAGUGGCAUGGUGUACCAAGUGGCACCCGGAUGGUGGGCUUGGGAACCCUGCGCACAUCGUUUGGGGCCGUAGAGGAAACCUCGCCCGGACUUCCUUGCGGGUUCAGUCUCAAAUAGGCGAUAAACCUGGACCAGGGUCUUGUGUGGUUAACGGUCGUGGCCGUCACCCACGCCAGUGCUUCCGCUUGAAGGUUGCCGAGAUGCAUGACGUGCAUAUGGUGCUAAGUGGUGAGAGCAUGUGUGAAGAAGUAUAACCCUGCAGGGUGAAUCAAUCUGUUCGAAUAGCCGCGUCCUCAGAUAUGGACUACUUGGAAACAUUACGUGGUACAUAGACAACUUAAAUGGAUACUCUAAAAUAUGCAAGAUAAGCGUGAGUGCUAUGGAUGUACCGCUUGGGUUUAUAAUUAGUCAUGUCGACCCGGGUUCUUUGUCGUUUGAACGCUAGCAACAUAUUCAUAUACGUGAGCCAAAAGACGCAAACGGUCCCGACCAAGGUAAGGUGGCAGCCAUGGAGUUUACCGUGCGUGAGGCCGCAAAGUGAUGUGAUGUGUUGCAGGCUGGGUUCUUAUGACUCAGGAUCGGGGUCCCGACACAUCCGUGUGGUGGUCAUGGUGCAAAGACCACCGGACCUCGACACAGCGUGCGCUAGCUCCGCUUCAAGAGGUGGUCGUGAAUGGUGAUCGGUCAGAGAGUCCGCUCCAACCAGCGGCGCGCCCUUCGGACACCACGACUCGAGUGCCCAACGUGUUGCUUCUUCCACCACCGCCCCCACGGGUGACACCUCCCGCUGGGGCGACUGACCGCCGCGGGACAGAGGCGGCAAGAGCAGAAGCAUCCAAGGUCAAAAUACUUUGGGACUACCGAAGUGCACGGGGACUCUGUUUCAAGUGUGGAGAACGAUGGGGGCACGAUCACACCUACCCCACAUCCGUGCAACUCCACGUCGUUUAGGAUCUCGUGGAGCUGUUCAACAUCGACACCCCGAAGGACCAAGGCGCUAGCCUCGAGGAAGAUCCACCACCAUGUGUUGUCAUGACGAUCUCCCAAUCGUUCCUGACAGGCGGCGUGUCACCACACGCAUUCCAGCUCCGUGCCUAGAUUCAAUGGCGCAAGGUGUUGAUGUUGGUCGACUCUAGCAGCUCCACAUCAUUCAUCAAUGACCGUCUGGAAGCCAACAUCGCUGGAGUCCGGCCUCUGCCACGAGAGUACAAGGUGCGCGUGGCCGACAUCGGGGAACUCAUCUGCUCCGCAAGCGUCCCAAACUGUAACUGUUGCUCGCAUGAGCAUCAGUUCUACACGGACAUGAAAGUACUCCCUCUCGACUUCUACGACGCCAUCCUGGAAAUGGACUGGCUACAGGAGCACAAUCUGAUGACGGUGGACUAGUGAUGUCUGCUAGAACUAUGUUUGUAUUUCCCCAAAGAGGAAGGGAUGAUGCAGUAUAGCGACGGUAGGUAUUACCCUCAGUGAUGAGACCAAGGUUAUCGAACCAGUAGGAGAACCUCCUCACACCACGAAAACAACACCUGCACACAAAUAACAACUACUCGCAACCCGACGUAUUAAAGGGGUUGUCAAUCCCUCCUCGGCAACGACGUCGGAAAUUGGCACGUUGGCGGGAGACUAUCUUGACUCGAUCUUCCCCGGCAAUGGCGUCAGAAAUUCCUUUUAGGUACGACGCCUCAAGAUAGGCAAAUAACAUGAGGUAAAAGUGGUAGAUAGGAUAAAUAGACCGCGGAACAAAUAAAUUGCAGCAACUUAUUUUUAUAUUUUUGGCUUAACAGAUCUGAAAAUAAAAGCAAAGGAAAAUAGAUCGCAAAGGCAAAUAUGAUGAAAAGAGACCCCGGGGCCGUAGGUUUCACUAAUGGCUUCUCUCGAGAAAAAUUGCAAACGGUGGGAAAACAAUUACUGUUGGGAAAUUGAUCGAAUUUCAAAUAAUCAUGACGAUGUCCAAGCAAUAAUCAUUAUAUAGGCAUCACGUCCGAGAUUGGUAUACCGACUCCUGCCUGCAUCUAUUAUUAUUACUCCACAUAUCGACCGCUAUCCAGCAUGCAUCUAGUGUAUUAAGUUCAUGGAAAAACGGAGUAAUGCACUAAGAACGAUGACAUGAUGUAGACAAAGUCUAUUUAUGUAGAAAUAGAACCCAUAUGCUAUCCUUAAUAGCAACGAUACAUACAUGUCGUUUCCCUUUCUAUCACUGGGAUCAAGCACCGUAAGAUCGCACCCAUCACAAAGCACCUCUUCCAAUUGCAAGAUAAAUAGAUCAAGUUGGCCAAACAAAACUUAAAUAUCGGAGAAGAAAUACGAGGCUAUAAUCAAUCAUGCAUAUAAGAGAUCAAAGAACACUCAAAUAAAUUUCAUGGAUAAAAACAUAGAUUUGAUCAUAAACUCAAAUUUCAUCAGAUCCCAACAAACACAGUGCAAAAAGACAUACAUCAUAUGGAUCUCCAAGAGACCAUUGUAUUGAUAAUCAAGAGAGAGAGAGGAAGCCAUCUAGCAACUAACUACGGACCCGUAGAUCUACAAAGAACUACUCACGCAUCAUCGGAGAGGCACCAAUGGAUAUGAUGAACCACUCUGUGAUGGUGUCUAGAUUGGAUCUGGUGUUUCUGGACUCUGUGGCAGCUGGAAUUGAUUUUCGUCCCCCUCCUUAGGGUUUCUAGAAUAUUGGGGUAUUUAUAGAGCAAAGAGGCGGUGCGGGAGGCCACCGAGGAGAGCACAACCCACCGGGGCGCGCCUGGGCCCCAAGCGCGCCCGGGCCCCAAGCGCGCCCUGGUGGGUUGUGCUCCCAUCGGAGAUCCCCUCAGGUGCGUUCCUAGCCCACUGGAUGUAUUCUGGCCCAAAACAAAUCCACAAAAAGUUUCACUUCAUUUGGACUGAGUUUGGUAUUGAUUUCCUGUGAUGUAAAAAACAUGAAGAAAAUAGCAACUUGGAUAAAAUAAUAUAGAUACAUUGGAGAAUAAUAUAGUUAGAUAAUAUAGAAUGAAUAUAAAAUGAUUGUAAACCAUCCAAGAAUGAUAAAUAACAACAUGGAACAAUCAAAAAUUAUAGAUACGUUGGAGACGUAUUAGCAUCCCCAAGCUUAAUUCCUGCUCGUCCUCGAGUAGGUAAAUGACAAAACAUAAUUUUUGAUGUGGAAUGCUGCCUAACGUGUUCAUCACAUUUCUUUUGUUUAUAGCAUGGACAUUUGUACUUUUAUAUGGUUCAAAGCAAUAGUCUAGUUUUGACAUCAAGACUUUAAUACUCAAGCAUACCAACAAGCAACCAUGUCUUUCAAAAUACCAACACCAAAGCAAGUUAUCCCUAGCCCAUUAUGCUCAAUCAUUGAUCCAUUCAUGAAACACAUUCGAAUAUUAGCUACACCCAAUGCUCAAAUACGAUCAUAGUGCCCCUUAGUUGGUGCUUUAUGAGAGAAGAUGGAGACUCAAAUUCAAAAUAAAUUUUUCAUAAGUAAAAGAAAGGCCCUUCGUAGAGGGAAGUAGGGAUUUGUAGAGGUGCUAGAGCUCAUAGCGAAAAUUGAGAGAUAAAAACAUUUUGGGAGGCAUACUUUUCCCACCAACGAAAAUGACUUAGGGCUCCCAACACUUUCCAUGCUAGAUACAUCAUAGGCGGUUCCCAAACAGAAAAUAAAGUUUAUUUUUUUUUCCACCAUUACUUUCACUUUCCAUGGCUUGUCCGUAUCCAUGGGUGCACUCCAUACCAACACUUUCCAAGGAAUUUAUUAUUUGACAACAAAAAGUAAAUUGAUUUUUUUCAUUUCGGGACUGGGCAUCCCUAAUACCUUUGUCGUACUCUCGUGCAAUGACAAGUGAAUAAACAUUCAUCGUGAGAAUAACACAUCUAGCAUGGAAAAUAUUGGCCACCCCUCACCACCUCGCGAGCGGUAAAGCACACAAAAGAGAAAUUUAUUUUAAAAAUUAGAGAUGGCACAUGCAAAUUUGCUUAGAAAGACAUGGAAAUACCGCAUACAGGUAGGUAUAGUGUACUCAUAUGGAAAAACUAGUUUAAAGGGUUUUGGAUGCAGAAGUAGUGAUCAUACUUAGUGCAAAAUGAAGGGUAGCAAAAAGAUUGAGUAGCGACCAACCAAGAAAAGAAAAAUCGCGCACCCAAGCAUUAAGCAUAAGAAACACCGAAUAAUGCACCACAAGUAGGAUAUAAAUUUCAUUGCAUAACUAUUUACUUUCGUUCUUGCAUAGGGAAUCACAAACCUUAACAUCAAUAUUCUUACUAAAGCACAAUUACUCAUCAACAUGACUCACAUAUCAUAUCAUCAUAUCUCAAAACCAUUACUAAGAAUCAACUUUAUUUUAUCCGGUCAUCUUCAUGAAUUUUUUUAUUAUAUCCCCCUUGUAUAUUUAUAACUUUGGGACUAUUUUCAUAUGUUGCUUUUGAUAAGCUCAAACAAAUUUAACCGAAGAACAUGAGCAUAAUUUUUCUUUCUCUCAAAAUAAUCUAAGUGAAGCAAGAGAGAAUUUCUUAAAAAAAUUACCCCAAAUAAAUCUAAGUGAAGCAUGAGAGCAUUUCUUCAAAAAUAAUAAAGCACACCGUGCUCAAAAAGAUAUAAGUGAAGUACUAGAGCAAAUCCAUGGCUCUAAAAGUUUAAGUGAAGCAUAGGAGCAAGCAUAGCAUAAUUUUUGGCUCUCUCAAAAAGGUGUGUCCAGCAAGGAUUCAAUACUUAAAACACAAAGCAAAACAAGCAAAGUCUCAUGUCAUACAAGACGCUCCAAGCAAAAAUCAUAAUAUGUGACGAAUAAAAAUAUAGUUUCAAGUAAAAUACCGAUGGUUGUUAGAAGAAAGAGGGGAUGCCACUCGGGGGCAUCCCCAAGAUUAGUUGCUUGCUACUUCUUCAAUAUUAUCUUGGGGUACCUCAGGCAUCCCCAAGCUUACCUUUUUCUAAUCCUUGUUCCUUCAUCCAAUGUAAGAUCACCCAAAACUUGAAAACUUCAAUCACACAAAACUCAACAAAACCUUCGCGAGAUCCAUUAGUAUAAGAAAGCAAACCACUACUAUAAGUAUUGUUGCAAACCUAUUCAUAUUUUAUUUUUCAUUAUAUCUACUGUAUUCCAACUUUUCUAUGGCAAACACUCAUCAAAGAAAACAAUAGAAUCAUCAAAGCAAGCACUCAACGCAAAUAAAACAGAAUCUGUCAAAAAUAGAACAGACUGUAGCAAUCUGACUACUUCGAAUACUUCUGUAACUCCAACAAUUCUGAACAACUAGGAUGACCUGAAUAACUUGUUUAUUAAUCUUCUGAAAAAACAAUCAACUCAAAAGCACUCUUCUGUUAAAAAUUUAAAAUAAUUUUGUGAGCGAAAAAGUUUCUGUUUUUCAGCAAGAUCAAAUCAACUUUCACCCAAAUCAUCCUAAAGGCCUUGCUUGGUGAUGUCUACGCACGCUUCUAUUCUUGUAGACUAUGUUGGGCCUCCAAGUGCAGAGGUUUGUAGGUCCUUAAGUGGAUGACCUAAGGUUUAUCGAACUCAGGGAAGUAGAGGUUGAAGAUCGUCUAUCUCAAGCAACCCUGCAAUUGAGAAACAAGAAGUCUCUUGUGUCCCCAACACACCUAAUAGAAUGGUAAAUUGUAUAGGUGCACUAGUUCGGCGAAGAGAUGGUAAAAUAUGGGUGGUAGGUGUUGCAAGGCAAGGUAAUAUAAAUCUGUAAUAAAAAUAGCAGCAAGGUAGCAAGUGACAAAAGUGAGCAUAAACGGUGUAAGAAUGGUGGCAAACAAGGCCUAGGCUUCAUACUUUCACUAGUGGCAACUCCCAACAACAUUAACAUAAUAUAAUCACAUGAUAUUUCCACUAAAACAUGCAAUGGAGACGUACUUGGAGGUCAUUCCUUUGUGAUCAAGAGAGGACGAGAAUUAUGUAAGGCUUCAAAAGCACACCUCAGAGUUCGUAGUUCUCAUCUAUGGAUUUCCCAAUGUUACCGCGGCCAUCCAAAGAGAGUACCCCAAUCACCACAACAUAUCUCAAGGAUAGUCAAACACAAGCACCAAGAGACUCUCAAUCUUCAAUCAAUUCACAAAAGAGGAAAUCACUCAUGGAAAUAUUCUUCUAAUCCAUGUCCAAUAGACCGCUAUCACCAUUGUCUCGGGGAUUAUACUAGAUAAGAUCAAGUAAGUACAUCAAUCCAAUACAUAGAAGAAGGGGAAACAUCAUGGGAUUACCCUAUAUUAACAUAGCCUAUGAUCGCAAUCAAGAUCACAUCAUGGGAGAGAGAGAUGACCACAUAGCUACGGUAUAAGGCCUCAACCCCGAGGAGGAACUACUCCCGCUUCAUGGAGGGAGGAAGCAACAUCGAUGGAGAUGAAUCCGAGGGGCACUUCCCCGUUCUGACUGUGUGCCGGCACAAGAAUUCUUUCCCCCGAAACUUGUCGGCGGUGGCGUUGGAGAUCGGAAUUGCUUCUGGAGAAAAGUGGUCUGGAAUCAGCGUUUCCUCCACGGGGGUGAAAAUAGGAGCCAAAGUAGGGCACCAGAGGAGGUGGGGCCCGCCCAGGCGGCCUGCUGGCGCGGCCAAGGGGUAGGCCACGCUAGGAGGUCACGUGGACGACCCCUAGCCCCCCUCUGGCCCAUCUUCGGUGAUCUGGAAGCUUCUGGUAUGCUGAUUUUUAUAUAUUUUUCUCGGGAUUUUUGGGGCUUCGGAAAAUUGGGUAAAAGCCCUUGCAAAAAGACAUCAACAGGCAGAAACUGGCACUGUAUGCACUAAGUUAGUAGGUUAGUCCAAAUAUGUGUAAAAUGAUAUAAAAUUGUAGCAAAACAUAUAACAAUGUCACCCAAAAGAUUAUGGAACAAGCAGAAAUUAUAGAUACGUUUGGGACGUAUCAACAUCCCCAAGCUUAAUUCCUGCUCGUCCUCGAGUAGGUAAAUGAUAACACAAUAAUUUCCGUGGUGACAUGCUAACACACAUAUAAUAACUUCAAAGUAAAGCAAGUGAGAUAUGCAAUUCAAGCCAAGACAAUAACAAGCAAUAGUCUAUAUCUAGUAUUGAAUUUAGCAAAGUAAGAACAUAAAGGUGCAAGAGCUCUCGCUGUCCGUGACUCGAAUGUAUCCAAAUGGUGUUUGCGUGCAAGAAGUGGGAGAAGGAUUGAGAUCAUAAAAUGUUUUUUAAUUGAGAACUCAAUCUACUAAACCUCACACUUAGUCUCCUUCAGAAUCUUAUUUUAACUCAUCCCCAGACCACUUGUCAGGCACAAGUCAAAAUGAUCCUCUCCCUUUCGAUUUUGAGCACUCAUGCAAUGGAUGAGCGUAAGCAAGAUAUGUUGGCACUUAGGAUGGAAAAUACAAUAAUGAUGGGGAAGGACGACAAAAAGGUGUGAAAGGCUCAUAUCAAUGAGGACAACCAUAGGCGAGAGAAAGCCAAAUGAUGGAUAUGAUGUGAGGAGUAGGGGUUGCCAUGUAAUGGAUGCACAUAUGAGCUAAGGUAAGCUCUCCAAUGGAACUAGUGGGGGUGCAUCCUACUUGUAUUCUCAUGAAGACCUAGAGCUCAUUUGAGGAGGCUCAUCAUUGGAAUAUGCAAACCAAGUUCUAUAGUGCAAGGGUCCCCACAUGGUUAUGCAUGAAUGAUAAUCUCUAUGUAGUACCAAUAUAGCAAUGGAGUACAAGUGUGGAUCUUUCAAAAGGAAUAGUAGUGUUGCCCCCUUCUAUCUUUUUAUUUAUUUUUCUUUAUUUUUAUUUUUAUUUUUUUGUGGCCUCUUUGGCUCUUUCUUUUUAUCUCUCAUUUGUCCUCUUUGGGAUCUUUUGUUUUGUCCACUUUGGGAUCUUUUCCUCUCUUAAGUGCAACAAUCUAUGUUUUAGAUGAAUAAAAAUAAAAAUCAUCACACUUUAUAAGAAGUACUCAACAUAAAGACAAGUGAAAACUAUCAUGAUGUAUGCAAAUGUAUGCCUCUGCCAAUGUAGUGGGAUAUGCAAUGAUACUAGCGCGUCAUGUAGCAGUAAUGAGGGCAAGGCCCAACUAGCAUGCAGCUCUAUGAUCAAGCAAAAUCAUGUAUGACAUGAAUAUCAAGUCAUGAGAUGGUGGAUAUUGCAUGGCAAUGUAUCUUGAAAAGGCCAUGGAAAUGCCUUAAUAGCUAGGUAUGGUGGCUGUUUUGAGGAAAGAUAUAAUGAGGCUUAUGUAUGACAGAGCGUAUCAUGUCAUGGGUUUGGAUGCACCGGCGGAGUUUGCACCAACUCUCAAUGUGAGAAAGGGCAAUGAACGGUACCGAAGAAGCUAGCAAAAUAUGGAUGGUGGAAGUGCCAACAAUCGAAUACUCACAUUAGUCCGAAGAACUCAUGCACUUAUUAUCGGUAACUCUCUAUCUACUUAGGAGAUUCACAAAGAGACAAGUACCCCGAGGAGGAGUGUUUGGGUGUUUGGUUAUCCUUGCGCAUCCUCGACUCAUGGUAAUGUGAGGGUACUCUAUAUAUUUCAAUCCAGAGGUUAGCGAUCAAUUUAGUAGCUAGAGUUCUCAACUAAUUUUUAGUUUUUGAAAAAACAUACAGAUUUCCCAAAAUACGACACCUAUCACUAAUAAUCUCAAGCUCUUGGCACCAAUAGUCCAAACAUUACUCAAAUCAAUACCUCAAAACUAUUGCAAGUUACUACUGUACUUAAAUAGCAAUCUCAAUUACCUACUCAUGCAAGAAACACAACUCAGUGCAACGAGCCAACUCUCUAAACAAGAUAAGCAUGAUAACUCAAGAGAGUUCCAGAAACAACCAAAAUAAAAGAUUUUAAAAAGAUAAGCAUGAAAACUAAGAGCUAAGCAUGGCAGUAGCUACGAAAAGAUGAAGAACACACAAAAAUAUAAGCAUGAAAACCUAUGUUGUGUUCUAGAGUGGAAUGGAGCGUGUCUAUCUCCCAAACAAUGUAGGCUAGGUUCCGACUUAUUAUGAACAGCAAGCAAAACUAAAACGAACUAAAAAGCAAAUAGUGGGACGCUCCAAGCAUAGCACAUAUCAUAUGAAGUGAUAAAAAUAUAGCAUGGAGAUGGACGAACUGAUGAUUGUUGAUAGAGAAGGGGAUGCACGGGGGCAUCCCUAAGCUUAGACGCUUGAGUCUACUUGAAUAUUUCUUGGGGUGCAUGGGGGCAUCCCCAAGCUUCAGUGCUAGACGUUCCUAUAUCUUCUUUCAUCAUCUCUCCCAUCGCAUACUUGAAAACUCCCUUCAUACGAAACUCAUCAUAAGCUGAUUAGAGUGGUUAGUACCGUUAAUAAAAUAAUUCAUUACCAGUUGGAAAUAGAGUUUUUCUUGAAAAUCUACUGCUUCUCAUGAUUUUCAAAAGAUUUUUGCAAAUAAAAAAUCAAGCUUAGGAUUCGAAACAAUGAAAACACAAAACUUGGUAGAAUUUGUGAAAAACGGAACAAGAGGUAGUAAAUAAUUUUUUUGGGGCACUUCUGCAACUCAAAUAAAAAAACUCAGACCAUACGCUGGAAAUUCAAUUAUAUAGACCAUACUAUCAAAAUUCUUAAGAUCAAAAAGAUGUCCUGGUGAUUUUUGGCGAAUUUUUCCGUCAAGCAGACAUAAUCUGUUUCUGGACAGCAUGUCACAACUUUUGAACUUUCUUGCCAUCGGAGGCUAAAACUUGGCACAAAGCUUGAAAAUAAAGAUACAAUGAUGUUGCUACAGUAGUAAAAAACAUCAAGACCACUAAAACUGAAAGUAAAAGCAAAUUGGGUUGCCUUCCUAGAGCUCUUUCUUUAUAGCCAUAAAGAUAGGCUUAAGGUUUUAAUGAUGCUCUCGUAGGAAUAAGAGUUGUAGAACAAAAGAGAGCAUCAAGAAGCAAAUAUCAAACAUAUUUAAGUCUAACAUGCUUCCUAUGCGUAGGAAUAUUGCAAUAGAAUAAUUUAUUGAAGCACAAAGCAAUAAGCAUAGGAAGGCAAAACAAGUGCACCUUCAAAACCUUCAACAUAAAGAGAUGGAACUUGAUAUUAUUGAAAUAUCUAUAAGCAUAUGUUCCCUUAUCAUAAUAAUUUUCAGUGGGACCAUGAAUAAACUCAACAAUAUAAGUAUCACAUAAAGCAUUGUUUCCAUGAUCCACAUGCAAAAAUGUACUCUUACUCUCCACAUAAGCAUAAUCUUUCUCAUUGGUAAUAGUGGGAGUAGGACUAUCAUAAAUAACCUGAACACUAUAGAUUAACUGUGUAUUGGGAAGAUGGUGUUCAGCAAGGGGGUAAUUCCCUCCAUGAUUAUGACAAGUUUGAUAUGGAUAAUUUCUACUUAUGUCAUAGUUAUCUUUACAAUCACUAUAGAUAGGAGUUAUAAUAUCAUCAUGGUAGAGAAGAGCAUUAUUAUUGCUAACAACUAUAUUUGUAAACAUGUUGUCUUUAUUCUUACUAGCAAAAGAAUUAUCAAUUAUCACAUCACUAAUGGGUAAGGGUCUUGCAAUCCUAUCAUCCCCAUGCUUAGAGCUUUCCAUAUCAUCAUUUUCAAAGUUGGUACCAAAAAUAUUUUCAAGAUCAUAAGUAGCAUUAUCAUCAUCUUCCCAAUCACUAUAAGUAACAUGUAUACCAUAAUCAAAAUCAUCUUCAAUGGUACCUACGGACUUAUCAUCAAGAUAAUAACAAUCAAGCUCACCAUCCUCCAUAAAUUUAUGUCUAUCAUGAUAAAAGUUGAUGCGAGGAAUAUGCUUAGGCCAGGUUGAUACCCAUUCUUCUUCCUUCUUGUUCCUCUUCCUCCUCUUCUUUUUCUUCUUCUUCACCUUAGGAGGGAGUGGUUGGAGAGGAAGCUUCUCCAAAUAUUCUGGUUUAUCAUUAGAAACAAUAGGGGAAACUUGGGAGAAACUCUCCUUUUUAUUAGUGGAAACAUAAGAGACAUUUUUAUGCUUUGGUAAAGUUCCCUCCUUUCUAAUCUUACUUAUGUAAUCAUUUUCAUGGCAAUUAACACCGCAAUAGAGAUGUCAUUUUUGCAAAGUUUUGUUUAUUCCUAAGGCAUUAUCAUCUAGCCAAGAAGUUUUUUCUGAUAACUCUUCACACAUCAAAAAUAACAUAAGUUCAUCAUAAAGAUCAAAAGUGAUCAUGUUAUCACACAACUAGUUAAAAGUUAUGUUUUGAAAGUUCAUGCAUUGAAAAUUAAAGUGACACUCUAUACCACAAAGUUCACAAGUAAAAGGAUAAAGGUCACAUAAUUCUCUAGAAAUUUCAUUUAAAUCUCUAACCCAAGUGAUUGUUCUUUCAUGCUUAUGUUUCUUACAGUACUUCUCUUCUUCAAUCAUAGGCCUUUCACAAGGUCUAUCCACUCCACAAAAAUUAACAUGCUUAUAUAAAACUUCAUUUUUAGGAAUUGGAUCAUGCAUGUUGCAAUCAUCAUUAACAAUUGCAUCUUCUUUGCAAAUCUCUUUAAAAGGUUCAUGAUGCUUGAUCCAAUUCUAUUUAUGCAUAUUAAGAUGUGAAGCAAAAGAUUUGAGGAAAUCAACAAGGAGUUGAGAAUCAAGCCCAAACAUAGCACUAAACUUAUUAAAACUUGUAGUUUCAACAAAGGUCUUAAUGCAAUCAUACUCAUAAUUUAUACCUCACUGUUUACCUUUUUUGAUCUCCCAAUCUUCAGUAUUGGGUUGAAUUAUUUCAAGGAGUUCCCAUUUAGCAACAAUCAUUUCAUUUGUGAAAGAACCCAUAGAGGAAGCAUCGAGAAAGUCUUUAUCCCGUCGAGAGAGCCUAGCAUAGAAAUUAGUACUAAUCGUAUCUUUGGGGAGCCCACGGUUAGGAUAUUUUAGCAUUAAAGUUUUCAGUCUCCCCCAAGCUUGAGCUCUCUCUCCGUCAUGAAGAUAGAAAUUAUAAACAAAAUUCCUAUUCUCAUGGACUUCAUUAAGAGGAUAAAACUUGGAGUAAAAGAGAGACUGGAUCUCUACCCAAUCCCGUAGGUGAGAAUCAUCUAGUAGCCUAUACCAUUCCAAUGCUUUUCCUUUCAUUAACAAGGCAAAUAAUUUCCUCAUGACUCCAUCUCUUGUCAAACCUGAAAUCUUAAACAACUCACAAAGUUCUGUAAGUUUCAACAAAUAAUCACUAGGAUGGACUGUUCCAUCAUAACAAUCCUUCCUAAUUAUUUCAAUUAUCCCUAGUGGUAUUUUGAAUGGGAUACAUUCAGUAGGUGGAGGAGACUUCUCUACCACGGGUGCGGUAAAGCGGCCUUCCCCAAGCAGCGAACUAAGAGUACAUUUUUCCAUAAGCCUAACUAGUGAAAACAAGAAACGAAAAGAUUUAAAUGCAAGAUCUAAAGAUAUACCUUCAAGCACUCACCUCCCCAGCAACGGCGCCAGAAAUAGCUUGAUUUCUACGCAUGCUCCUAUUCUUCUAGACUAUGUUGGGCCUCCAAGCGCAGAGGUUUGCAGGACAACAACAAUUUCCCUCAAGUGGAUGACCUAAGGUUUAUCUAACUCAGGGAAGUAGAGGUUGAAGAUGGUAUCUCUCAAGCAACCCUGCAAUUGAGAAACAAGAAGUCUCUUGUGUCCCCAACACACCUAAUACAAUGGUAAAUUGUAUAGGUGCACUAGUUCGGCGAAGAGAUGGUAAAAUAUGGGUGAUAGGUGUGGCAAGGCAAGGUAAUAUCAAUAAGUAAAAAAAAUGGCAGCAAGAUAGCAAGUGACAAAAGUGAGCAUAAACGGUGUAAGAAUGGUGGGAAACAAGUCCUAGGCUUCAUACUUUCACUAGUGGCAGUUCCCAACAACAUUAACAUAAUCUAAUCACAUGAUAUUUCCACUAAAACAUGCAAUGGAGACGUACUUGGAGGUCAUUCCUUUGUGAUCAAAAGAGGACGAGAAUUAUGUAAGGCUACAAAAGAAGACCUCAGAGCUCAUAGUUCUCAUCUAUGGAUUUCCCAAUGUCACCGCGGCCAUCCAAAGAGAGUACCACAAUCACCACAACAUAUCUCAAGGAUAGUCAAACACAAGCACCAAGAGACUCUCAAUCUUCAAUCAAUUCACAAAAGAUGAAAUCACUCAUGAAAAUAUUCUUCUAAUCCAUGUCCAGUAGACCGCUGUCACCAUGGUCUCAGGGAUUAUACUAGAUAAGAUCAAGUAAGUAAAUCAAUCCAAUACAUAGAAGAAGGGGAAACAUCAUGGGAUCACCCUAGAUUAACAUAACAUAUGAUCACAAUCAACAUCACAUCAUGGGAGAGAGAUGACCACAUAGCUACGAUAGAAUGCCUCAGCCCCGAGGAGCAACUACUCCCGCUUCAUGGAGUGAGGAAGCAACGUCGAUGGAGAUGAAUUCGGGGGCACUUCACCAUCCCGACAGGUUGCUGACACAUGAAUUCUGUCUCCCGAAACUUGUUGGCGAUGGCGGCAGAGAUCGGAAUUGCUUCUCGAGAAAAGGGGUUUGGAAUCAGCGUUUCCUCCAUGGGGGUAAAAUAGGAGACAAAGUAGGGCACCACAGGAGGUGGGGCCCGCCCAGGUGGCCUGCUGGCACGACCAAGGGGUAGGCCGCGCUAGGAGGUCGCCUGGACGACCCCUGGCCCCCAUCUGGCCCAUCUUCGGUGAUCUGGAAGCUUAUGGUAUGCUGAUUUUUAUAUAUUUUUCUCAGGAUUUUUGGGGCUUCGGAAAAUUGGGCAAAAGCCCCUGCAAAAAAGACAUCAACAAACAGAAACUGGCAUUGGAUGCACUGAGUUAGUAGGUUAGUCCAAAUAUGUGUAAAAUGAUAUAAAAGUGUAGCAAAACAUAUAACAAUGUCACCCAAAAGAUCAUGGAACAAGAAGAAAUUAUAGAUACGUUUGGGACGUAUCACUUGGCACAAACCAUAAUUUAAACCACAAAAACACAUCUAACAAGAGGUAUAUUUGUGUAUUUUAUUGAAAACAGCAAGAAAACCGAAAAGCAAAAAGAUACAAGUUGGUUGCCUCCCAACAAGCGCUAUCUUUUUAUGCCCCUAUCUAGGCAUAACGCGUAGGAUCUAAGUGUUGUCCUCAGUAAUCUUUGCCACUUUAGUAAGGGUCUUUUCAAAUCUAGGAGGUUGUUUGCGCUUCCAUAAAUUUUCUGGAAAAGAAACCAUCUUGAGAUCUAAAAUAUCCAACUGUUUAUUGCAAAGGUUAAUCAAAGUGUUCAUACGAUUGCAAAGUGUUUAUUGCAAAGGUUAAUCAAAGUGUUUAUUGCAAAGGUUAAUCAAAGUGUUCAUACUACCAUUGAGAUGUUUGAUAGGUUCAUAAUAUUUUUGCAAUUCAACCAUAUGUUUAUGCAAAUCAGCAAGUUUGUCUGAAAUUUGGACUCCCUCUGAAAUGAAAGAGAACCCUUUCUUUUGUGGUGGAACUCCCAAAAUCCAUUCUAAAAUUUCAUAGGCAGCAUUAACAUCAAGCUCAAUAAAAUUCCCUUUCGCCGCAAAAUCCAAGAGUUGUAUAUGAUGCAAUGCCAAUCCUACGUAAAAUUUCUAAGCAAAAUUUUGGCAUCUCCCUUUAGAUUGCAAACACGGUAAGACACCAUAAGCCUAUACCAAGCAUCUUUAAAUUUUUCUCCUUGUCUUUGUUUGAAGAAUAGAACUUCAAAAUAUGGUAACAAAGGAGGAGUGUUCAAACUAGCCAUUGUGACGAGAAAACAAGAACGCGAAUAGAUCUGACGAGAAAAUGGCGAACGAAAAAGACGGCGAAUAAAACGACAAUUUUUUUUGAAGAACGAGGAGAGGAAAACGAGAGGCAAAUGGAAAAUAAUCUAAAUUGCGAGGAGAUGAGAUUUGUGAUUAGGAACCUGGUUGAUGUUGAAGAUCCUCCCCGGUAACGUCGCCAAAAAUUCCUUUUGAUGUUUGCUCGAACUACGUUGGUAUUUCCCCAAAGAGGAAGGGAUGAUGCAGUAUAGGGACGGUAGGUAUUUUCCUCAGUGAUGAGACCAAGGUUAUCGAACCAGUAGGAGAACCUCCUCACACCACGUAAAUAGAACCUGCACACAAAUAACAAAUACUCGCAACCCGACGUGUUAAAGGGGUUUUCAAUCCCUCCCCGACAACGGCGCCAGAAAUUGGCACGUUGGCGGGAGAUUAUCUUGACUUGAUCUUCCCCGGCAAUGGCGUCAGAAAUUCCUUUUGGGUACAACGCCUCAAGAUAGGCAAAUAACAUGAGGUAAAAGUGGUAGAUAGGAUAAAUAAAUCACGGAACAAAUAAAUUGCAGCAAGGUAUUUUGGUAUUUUUGGUUUAACAGAUCUGAAAAUAAAAGCAAAGGAAAAUAGAUCGCAAAGGAAAAUAUGAUGAAAAGAGACCCGGGGGGCGUAGGUUUCACUAGUGGCUUCUGUCAAGAAAAAUAGCAAACGGUGGGAAAACAAUUACUGUUGGGCAAUUGAUUGAACAUAAAAUAAUCAUGACGAUAUCCAGGCAAUGAUCAUUAUAUAGGCAUCAGUCCAAGAUUAGUAGAUCGACUCCUGCCUUCAUCUACUACUAUUACUCCACACAUCGACCGCUAUCCAGUAUGCAUCUAGUCUAUUAAGUUCAUGGAAAAACGGAGUAACGCACUAAGAACGAUGACAUGAUGUACACAAGAUCUAUUUAUGUAGAAAUAGACCCCAUCUUGUUAUCCUUAAUAUCAAUGCUAUAUACGCGUCAUUUCCCUUUUUGUCACUGGGAUCAAGCACCUUAAGAUCGAACCCAUCACAAAGCACCUCUUCCCAUUGCAAGAUAAAUAGAUCAAGUUGUCCAAACAAAACCCAAAUAUAGGAGAAGAAAUACGAGGCUAUAAUCAAUCACGCAUAUAAGAGAUCAAAGAAGACUCAAGUAACUUUCACGGAUAAAAAUAUAGAUAUGAUCAUAAACUCAAAGUUCACCGGAUCCCAACAAACACACCGCAAAAAGACUUACUUCAUAUGGAUCUCCAAGAGACCAUUGUAUUGAUAAUCAAGAGAGAGAGAGAGAGAGAGGAAGCCAUCUAGCUACUAACUACGGACCCGUAGGUCUACAAAGAACUACUCACGCAUCAUUGGAGAGGCACCAAUGGACAUGAUGAACCCCUCCAUGGUGGUGUCUAGAUUGGAUCUCGUGUUCCUGGACUCUGCGGCGGCUGGAAUUGAUUUUCGUCCCCCCGCCUUAGGGUUUCUGUAAUAUUGGGGUAUUUAUAGAGCAAAAAGGCGGUGCGGGAGGCCACCGAGGAGGGCACAACCCACAGUGGCGCGCCUAGGCCCCCAGGUGCGCCCUGGUGGGUUGUGCUCCCAUCGGAGCUCCCUUGAGGUGCGUUCCUGGCCCACAGGAUGUCUUCUGGCCCAAAAGGAAUCCACAAAAAGUUUCACUGCGUUUGGACUCUGUGUGGUAUUGAUUUAGUGCGAUGUAAAAUACAUGCAGAAAACAACAACAUGCACUGGGCACUAUGUCAAUAGGUUAGUACCAAAAAUGUUAUAAAAUGACUAUAAAAUGAUUGUAAAACAUCCAAGAAUGAUAAUAUAACAACAUGGAACAAUCAAAAAUUAUAGAUACGUUGAAGACGUAUCAACUAGCACGCCAAGCUCAUCGAGAUUCCCAUGCGUGACGACGUGAUCUCAUUAUGCGGACACAACAACUCUUCAUCGACUUGUAUCAUCAUCAACGCCCUGCAGCUACAAAGUCUCUGGUGAAAGGUGUAGUUAGACACAUCGCGCAUAUCUGCACGGUCACUCCGGAAGACGACAACACCACCCCCAACUCCGCCCUGCAUCCAACAUGUCAUCGACGAGUUUGACGACUUCUUCCGUGAGCCCGUGGGCCUACCUCCACGACGCGCCUGUGAUAACUGCAUUCUUUUCAUCCCAGGGGCGCAACCGGUCAACAUACGAGCAUACCAACACAAGCCUGAUAUGGAGGACGAAAUCGAUCCCCAAGUCGCCGAACUGCUUCGCACAGGCAUCAUCCAAUGAAGUACCAACCCCUUCGCUUCACCAAUCAUUUUGGUCAAGAAGAAGGACGGAACAUGGUGUCUCUGCAUCAAAUACAGGCAGCUCAAUGUGCUCACAUGCGUCAGCAAGUACCUGGUGCCGGUGAUCAAGAAACUUCUCGACGAGCUACACGGUGCGGUUUGGUUUUCCAAGCUCGACCUCCGUGCUGGUUAUCACCAGAUUCGCCUGGCUAAAGGGGAGGAUUACAAGUGGGCGUUCCAAGCACACUUGAAGCACUUCGAGUUCAUAGUGGUGUCACUCGGACUCGCCUGGGCACCAUGCACAUUUCUGGGUGCCAUGAAUACCACACUACACACCCUACCGCGAGUGUGCAUCCUAGCCUUCUUCAACGACAUCUUGGGUGUUCAGGAAGACCCUCAAGGACCACGCGGGCAAUCUCUGGCAAGUACUGACACUGCUUCAUGAAGACCAGUGGCAGGUGAAGCUCUCCAAGUGUGCGUUCAGGCAACAGCGACUCUGGUACUUGCCUCACAUGAUCAGCAACCAGUGACCUGCCAUGGAGCAGACCAAGAUCAAGGCUAUUGCUCAAUGGACUACUCCAACUAAUGUCAAAGUAGUCCGGAGAUUCUGUUGAAAAAAUGAGCGAUUUAACAAGUGAUUUUACUAAUAGAAAUAAUAGAUAAACCACGACUACCAUAGCAAACAUAUGAUAGGUCAUCUAAUUAUAGAGAAAAUAUGGAAGUUGCAUUUGAAAAUAUGAACAUGAACGGAACAUAUCUAGAAAAGAAACUACAACAAGAAGUUGAGGCAUGAACUCGAACAAGAAGAAUACGAGAACGUACUGAAAUGCAGCUACAGUUGCAGCAAAAGUGGUGUUGUUGGUGGACAUGUUGUCGAAGAGCUGGUCGACGUCAGGGAAGAAGUCGUCGUCCGGGAAGAGGUCGUCGGUGUCCGUGAUGUAAGCCAGUAGUCACGCGGAGCGAUCCCCAAAAAGCAUAUCGCCCUUCUCUUGUACAUGACCCAAACGACGGAGUUUAGGAGGCAUACUGUCCCGACCUACGAUUCACGCCACAAGCCGGGAUGGGUAAGAACGUAGCAGCAGCACAGAGUUUGAAACCGGUGGUGAGAGGAAGUUCUGAUGCGUACCUCUAGAGAGGAGCGACCUCUCUUUUAUAGGCGAAAGAGAAGGAGGCGAGAGGCCAGCGACGGGAGCCGAAGAGAACGAGGGAGACGAAACGAACAGACAUCAGCCAAAGGGUGCAACGUUCGUGUUCAAUAUCCACUACAACAAAACGUUUAGCUUCCAAGUGACCUUUCGCGCAACCUGCGGCCCGUCGUGACGAGGCGAGGAGGGCGGCGGAGGAGGAGGAGUGCACGUCUAUGUCUCUCUUGUUUUCAUGCUCAUACAUAUGUGGAAACAUCCUCCUUAUAAGAGGUCCAACUCCCACAAACUAGCAAUGUGGGACCAAACGUUUUCACCUCUUGCCUUGCACAAAUGGGUUGCAUGGGCCUGUAGGAUUUAUUAGGAAUUUCUGAAAUUGUAUCUUGGGNNNNNNNNNNNNNNNNNNNNNNNNNNNNNNNNNNNNNNNNNNNNNNNNNNNNNNNNNNNNNNNNNNNNNNNNNNNNNNNNNNNNNNNNNNNNNNNNNNNNNNNNNNNNNNNNNNNNNNNNNNNNNUGAAAUUGUAUCUUGGGCUGGCCCAAAAUAGGUAAAAAUUCUAGCAAUCCCCCACUAGAUCCCACAGGCACACAAAAUUUGCCUUUGGUUCCAAAACACUCUUUUAUAUACCGAUACUGCAGUAGAGACUGUUAAGUUGAACUUCGACCUAGAACUCUAUGCUACACUAGUAAGCAACUUGAACACUAGACUAGGCCUUGAACUGCAAGUUUUCUGCGAAUCUAGCUUCACACAGAGCCUUGACCGAUACUAGGCUACCGUGGGACUUCCCCGCGGAUGGAGCUUAUGCGUCAUACUCCGAGACCUUUCAUGAGUUUACUCGAGAGCACCCUACUCUCAUAGAUUGCGACAUUAACAAUCAGACUCAUAUAGGUGUGUUCUUCAAAAGAUGUUCAGCNNNNNNNNNNNNNNNNNNNNNNNNNNNNNNNNNNNNNNNNNNNNNNNNNNNNNNNNNNNNNNNNNNNNNNNNNNNNNNNNNNNNNNNNNNNNNNNNNNNNNNNNNNNNNNNNNNNNNNNNNNNNNNNNNNNNNNNNNNNGGCAGGACAACAUUUCUGCUUUAAUAAGCCACUUAGAACAUAUUAAGAUGUAUAUCAACCUGCCAUGUAGUUUAGGAAAGUAUUGCAUCAUCAUGGAGUGGUAUUAUUAAUGAUAAGGAUACUUUCCCCUCACUUGACCAACAACUUGUCUUCCACAUCUAAUUCACGGGAUCUCCGAUCACAAAGAAUAGGUUACCACUAUGAACAACUCAUAUUGUGGGUCUCAUACCCAUCUCCCUCGUUGCAUUAUCUAUCACAUUACGUGAUAGACCCUUAGUAAAAGGAUCUGCUAGAUUUUUAGAUGUUUGGAUAUAAUCCAAUGCAAUAACUCCAGAGUUUCUCAUUUUCCUGACAUAUUUUAACCUUCUGUGAACAUGUCUUGAUGACUUCAUGUUAUCCUUUGAGCUGCUCACUAUCGUGAUCACAGUUUGAUUGUCGUAGUUCAUAAGGAUACCUGGUACAUGUUUCUCAACAACCGGCAAGUCACUCAAGAGACGGCGAAGCCAAUCUGCUUCGACCGUAGCUGUCUCUAGUGUUGUGAGUUUUGCUUCCAUUGUUGACCUUGUUAAGAUCGUUUGCUUGCAAGACUUCCAAGAAACAGCGCCACCUCCAUGAGUGAAUACAUAUCCGCUCGUGGCCUUUAUCUCAUCAGCAUCAGAGAUCCAGUUUGAAUCAGUAUACCCUUCAAGCACCUUUGGGUGUCCAGUAUAGUGAAUUCCAUAAUUUGUAGUGUCUUCAAAUAAUGCAAAAAUAUCUCUAGAGCUUUCCAAUGCACAUCUCCUGGUUUUGAGACAAUCCGACUUAUUUUGCUAACAGCAAAAGAGAUGUCACGUCUUGUAGCACUGGCUAAGUACAUAAGUGAGCCAAUAAUCUGAGAAUAUUUCAAUUGGUCUCUAGCAAUUCUUCGAUUCUUUCGAAGCACCACACUGGCAUCAUAUGGUGUUGGAGAGAGCUUGCAGUCACUAUAUCCAAAGCGACUCAAAAUCUUUUCCACAUAGUGAGAUUGAAGCAAUGUAAUCCCACCAUCAUCGUCUCUCAACAACUUGAUGUUCAGAAUGACAUCAGCCACUCCUAAAUCCUUCAUCUCAAAACAGUGUGAUAGAAAAUCCUUGACCUCCUUCAUAACAUUCAUAUUUGUUCCAAAAAUCAGUAUGUCAUCAACACACAAGCAAAGGAUAACUCCCUCGCCUCCACCAUGGCGAUAGUACACACAUUUAUCUACUUUGUUUACAACAAAGCCUGCAGUUGCUAAAGAUCUUUCAAACUUCUCAUGCCAUUGCUUGGGUGCUUGCUUAAGUCCAUAUAAAUACUUCAACAACUAGCACACUUUUCCUUCCUGACCAUCUACUACAAACCCAUCUGGUUGUUCCAUGUAAAUUUCCUCAUCCAACUCUCCAUUUAGGAAAGCAGUCUUAUCAUCCAUUUGAUGAACAAGAAGACCAUGUGAGGCAGCUAGUGAAAGUAGUACUCGAAUAGUGGUUAGUCGAGCCACAGGUGAUUAAGUAUCAAAGAAGUCUUCACCUUCCUUUUGGGUAUAACCCUUGGCUACGGGCCGUGCCUUGUACUUCUCGAUAGUACCAUCAGGCCUAAGCUUCUUCUUGAAUACCCAUUUGCAUCCUAUAGGUUUACACCCAUAAGGACGAUCAAUUAUCUCCCAAGUUUCAUUUGCCAAGAUGGAAUCCAUCUCUCUACGGACUGCUUCUUUCCAGUAGUCACCAUCUUCAGAUGCAUAGGCUUCUGAAAUAGAACUAGGAGUGUCAUCAAUGAGAUACACAAGAAAGUCAUCACCAAAGGACUUUGUAGUCCUCUGUCUCUUGCUCCUCGUAGGGACUUCAGUGUUCUCCUCCACAGGUUUUUCAAAGUUUUCCAUCGAAAUGGUGGGUUUAAUAAUUGUAACUAAUUCAUGACUCGAUGAACUAAGCAUCUCCUGAUUAGAUGAGGUAGCCAUAUCUUUCAUGGGAAAGAUAUCUUCGAAGAAAGUCGCUUCAUUCGAUUCCAUGAUUGUACUGACAUGCAUGCCAGAUACCUCAGAUUUUGCAACCAAGAAUCUAUAUCCAAUGCUAUGAAAAGCAUAUCCUAGGAAAAGAGAAUCCACAAUUUUUGGUCCUAGCUUGCGCUUCUUUGGAAUUGGCACAUUCACUUUCGCCAAACAACCCCACGUUCGUAUAGAAGAGAGUUUUAACCUUUUCUUCUCCCAUUCGUCGAAUGGAGUUAUCUCUUUGUUCUUUGUGGGAACUCGGUUUAGGACAUGACAUGCAGUCAAUAUUGCCUCCCCCCACCAUGCCUUGGAGAGACCCGAUGUGUCUAACAUGGCAUUAACCAAAUCAGUUAGAGUACGGUUCUUUCUUUCGGCUACCCCAUUUGACUGAGGUGAAUAGGGAGGCGUCCUCUCAUGGAUUAUACCAUGUUCCGCACAGAAAGAAUCAAAUUCAUUUGAGAAAUAGUCUCCACCACGAUUGGACCUAAGCCUCUUAAUCUUUUGAUCAAGUUGGUUUUCAGCUUCAGCUUUAUAGAUCUUGAAAUAGUUCAAAGCCUCAUCCUUAGACUUCAGAAGAUACACUUGGCAGUAUCUAGUGGAGUCAUCAAUUAACGACAUGAAAUAUUUCUUUCCACCUUUUGUCAAAAUGAUAUUCAUUUCACAUAGAUCUGAAUGUAUGAGCUGUAGUGGUGCAAGGUUUCUCGUUUCGGCAGUCAUGUGAGACUUACGAGGCUGCUUGGCUUGCACACAAACUUGACACUUAGAUCCCUUGACGGUGGUGAAAUUAGGAAUUAAGUUCAAUUUGGCUAGUCGCGACAUGCAACCAAAAUUAACAUGAGAGAGACGCGAAUGCCACAUAUUUGAUUCACUAUUGUUGCAAACAUCAUUAACAACCUUAUUAGAAACAUGUGCCAAGGAUAAACGGAACAUGCCUCCUGACUCAUAGCCUUUACCAACAAAAGUUCCAUACUUGGAUAUUACAAAUUUAUUCGACUCAAAGACAAGCUUGUGGCCAUCUCUACAGAGAAGAGAUCCCCUAACGAGAUUUUCAUUGACGGAGGGGACAUAAUGCACGUUCUUCAGCCGCACGACCUUCCCCGAAGUAAACUUCAGAUCGACCGUGCCAAAACCAUGAACAGAAGCACUUGAACCGUUACCCAUCAGCACGGUGGAAGUCCAUGCGGUCUGGUAAGACGAGAACAUGGAAAUAUCACCGCGUACAUGCACAUUAGCACCCGUGUCAAUCAACCAAUCGGGAAAAUGACAUACUGAAAGGAUAGUGGGAAAUAUACCAUACCCAGCAUCCUCCAUCUCAGUGUCACCAAUGACAACAUUAGCGGUCUUGCCACCUUUCCCAUGUUGCCGCUUGUCAUAACGGUUAGGGCGGUUAGGUGCCCAAUGGUCAGGAUCUCGACACACAUGACAAACACCUUUCUUCUUGUCAUUCUUCUUCUUGAAGUUGGUGUGCUGUAUAGCCUUGCUCUUCAUCGAACUUUGUUUUACCAUCAAACUUGCCCUUGUUCUUGAAAUUGUGGGGCUGGAAGUUUUUCUUCUAUUCCAGAUUGGCAUUAGAUCCUCCCUCAAUACCUCGAGCACGUGUGUCUUUUGCUCUCGCCUUUUCUUCCACAUCAAGAGUACCAAUGUGAUCCGGAAUAGAAAACUCCUGCCUCUUAUGCUUCAGUAAGGUAGAAAAGUUCCUCCACAAAGGAGGAAGUUUAGUGAUGAUGCCUCCCGCAACAAACUUGUCCGGUAGCAAGCAAUUGAAGUGCUCAAGUUCUCUAGCAAAUGAUUGUAUCUCGUAAGCUUGCUCAACCACGGAGCGCUCUUCAGUCAUCUUGUAGUCAUAGAAUUUUCCAUGAUGUACAACUCAUUGCGAGCAUCCAAGACCCCAAACUUGGCCUCGAGUGCAUCCCACAUAUCUUUUCCAUUAUCAAUUGAUGCAUAAGAAUCAACAAUGUUCUCACCAAGAACACUCAAGAAAGCAGCCUUAAACAAGGUAUCCAUUUUCUGAAAACCUAGUUCCUGUUGAGCAUCAUGAUCUCCUUCAGGUUUGCCAAAAGGGGUGUCAUAGCAGUUCAUGGUUUGAAAUCAUAGAACAACUCUCAUGCGCCACCUCUUGUAGUGGAUAUCCUCAAACAUAGGAGGUCUCAUGGAAGCAGCAAAACCACUUGGGGUAAAUUGCCUAUAAUAAGGUUUUUGGAUUGUUGAAAAAAUGAGCGAUUUACCAAGUGAUUUUACUAGCAGAAAUAAUAGAUAAACCACAACUACCAUAGCAAACAUAUGAUAGGACAUGCAAUUAUAGAGGAAAUAUGGAAGUUGCAUUUGAAAAGAUGAACAUGAACGGAACAUAUCUAGAAAAUAAACUACAACAAGAAGUUGAGGCAUGAACUCAAAGAAGAAGAAUACGAGAACGCACUGAGAUGCAGCUACAGCUGCAGCAGCAAUGGUGUUGUUGGUGGACAUGUUGUCGAAGAGGUGGUCGACGUCAGGGAACAUGUCGUCGUUCGGGAAGAGGUCGUCAGUGUCCGUGAUGAAAGCGAGUAGUCGCGCGGAGUGCUCCUCAAAAAACUUAUCGCCCUUCUCCCGUACAGGACCCAAAGGACGAAGUUUCAGAGGCCUAUUGUCCUGACCUAUGGUGCACGCCGCAAGCCGGGAUGGGGAAGAAUGUAGCAGCAGCACAAAGAUUGAAACCUGUGGCGAGAGGAAGUUCUGACGCGUAUCUCUGGAGAGGAGCGACCUCUCUUUUAUAGGCGCAAGAGAAGGAGGCGAGAGGCCAGCGACGGGAGCCGAAGAGAACAAGGGAGAUGAAACAAACAUAUUCAAUAUCCACUACAACAAAACGUUAGCUUCCGAGUGACCUUUUGUAUACUAGUCGUGCAUGGCAAAAGUUUAGUUCGGCUCGGCUCAUUCCCGCGGCGCGUCGUGACGAGGCGGGCGGCGGAGGAGGAGGAGCGUGCGUGUAUGUCUCUCUUGUUCUCAUGCUCAUACAUUUGUGGAAACAUCCUCCCUUAUAAGGAGGUCCAACCCCCGCUAAACUAGCAAUGUGGGACUAAACUUUUACACCUCUUGCCUUGCACUAAUGGGCUGCAUGGGCCUCUAGGAUUUAUUAGGAAUUUCUGAAAUUGUAUCUUGGGUUGGCCCAAAAUAGGUUAAAAUUCCAGCAGAUUACUGGGUCUGGCGGGAUAUUAUCGGCGCUUUGUCAAGAACUUCGGGAUUAUAGGCCGUCCACUAUUUAACUUGCUCAAGAAGGGGGCUCCAUUUUUCUAGACCCAAACAACAAAGGCAGCAUUCCCAAUCCUCAAGCAACAACUCGUUGAUGCACUAGUGCUUGCAUUACCAGACUUCUCCAAGCCGUUCGUGAUCGAGACUGACGCCAGCGACAAAGGGAUCGGCGCGGUCCUUCAGCAAGGUGGGCACCCGAUUGCAUACAUGAGCAAGGCCGUGAACCCAAACUACCCGAGCCUCUCCACGUACGAGAAGUAGUACCUGGCGGUGAUCAUCGUUGUGGAUCAGUGGCGCCCCCACCUGCAGCACGCUGAGUUCGUCAUUCAGACGGACAAACACAGCCUCAACCAUCUUAACGAGCAGUACCUCACCACCCCAUGGCAACAAAAAACAUUCACGAAGCUCCUCUUGCUGCAGUUCACCAUUUGUUACAAGAAAGGCAGUGACAACGACCGACUCCCUCUCUCGCGCUAACACGUAUGAAUUCUUGCAUGGCAUCAACUCCUGUCAGCCUGCUUGGCUCGAGGACAUGGUCAACAACUAUAACACUAAUCCCCAAGCACAACGUCUCCUAGAGAAACUGGCCAUCCGUGACGACCCCAAGGGACGAUUAAGGCUACAACUGGGCCUGCUGCGUUUCCGGGACAUGAUUUGGCUCAGAGGUUCCAUGAAAAUGCAGCAGCGCAUCAUCGCCGCCUUCCAUGGCAACACCAUGGGAGGUCACUCGAGAUUCCCUGUCACGUAUCGGCGCAUACAUCUCUUGUUUGCCUGGCCAAAAAAUGCAGACGCAUGUUCAGCAUUACAUCCACUGUUGCCAGGUAUGUCAGCGAGCUAAACCCAACCGUGCCGCUACCCGUGGACUGCUGAUGCCUUUACCCAUCCCCAAGGAGUCAUGGGAUCUCAUCACCAUGGACUUCGUGGGUGGGCUGCCGUAGUCUGGAUAGUUUUACUGUCUCCUAGUGGUUCUCAACAAGCCCGCGCGCUUCGCUCACUUCCUGCCGCUCACGCACCCCUACAAGGCUGCCAAAUUGGCUCUUCUAUACAUGGAACAACUAUACAAACUGCACAAAUUUUCAGGGGUGAUUGUUUCAGACCGUGAUCUAGUUUUCACCAGCCAGUUUUGGCAAGAGCUGGUCAAAUAUGCAGGUACAGAAUUGCACAAGAGCACGGCGCAUGACCCUCAAAUUGAUGGCCAAAUGGAACGAGUCAACCAGUGCAUUGAGACGUACAUGCGCUGCUUCGUUCAGGCCUGCCCAAAGCACUGGAGCUUCCGGGUGCCACUGGCGCAGUUCGGGUACAACUCGUCGCACGACUCAGCGAUUGGGAUGUCACCAUUCAAGGCCAUGUUCGGACGCGAACCAAGACACUUGGUGUGAUCGAGCACGUCGGUGCAUCCAAGCAUAUGUUGGGAUAUAAGAGCAUCUACAGCCGAACCCCUCAAAUGAUCCCUCAUACAUCCGGGGAUACGCUCGGGCAGUGAUCGGACAAGAGAGAGAAGGAAAAAAAGUGACUCAACCGGACUCCCUCAUAUCGUCUCCAUAUGUCCGGGCUGUCCGCGAACCCUCAUAUCCAUCUCAAAUAUGGGGAGGAUAUGAGGGCUUGUGGAUGCACCCGAGCGCGUCCAAUUAGUCAGUCACAUAGAAAGCGACCCCACCCGGACCAUAUUUUCUUUUCUUUAUUUAUUUAUUUUCUUUCUCUUUCUUCAUCUUCAUCAAUCAUGUGUAAGUAACCGGACAUAUAAAGAAGAAAAUGAAAAGUGUAACUGCGUGGACAGAUAAAUAGGGGGACACGCCCGGCUAAUGACCGGCGCGCUAGCAUUUGAGAGGUCAUAUUUACAAUGUUUAACUAUAGAUGCUCUAAGCUGUCAAAUCUCUAUCCCCUAACAUGCGACCUUAGUAAUAGGCGCUAAUUUGUGUGACGUCGCUACUUAGAACAACCGUUUUCCUCUUGGUCCACGCACGAAAUGCUCCGCCGAACGCGCCCUGAUUAAUGGGCUAAGAAAAAAUUAAAAAAUAUUCUUUACUAGACCUCAUCAGGCUGCUGGACAAGAUUACACACUAUUACCAUGAUGUAAACUGUUUGGACCUGCACGAUGGUUCUUCUCACAUGCAUGUGGAGUUAAGGCUCGAACUGCUCAUCCAUGCGCGUAUUACUGUUAAUGUAAACUGACUUCACCAUAUUAAGGUUCAAUUACCGCCUAACGGUCAUAUAGAAAGAUGUAGAAAUAAGUGUGAAUCCCGGUUUUUACCCCCUAGUUUAACUGUUUUGACGCUAAUUAGAAAUAAGAGUGAAUUCCGAUUUUUACCCCCUAUUUUAACUGUUUUGGCACUAAUUAUCUCAUUUAGUGAGAUUUCAUUCAUUUUACCCUAUUUAGUAAAAGUUCUGUCACGAUUUGCCCUGUUUAAAGCUUUGCCAGUGUUUUGUCACAUAAACCUUUUUUCCUCUCUAUUUUUUUGUCUGGUGAACCGGUCAUCACAACUUCUUUGGAUCAGGCUCGCCCCGAUGGAGGUCGGUCGUAGGUCGCUCGCAUCACGUCCAACGUACAAUGCAUGAGUCAGUCGCACGCCGCACUCGCUCCUAAUCGAUUGCAUCGCCCGUUCAGGUUUCUGACUGCAAGCACCCAUUAGGCUCGCUCGAACAUAGGUUUAGGGAUUGCCAGGCAGCGAUGACGGUGACGACGGCGUGAUUUCAUACAUCCUCGAGUAGGGCUGUAUGGCCGCAACAUCAAGGCAAGAUACGACCCCAUGGAGUCUGACGACUCCGUCAAGCUCGCCGACGUCUUUGUUCUUUCUACUUUGACGACAUAGCUGGACACCAUCAGGUUGUGCUCAAUAGAUGACUGGUCUAUGGCCCUCUCAUUCGUACCCUAUUUCACAUGAUUUUUACCAUCACUAUCAUAACAAUUUGUAUAUUCUGAAAUUUCUGACUCAUGCAUUGGACAAUGAGGCAUUUGAUUCAGGCAUAAUUAAGAUGCUUAUUAGAAGAUCACGUGUAUACGUGUCACCCUUCUAAAACCGAGUUAUGCAUUGACCGAUGACGCGAAUGAACUGUAUUGGUGCGAUCAUAUCGGACCCGCCAGGUCGGGACAAGCUGUGAGGAUCGUUUCAACAUGGAGCAAAAUAGGCAGAAAAAACCCGUCGAUUUGGCAUGCCACAUGAACCUGACAAUUGAGACUUUCCCAUCAAGACCCUCAUAAAAUUUUAAAGAGGGUAAAUUGUGGCAUAACUUUUGCUAAACGGGGUAAAAUUGAUAAAAUCCUGCUAAAUGGGAUAAUUACUGUCAAAAAUAUCAAAACAUGGGGUAAAAAUCGAAAUUUACUCUAGAAAUAAUUUCAGUCCCAUGAAUAUUAGCAAAUAUGUGCAGAUUUUUAAUAUGCAAAAGAAAUCAAUUACUGACUUUAAAAAUAUAGCACUUUGAGCGGACUAAUUUAGAAGUGUGAGCUUAAUAUUUCAUUGAAUAUCAAAAAAUAGGUUAGCAUUAGUGUCAAACCCCAUGAAAAUUAGCGAAUGCGUGUGAAUUUUCUACCGGCAAAAGAAAUUAAUUAAUUUAUACUACUAUUAAACGAGAAAACAUAUUCAUCGCUAAGUUUAUCCAACCUAAUAUAUACAAACAACACAAAUCAGUUAAAGCUUCAUGAUCAGAAUCAUUUAAUUGAAUCUAACCGUCAAGAUUAUACUAACCAUGAGCCAAAACAUGUUUAGCAAUGGACAACGGUAGACAUCACACUAGCUGCGUUGGCCCCUGGAAACUAGCUUGGGAAGUUAUUUCCUACGUACAAAAUCCAGCAUUAAUUGCCUCCACAAAUCAUGCCGUUUACUUGAGGAUAUGCAUUCUUGGUCCUUGGAUUUAGGAUGCAACUUGCAGAUUUUAGGAAGCUUGCAUUUCAGGAAGCAAAACUUUUAACCAACAUGGCAACGCCAAAUUUGCAUCAGAUGCACGUGCUUCUACUUUUAUUUGUAAUUAGUUUAUGUUUCCAUUAAUUAGGUAAUUUUCUUAUGUGGUGAAUGUCUGCUCCAAUAUUUUUGAUUAUUUUUGUCAUGUCGGCAUAUUAUGUCUAAGAAGCAUCACUAUCUUGUCCCAUCGACUAAACAGAUAGAGAAUUGCUUCAAAUAUCAUUCCAUCCAAAAUAAAAAUAUUUCACAUGUUUCAGAAGAUUCAUGAUCUUUCUUCUAUAUACUUGAGAAUUGCGACGAACCAUCUUCUAUCAAAAAGGAAAAAUAUUCCACAUGAUUCAAAACCAUCAUGAUCUUGCUUUCAUCGGCAAGACAACUACUUCAAACCUUCUUCUAUAAAAAACAAAUAUAUUCCACAUGUUUUGGUAGCAUCACGAUCUUGCUUGCAUCGACUAGAGAAUUGCUUUGAAACUUCUUGUGACAAAAGGGAAAAAUAUUCCACAUAUUUUGUAAGCAUCACGAUCUUGCUUCCAUCAACUAGACGAUUGGUUCGAACCUUCUUAUGUUGAAAAGGAAAAAUAUUCCACAUGUUUCGAAAGCAUCACAAUCUUCUUCCACCGACUAGACGACUGCUUCGAGCCUUCUUCUCUCAAAAAAGGAAAAUAUUCCACAUGCUUGGAAAGCAUCAUGAUCUUGCUUCGAUCGACUAGACAAUUGUUUCGAACCUUGUGCCGUCAAAAAGGGAAAAUAUUCCUCAUGUCUUAGAAGAAUCAUGAUCUUGCUUCCAUCGACUACACGACUGCUUGGAACCUUCUUUUGUCAAAAAUGGAAAAUAUUUCGCAUGUUUAGGAAGCAUCAUAAUCUUGUUUCCACCAACUAGAGAAUUGCUUCCAAAAAGAAUAUUAUUUCACUUCCAUUGAAAAGAAAAAAGAAAUCAUCAUAGUUCCACUAGUUCGUAUAAACUCUUGGUUUGUUUAUAAAGAGAGAAGCAUAUUUUCUAGACCGAAGAAGCAUAUUAAUAUUACUUGGUGUCGGGACCCCGAUCCUAAGCCAUAGGAAUCUAGCCUGUAACACAUCGCAUCUCUUUGCGGUCUCACGCACGGUUAACCCCACGGCUGCAGCCUUGCCUUAGCCGGGACCGUUUGCGCCUUUUGAUUCACGUAUGCAAUUGUGUCGCUAGCAAUCCAAUGACAAAGAACCUGGAUCGACAUGUUUAGUCAUAAACCAAAGUGGCAGUUCCGCACAGGGACAGGAAUACAUGACCCAGCAAAGCAGGUGUCGGUCACCAGCGAAUGUAAACGAGUCGUAGCAAGCUACAAGGACUCCAUAACAUCGCGUGACAUUUCCCCAAAGGGGACACACAUAGCAGCUAAGAAGGACACAUGCCGGUCAACCAAUGUGUCCGGAGCAGUAGCGAGCUACCAUGGCUUGUUGGAUCACAAAGGGGCAUCUCCCUGUAAGGGAUGCUACUAAAGUCUACGGCUAGGUAAUCGAACCCCAUACAUAUCAAGUACGACACACGUACGCAUGGCAUACCGAUAUGUAUAGAUACAUCGAUGGCAUCACAACAUAACCAUAAACAUACAAGCUUUAUUUAAGAGGCUCGGAAGAGCCACACAUAUAAUAUUACACAGUAGGGGUCUCAUGACCCAUCAUAACAGUCAUUCAAGUUACAGGCCAGCGGAAGUAAUUAAACUGUCUGAGUACAGAUAGAUGAAACUAGAAGGUACGUGGCCUGACUAUACUACAGACACACCCUAGGGCCAGAUUGUAGCUGGGACACCAGCUACUCGUCGUCGUCGAUGUCUAGGAAGAACCCUCCAUUAGGGUCAUUAACAACCUCUGCAACAAAUAUUAAGCAAACAUGAGUACGAAGGUACUCAGCAAGACUUUAGGGUAACUAUCUACUCAUGCAAUGUAUCAAUAAGGAAUUGUGGGGUUUCAUGCGGAAAGCCAGCAUUUGACUCGUGGCUAGAUAACUUGCAUUUUAAAACAAUUUUUGACAACUUGAUUUCUCGCACACGAGUCCACUAACACCACAACAGUACUCCAUCGUGGAAUCAUUCCGUCUCCAUACGGAAAUGCCGUCCACGACACUCACGCUUAUCUUGACAAUUUUAUGAGUAGCCAUUGAAGUUAUCUAUGAACAACAUAUGUCUCCAAGUAGUCCAUAUUCGCGGACGCGGCUAUUCGAAUAGAUCAUAACCCUGCAGGGGUGUACUUCUUCACACACGCUCUUGCCACUUAUUGCCAUGUGCACGUCAUGCACCUCGGCAACCUUCACGCGGAAGCCCAGCGAGGGAGUCGGCCACGACCGUUAACCACACUAAUACUUAGUCCAGGUUUAUCGCCUAUCUGAGGGUAACCCGCACGGAAGUACGGCCGAGGUUUCCGCCACGGCCCCAAACGAUGUGCGCAGGGUUCCCAAGCCCACCAUCCGGGUGCCACUUGGUACACCAUGCCACUGCCUAUCGCAUCACAGCCCUCCUCUCAGGUCAGCGCUAUGCACGGCCUCCAACAUGACUAUAAACACCAGAAACUACUUGCACCUCCUGGACCGAGUACUAAGCGAUUAAUAAGUCGAGAGGGUCAAUUAAGUAUCUCAACAUGUGGUAGUAUCUAGUCUUGGAUUACAUACACUGAACUCAGUUCCUAAGGACGGUUCCAAUGAAACAACCCGCCAUGUACUCCUACAUAGCCUUUCACCGGUACCUUUACAAAAUCAGGUUCAACACACCACCUUUACUUACUGAACACAUUCUCACAAUUCUGUUCAUCUCCCAGAUGACAGACCAUACACAACUCUAAGCAUAGCAUGCAUAGCAGGAUAAGGCACAUCAUGGCUCAAGCAACUACCAGGUAUGCUAGGUUGCAAGGUUCAGCUAUUUACCGUGACAAGGACAGGUCAUGCAAAGGAAGUGGGUUCAACUAACGUGGCAAAAGCAUUUGAGCAUUUGAUCCUAUUGCAAUAAGUAAGUGCAGGAGCGAGAACAUGGGAUUUAUCGGGAUGAUCAAAAUGGUUGCUUGCCUUGUUGCUCACAGGAGGGACAAUAUCCAUCAGUCGGAUAUUCAGUGGAAUCCGGAGGAGCGGAGCCUACCGAAAGAAACAACAACAAUCAAUAACAAUCAUAAGCAACAAGAUGAUGCAUGAGCAUGGCAUGAGGAUGCAAGGUGGUUUGCUAAUAUAGCUAACAUUUGUUAGGUUUGAAGUUGAUUUGAGUCAGAUUCAAGUAUCACUUCAAACGAGGUAUUCUCGAAUACCAUUUUAAUUGAUUCGACCUGAUGCUCCGAUCAACUUGUUUUUAACAUCAUGGAAAUGACAUGUUAAUUUGCUGGUUUGUGAUUGAACAAUGUUUGAUCAUAGUAUUUGAAGUGGAAUUUAAAUGAAUUUUUCAAAUUACAUCUCCAUAAAAUUUAUUAAAUUUAACUUAUGCAUUAUUCUACAUGUUUGGUCCAGUAACAUUUUCAAACAUGUUUGAAAAUGACAUAUUCAGAUUCCUUGGAUUUUUUGAUACUUUUUCAUAUAUAAAUUAUUUUCAUUGGAGUUACAGAUUAAUUUCUAUGGUUUUUAGAAGUUUUUGCAUUUUUUGGAAUUCUUUUAAAUCAGAAAUCCACUUAUUGCGUUAGCCCUACGUCAUCAUGGCGUCAGCCAUGGGCUGACCUGAUCAGGUCAAAUCCGACAGGGGGGCCCACUGGUCAGCCUCACAGGGAUAAUCCCGCGCUGACCAGCCCCUGAUUGCGUUUGACUUCGCCUGGGACCCACUAUCAGCGACUGCUUAGCGCUAAUCCACCGGGAUUAGGCCGGCCACAUCGUCCCCCGCCGGAGACUGACUGGCGACGACCAGAUCCGCGGCGGAUCUUCGCCGGAGACGCACCAAAAUGCACUGUGGUGUUCGGGAUCGAGUGCCGAGAGCACUGGGAUGAUCCCCAGGCUCGACCUCAUCCUCUACGGGCAUCAGGAGGGGCUAUGGGUGGCCGGAGCAUGCCGGCGACAAGCCGAGGCGGCUGCCGGAGCUCGGAUUCAUGGGUCUCGGGGCUAGAGAGCCGGAGAGAGAGGGGAAACAGAGGGGAAAUGCUAGCAAGCUCACGAUGGAGGCGAAGCUGGGCUCAGACUGCUCGGGGAGGGGCUGUAGCCGGCGAUCCACCGUCGAUUUGCCGGUGGCCGGAGGUUGAAGACGACGACACCGGGGCCGUUGCAGGGCUCGGGGAGGACGGAUUCGUCGACGUGCGUGUCGGGCUCGACGUAGCGAAGAGGAUGGAACACUGGGGGGGGGGCUUCCCUGUGGCCAGAGAGCUCGGGCUCCUCGAUCUCAAGCUUNNNNNNNNNNNNNNNNNNNNNNNNNNNNNNNNNNNNNNNNNNNNNNNNNNNNNNNNNNNNNNNNNNNNNNNNNNNNNNNNNNNNNNNNNNNNNNNNNNNNCGACGGCGUGGGACGGCGAGGAGGCGACGGCGUGGGACGGUGUGGGACGGCGAGGACACGACGGCGUGGGGUGGCGAGGAGGCGACGGCGUGGGACGGCGACGACGGCGAGGAGGCGACGACGGAGGAGGCGACGGCGUGGGGCGGCGAGGAGGCGGCGAGGAGGUCGAGUCGGCGAGGAGAGAAGGCGGCGAGGAGAGAAGACGCGCGGGAAGGCGAGAAGAUGGCGGCACCGGAGAGGUCUAGGCUGUACAAGCCUUUAGCACCGGUUGGUGUUGACAACCGGUCCUAAAGACCCUUUAGCACCGGUUGUUAACACAAACCGGUAGUAAAGGUCCAAAAAUUGGACGCGCGAGCGAACCCACCUUUAGGACCGGUUGUUGUUAAAAACCGGUCCUAAAGGUUUUUUUCCUUUUUCUUUUUUCCUUUUUUCUGUUUCCUGUUUUCUUUUUCUUUUUGUUUCCUUUUUCNNNNNNNNNNNNNNNNNNNNNNNNNNNNNNNNNNNNNNNNNNNNNNNNNNNNNNNNNNNNNNNNNNNNNNNNNNNNNNNNNNNNNNNNNNNNNNNNNNNNNNNNNNNNNNNNNNNNNNNNNNNNNNNNNNNNNNNNNNNNNNNNNNNNNNNNNNNNNNNNNNNNNNNNNNNNNNNNNNNNNNNNNNNNNNNNNNNNNNNNNNNNUCUUUUACAUUUAUUUAUAAAAUCAAAGUAGACUCAAAAAGCUUUUGUAAAAUCAAAUAUUUAUAAAAACAUAUUUAUAUUUUUGAUAUUUUGUGUAAAAUUGUCUAAAUGUCAUUUAAAACAAUAAAAAAAAUAAAAAAAAAGAUAUUUAUCAAACCAAUUUGAAAAUAUAAAGAUAUUUUUUUGUUUCCUUUUUCNNNNNNNNNNNNNNNNNNNNNNNNNNNNNNNNNNNNNNNNNNNNNNNNNNNNNNNNNNNNNNNNNNNNNNNNNNNNNNNNNNNNNNNNNNNNNNNNNNNNGUAAAAGAUACACGAGCCGGGUGAGGCCGGGGCCACUGAUCAUUAAGAUAACACCGGGGCAAAUCAUUCAACCUCUUGUAAAGUUGAGCAAAUCAUUCAGGGUGUGUUUGGUUGCGUGAGUGGCUUUAGCCUGCAUUGCACGAGGGAUACUGGGUGAGCAUGGCCUGGUUGGGUUGAUGCAAGGAUGAGCUAAGAUGUGUGUUUGGUAGAUUGUAUGAUAUGGAUGCACGAGAGAUGUUAGAUAGAACAGAUGUUGUUUGGUACGCUGCAGCCGAGAGGAGAUGCCGGUGGUAGAGACUCGAUGGCGGCGGACAGGACAACCGGUGGCGUGACGAGAUCCGACGAGCUCCGGCAGCAGGCGGGACCACCUCCCCUCCUGGCGGCGGUCGGGGGCGUCCUCCGGGGCGACCUCGGACGAGNGGCGGCGGCGGCGGCGAACCAGCCGACCGGCGGCGGCGGCGAAACAGACGACCGUCGGCGAAGACGGACCAGUCUGACGAGCUGCACGCGAGAGGAUUCAGACAAAGGCGGCGGCAGCGGCAGCGGUGGGUUGUGUGCUCGAUAGAAAGAAAGGGGGAAGGAAAAUACGUGAUGCAAGCGCGGGCCUGGCUGCGAGAUACGCCCGAUUCCUGCGUAUCCGCGAGCUUGGCUCGGAGGCCUCUUUUGCAUCUGUCGGGCCAGGCUGAGAAAGCCGUCCAGGCCACCAAACACGCUCGAUUUUGCAUGCCAGGUACGAGCCGGGUGCGACCCGGGAAACCAAACACGCCCUCAAUGCCCCAUACGAGCAGUCCUAUCGGGAGACAGAUUUUUCACCCNNNNNNNNNNNNNNNNNNNNNNNNNNNNNNNNNNNNNNNNNNNNNNNNNNNNNNNNNNNNNNNNNNNNNNNNNNNNNNNNNNNNNNNNNNNNNNNNNNNNCAACCGUGUCUCAAACAGCCCCGAACCUCAUCUAUAUAUAGGGGAAGAGGGAGGGGGCGCAGCCCUUAGGGUUCCCACCCCUAAGGGGUGCGGCAGCCCUUAGAUGGGAGAGGGGUGGCGGCCAGGGCAAGGGGGAGGGGUGGCGCACCCCUCUGGUGGGCCUAAGGCCCACCUUAGUUAGGGUUCCCCCCUUCCCCUUUUUUCUGGUGCACAUGGGCUGGGUGGGGGGCGCACCAGCCCACUUAGGGGCUGGUUCCCUUCCCCACUUAGCCCAUCUAGCCUCCCGGGGUCGUCACCCCCCUUCGGUGGUCCCUCGGGACNNNNNNNNNNNNNNNNNNNNNNNNNNNNNNNNNNNNNNNNNNNNNNNNNNNNNNNNNNNNNNNNNNNNNNNNNNNNNNNNNNNNNNNNNNNNNNNNNNNNNNNNNNNNNNNNNNNNNNNNNNNNNNNNNNNNNNNNNNNNNNNNNNNNNNNNNNNNNNNNNNNNNNNNNNNNNNNNNNNNNNNNNNNNNNNNNNNNNNNNNNNNNNNNNNNNNNNNNNNNUACCUCCGGACCAUUCCGGAGCUCCUCGUGACGUCCGGGAUCUCAUCCGGGACUCCAAACAACUUUCGGUAAUCUCGUAUAACAAUUCCCUAUAACCCUAGCGUCAUCGAACCUUAAGUGUGUAGACCCUACGGGUUCGGGAGACACGCAGACAUGACCGAGACACCUCUCUGGCCAAUAACCAUCAGCGGGGUCUGGAUACCCAUGGUGGCUCCCACUAGCUCCACGAUGAUCUCAUCGGAUGAACCACGAUGUCAAGGAUUCAAUCAAUCCCGUAUACNNNNNNNNNNNNNNNNNNNNNNNNNNNNNNNNNNNNNNNNNNNNNNNNNNNNNNNNNNNNNNNNNNNNNNNNNNNNNNNNNNNNNNNNNNNNNNNNNNNNGCCCUAGUGACAAGCAUUAAGCAUGGCAAAGUAGUAGCAACAUCAAUCUCAGAACAUAGUGGAUACUAGGGAUCAAUCCCUGUCAAAACUAACUCGAUUACAUGAUAAAUCUCAUCCUACUCAUCACCGUCCAGCGAGCCUAUGAAUAGAUUACUCACGAACGAUGAAGAGCUUCAUGGAAUUGGACAGGGAAGAAGGUUGAUGAUGACGAUGGCGACGAUCUCCUUGAUCCGGAGCCGAAAACGGACUCCAGAUCUGCCCUCCAGAUGAAGAACAGGAUGUGGCGGCGCCUCCGUAUCGCAAACGCGAUGAAAUCUUCUCUUCUGUUUUUUUUUUUUGGAUGAAAGGGAAUUUAUAGAGCUGAGUUUGGGGGCGGCAGAGCCACGUGGGCCCCACAAGCUUGGUUGCCGCGGCCAGGGGGCGCGGCGACAGGGCUUGUGGCCCACUGGCCCGUCCCCUUCGGUGGAUCUUUGCGCAGGUAUUUUUCAUAUUUUUCAGAAAUAUUCUCUGUAAAUUUUCAGGGCGUUCCGAGAACUUUCAUUUCUACACAAAAAUAACACCAUGGCAAUUCUGCUAAAAACAAAGUCAGCCCGGAUUAGUUUCAUUCAAAUCAUGCAAAUUAGAGUUCAAAACAAGGGCAAAAGAGUUUGGAAAAGUAGAUACGAUGAAGACGUAUCACUCAUCUACACAACAGGGCAAAAGCACGCACAAAAAUACAGUUCAAGACCCAAUAAGGCACGUCCCAAUAGAUGGACCUUGCCAGUUAUUUCCAAAAGCCAAGUCAUCCAACCUUCAUGCACCUCCUCUUCACCCGAGCACCAAACUCCCCUCGCCUGGUGCCGCCUCCUCAACCGAUCCAUCGCCUAUCGUCACCAGGUGCCGUCGUAGCCAAAGUCGGAGGCCUCCAAACUAUGAUGCUCGCCUAUUCUCGCCCGAUGUUGUCGCAGCCAUCGCCAGAGGCCUCCAAACUGUGAUGUUGCCUCUGUUCGCCUCGUGCUGUCACAACCAUCGUCGGAGGCCUCCAAACUGUUGUCGUCUUUCCUCGUCGGGUGUUGUCGCAGCCAUCGCCGGAGGCCUCCUAAUUGCAUCUGAUCCACCUCCCAUCUGUGCUGGACAGAUCCUCGCCUCAUACGCGCAUCUUCCCAGGUAAACCUGACAUUUUCAUUCAUGCACGGUCCUCUUCACCUAUUUCUUGUUGUUUUGUAGCUGCCAAGUUAUAUGUCUUCCUCACGCUCCGGGUUGGUCAUCCUUAAACCUUCAGCAAAAAAUAAGAGUUAGGUAUUAAAAUCUACGUACUUGUCAAAAGGAAUUACUGUUUACAGGAAGCCCCUGGUAGGAUAAAAAAAUACGCUUACAUAUCUUCAGUGCUUCCUGUAGCUAAACGACCAUUUCAUCAAUUUGGUGCCACAUUCACUUUACAAUGGUUAGAUACAACAUUCUAAAGCAUGUAAAUAGCACUCCUUAAUUAUUUUCUAUAGAACUACCAUGCUCUGACUUGUAAAACUGCAACCAAUGUUUGAUUAAUGUAAGUAGUAAGAACAAGUAUUGCAAUUGAAUAGUCACAAAUUGGCAGAAAUGUCUUCUAGAUCAAACUAAAUUAGAGUAUAUGCUCGGGUCAUACCCUGAUUUGGCUAGCCAUUAUAGGAUCAGUUGACUCAUGAUUGAGUAGGGCAUGGGUGUCAUAGGAGAGGGGAUGGAAGGAAAACGAGGUCAUCUUCCAUCCCUAAGGCACUGAUUGAUUGAAUAUGAUAAUAUGAAAGUGAGGUGGUUGAUCCAACAAUGUCGAAACAGUAAAGAUCUGCUUGGAAGAAUUUGGAUGUUUUAAUCAUGAGUUAUCAGGCUAUGUCAUCCAGGGCCCACAAAAACAACAUGUGUUUUCCUCAUCUAUAAAAUAUGUGAUUCCAAAUCAAUUUGAGGAUUUGAAAAAUGAGCACCGCGAUAUAGUAUUUUUUUUCCCAAAAUAGGAUGCUAUUUUGGCUACAAGUACAGAACAAAUUCUUCAAAGAAAAAAAGCCUUGAACGUGGAGCGUGUCGAGUAAGUGACUGUCAAACUUACCGGUCAAAAAAGCAUGCGGCGGCUGUCAAGGGGACAAGAGUCUUCCCCUUAUCAGCAGUUUGCUCUGCACUGUCAAAAUCUUCUUGUUUACCAGUCCUGGAAAAACAUACCAACCGCAAAACGGACCUGUCAGUAGCUUCAGAGACAUCCAUAAUUUAACCGAUGAGAAGAUGGCAACAACUACUAACUAGAGAAUGGUAAAAGGUUUCAGGGUUUCCUCGUAGAACUGAACCUUGGCAUUGCUUUUGCUAACUACUAGAUUAGGAAGUAUAUAUUCUUCUUGACAAUUUCCUUGACCAGAUUAUCUGCAACAAUCGCCAUUUAUCCUAACCUAAACAAACAAAUCAACCAAUGAAUAAGAAGCCCACCAGAAAAAAGGAGACGUGGUAUAGCCAGAUUGUUGGGGGGGUAGGGGGUAAAUGUCAAUGUUGUGAGUCAAUUAUCUUCAAUUCACACGCUUCGAAACACUAUUAAUUUUCAUUGUUGUGCGGACCAAUAUAGCAACAUCUAGAUGAAGAAAAAAUUCAAUAGCUUCAAUGGACCAUGAUGAUUCGAACAUCUGAUGAAUGAAGUUGCAUAUUUCUGCCCAGAAGAAGGAUCGAAUAUCCUUGGUGCAUCUGAUUAAAAUAUGUCAUAGGACAGAGGUCAUCUAUAUGAUAAAGGUAAAAGAGGUAUGUAUAUGUCAAUCAAACAAGUAAUAUGUCACAGGACAGAGGUCAUCUAUACGAUAAGCUUUCUGAAUUUAGCCUACACUAAUCUUAUCAGUUGUUGAAGAUAAGAGGAAAAGAGACCACUCCCGACCACACAACAUCUAUCAUCUGGUUUAUUCAUACACGAAAUAUCAAACACCAUCAACAACAGUGAUAUGUCUUCUGAUGACGACGACGAUGAUGUGCCCAGCCAGCUGGCUAGAAUACUUUCGACCGCUAGUCAUCUCAUGCCAUUUCAGCCAAGAGAGCGUGCUUAAGAAACCUCAAACGGUAUUACCCUUUGACGUGGCUUUUAUCCCCAUUAACUUUUUACAUUUUUUAUACCAAGAAAAGCCACUAGAUAUGCUCGAAUUGCAUCACUUCAAGGAACACAAAGCUUCCAGCAAGGUUCCUUGCAGCAGCAUCUAUCUCAGUUGUUAACAACCAUGCUGCUGAUAUGAAAGAAAUUAGAAGCAAAACAGAGUAAGUGAUGGAGGCAUAUUUACUUAAGCCGAUAUAUGUCAUGCCAUGCCUCAUUGAAUAGGUUCAGCUAAACUGGUUAAUAGAGAAAUGACUAAAACUCACUUUUUCGGUUCUCCCGAAACUAAGUUGUACUUAUUCUGUCCCUAACAAAACUAAUGCUUAUCCCGCGAUUUUUACGGUAUCCAUUUUUAGGUGCUUAUAGACCUUUAAAUGAAUUUAGGAGAAACCGAAUUGGGAAAAGUUCUGAACCCAAACAUCAAUAAGAAAACUUUGAUACUCUUCUAAAAGAAAUUUAAGCCUAACCAUAUGUUGAUACUAAUAGUUUACAUCUAGCUCACCUAUGAACCUUGUAUAUACAAGGGAGUUGAAAUCUAAGUGAAAGAUUUGUACUUGACCUCCAAGAUCAAACUCACCGGCUGUGCCAAUCCAAUACAACUUCCAAUGGAUGACGCGAAGGGAGAGGAGAGGAGUCCCUGACAAAGUAAUAUCCGUGGUCACCCUGAACCUGAUGCAGAGGGAGGAAAACAGUGGCAGGGCGACGAGGUAGCCUGCAGAUUGAGGAGCUAGGUGGCGAGGAGAAGUUGUCGGCGUCAUGGUGCAACACGGGAUCCACUCCAGGCCGAUCUCCGCCCAUCUGGGCGAACACGCCUUGGGACAGGGUCACCGGGACGCAGAGCCCGAUACCGCGGGCACAUGGGACAGAUCCCACCUCGCCUUGCACGGUGCGCCAGUCACCGGGCGUAGCCACCAUCAGUUUCGAACCGGCAUGGCGCCGGUGCAGCGGGGGAUGGAUGGGGGGCCGACCGGUGGAUGUCGCCACCCAUACUGUGCGCGUGUCAAUGAGAGCAUCGUCCCACGGAUCUCGCCGGAUAGUAGGGAGUGAGGUUUAGCGGCUCCCGAGGGUGCAGCUAGCCGGGAGGGAAGUGUGGGUGUAGGGCGCGGAGUGGGAAGUGGGCGGAGCCGCAGAGGUGGGUGCUUAGCGCUGGCGCAGCCAAUGGCUGCACAGGUGGGUGUCUCGCGGGAGGGCAGUAGGGUGAGCGGUGGUGAGGGAAGAAGUGACACAAUGAGAGUAUUGUGUAGUUACGACUGUAGAAUUGUAGUAUUUCUGACUUGACUAUAGAUCCAAAACUGCUCCACACGCUAAAAACCGUCUUUUUCCCACGGGAUACGCAACAGAAAAUCCUGCAAAAUAAUGCGUUCAAAAAAAUAUUAGCACAUGCGCUAUUUUUUAGCGCUAUUGUACGUUACUAGCAAAAGGACCCGUGCAUUGCAACGGGAGAAAAAAAAUUAUAAUCUACAAUGGUGCUGAUCAUAUUAUGUUUUUAAAAUUUUAGGACAUUUCUUAAAAUGCAUGAACAUUUUUUGAAUUAGCAAACAUUUUUUCAAUUGCACUCAAAAAAUAACAGACAAAUUCUUUUUCAAAAUCCUGGACUUCUAUUGUUUUCACCAACAUUGUUCUCAAAAUUAUGAACAUUUUUCUGAAUAUGCGAAUAUUUUUACAAAAAUUAUGAACAUUUUUGAAUUCACAAACGUUUUAUAUUUUCUUCAAACUUUUAUUUCAAAAUUCCCAGUUUUAUAAAUUGCAAAAGUUUUUCAAAGUUUUAGAUUAUUUAGACUAAAAAUGGAACAGAAAAAUGAAAAUAAAAAAUGAGACUAAAAACAGAGGCACGAACUGUUUUUAAGAUUUUUACACGAACUUUUGUUUAAAAUCGUUGACUUUUUUAUUUUAUGGACAUUUUCUCAAAGUUUAAACAUUUUUUUAUAAACAAAUAUUUUUUUAAACUCGACAGUAGUUUUUGAAUUCUUAAAAAAUAUUUUUUUGAAUAUUUUAUUUUGAAAUUCUCAGUUUUUUAAAAUUGAGAAAAGUUGUUUGAAGUUCUAAAUUAUUUAAAGUAGAAAAACAAAAUGGAACUGAAAAUAAAAAUUAAAAACUAAACUAAAAAAACAGACGCCCACGCAUGGGCCAGCCCAAACAGGUGUGCUGCAUCUUUUUCCAACACCCAGACCGUAAUAUAGGAGGUGCCUACAUGGGCCGGCCCAGUCCGGAUAUUUUCAUAUUUGAAACGUUUUUUAUGACUUAUAGGUGGCAUUGGUGGGUAAUUUUAGUCAACUUUAAGGACAAUUUGGAUGACGUACGGAAAAAGCACUAUUUGAUUUAUUAGUAGGUAAAGAUAANNNNNNNNNNNNNNNNNNNNNNNNNNNNNNNNNNNNNNNNNNNNNNNNNNNNNNNNNNNNNNNNNNNNNNNNNNNNNNNNNNNNNNNNNNNNNNNNNNNNNNNNNNNNNNNNNNNNNNNNNNNNNNNNNNNNNNNNNNUUAGUAGGUAAAGAUAAAAUUUGGACGUUGGACCAUAUUUUUCAUAAUUUGCACUCCUCUUUUUCCUGGACGCAUGUUUAUAUGCAUUUGGAAAAGAGAAUCGUUUCCCACCCGCGCGUCGGUCGCCCCCUGGCGCGCGCGAGCCUUGCAACAUAUUUUCCAUCCGCGCGCUUCUUCGGUCAAUGGAUGCAACACUUUUCGUCUAAAUAUGUUGCAACUUGCGUCAUUUUUGUUGUAAGCGUUUUUUACUAUAUUUUGUCUCAGUAAAAGAGCUGCAUAUAAGUUUGGUUGCAACUCUAGUUCAUCAGAUUUUUUGUUACAAUUGAUGUUUUUUUACUUUUUUCUAUAACCGUGUUAAUUUUUGCUACAACCGGNNNNNNNNNNNNNNNNNNNNNNNNNNNNNNNNNNNNNNNNNNNNNNNNNNNNNNNNNNNNNNNNNNNNNNNNNNNNNNNNNNNNNNNNNNNNNNNNNNNNNNNNNNNNNNNNNNNNNNNNNNNNNNNNNNNNAUUUUUGCUACAACCGGCAUCAUGUUUUGCUGCAACCGUUCACUAAAAAGUUGCAUACACGUCACAUAAAUAUUUGUUACAACCGACGUUUGACUUUUGCUACCACGUACCAUCAGCUUCGUUUUUUUGCUAUGAUCACGUAGAUAUUUUUUUUGCUAUAAAUUUUGUUUCUUGUUGCAACCGUUGAAAAAAUUGCUGCAUGGCAUCGAAAUUUUGCUGCAUAGGGAGAAAAAUGUUGCAUGCGGAUGCAACGGUGCAGACGACGCGGGGUUGGUGGAUUCUGCGGCCCGCGUGCGGCCGGUCCAAAAUCUGGGCCGGCGCGCCGGCGCAGAUCACCCCCUUUGGAAAAUCAAUGUUGACCGCGAUGCAUUAAAAGUGCUAUUGUGAUGGUAUAAAACUAUUUGGUCCUUGGUAUUCUUGUGCAUCUGUUGAAGAUGUUCUUAUUGGCGUAUAACAAACCGACGUUUAUAGACAAUCUACGAAAGAGAAAACACUUUUGGUAGUCCCGAGUGUGCGCCCACCCUAUAUGCAUGAAAUAAUAUAAUAUUUUAAAGAAAAAAAAACUGAAUCUUUUUUUUUGNNNNNNNNNNNNNNNNNNNNNNNNNNNNNNNNNNNNNNNNNNNNNNNNNNNNNNNNNNNNNNNNNNNNNNNNNNNNNNNNNNNNNNNNNNNNNNNNNNNNNNNNNNNNNNNNNNNNNNNNNNNNNNNNNNNNNNNNNNNNNNNNNNNNNNNNNNNNNNNNNNNNNNNNNNNNNNNNNNNNNNNNNNNNNNNNNNNNNNNNNNNNNNNNNNNNNNNNNNNNNNNNNNNNNNNNNNNNNNNNNNNNNNNNNNNNNNAUAUAAGUCUUUUUAGAACCUUGUAUAUAGACAUACUUUUAAAUAUAAAUUCACUCAUUUUGCUCCGUAUGUAGUAUGUAGUGAAAUCUCUAAAAAAACUUAUAUUUAGAAACAAAGAAAGUAUUUAUAAAUAUAUUUCACUUUUGCAAAAUGGGUAUGUGGUAGUAUGGAUAUUGUUGGUCAUCAAAUACAAGGGUUCGGAAAAAGCAACCCACCUUUGCAAGGGUUGCACUAUCGCGGUCGCCGUAUGGAACCACGUGUUUGCCUUAACACGCGAGGAUCUUUCAUCUUCAUGUUUCUUUCCAGAUCGUGAAAAUUUCUACGGCUUGUGGAGUGAGUUGAUCGAAAAGAAGGCAAAGAAGCGUGGUACACGUCGUAGUGGGCGGCUUAUCUACACAUUAUGGAAUAUUAGGAAGGAGAGAAACAUGUGGGUUUUCAUGGGUUCUCAAAUGAUUCACUAUGAGGUGGUGAUGCUGGCAUUUGACGAUAUCAAGCAAAGAGAGUGGACAUUUGGUGUUGAUGUGUUCAUUGCAGGCGUGGGCUAAGCAUGUAGGAGUCAAUUUCCUAGGCUUCGCCACGCUCCCUUCAAAACAUGUGAAUCUCUGUAUAUAUGGGGGUUUUCACCUACAUCUAUAUGAAAAGACAGUGCUCCUGUUGGUUUCUCAAAAAAAACACUACAACAAAAGCCGGGAGACGAUGUCAUUGGAAGCGAACGAAGACUUAGAAAAUUCUAUACAUCCCAUGGAUGUGCGAACAGAGAUACCCAAUUCAUGAAAUAUCAAAUCAAAAAGGACAAAUACAAAUAUCCACUAGAAAAUAAUAGGGGGGAUUGAUUGACAUGAAGUUUGUCCAACAAUUUACUGAGAGGGUAUGCACUUUUCUAGCAAGCAAGAUGUCUAUAAGGUAGGAGAGAAUCCGUCGGCCUAGGUAGACUUCGCCUACCUGAUCUACAGCCGCCCNGGCGGCGGUUUUCUCCUCGGAUCUCGAUCUGGUUGGGAGGCAGCGCUCCUUUCCGGCCAGAUCAGCGGCGGUGAUGCAGAUCGGCGGCGGCAUGGCCGUGGUGCGGCGGCGGCGUAGGAGGACGACACCAGGAGCGACGGGUCUGGCCUUGACUCAGUCGGUCUGAUUCGGUGUGCUACCGAUCUCAAAAGCCGUCAGCGGUGCACUGCUCAUGGACUUGAUCUGCAACACGGGGAUGUCUGGGCGCCGGCCCUAGGCUUGGUGGUGGUGGCCUUCUUCUUCGUCGGAGGUGGUCGGCCAGCUGGCUGUGCAUGGAGUGAGGACUGGCGGCUGUCGGUGAAAUCUGUGAUCCGACUUCGGCCGUGGCGGGUGAUGACGGUGCCUACGCGUCGUUACCUUCUUGAAGGCGUCACAUUUGCAGUCUCCGUCUGCCCACUCGCAGUCCAAUUAGUGUCAGGCUGGUUUGGCACCAUGGUGGUGCUCCGGCCGAUCAGGCGACGGCAGCUGGAUCCUUUGAUCUAGUCUCCAACAGAGAAGGCGGCGACCAUGCACAAGAAGCUGGAUGGAGUUCUUCGAACAGAUCUGGGUGAAAACCUGCUCUUGGCUAGAUGACAAGGCCGGCGAUGGCGACACUCUACGACGUCGUUCCCUUCUUGAAGGCGUCGCCGAGGAGAAGUUCUAGACCACUAUUUGCCACCUUCGGGGGAAACCCUAGAUCGACAGAUCAGAAGACGGCGAUGCACUUGUGUCGUCUCCCCUUUGGGGGCGUCAUUCUUGGAGGUGUACGCGGGUUCAGGGACUAGUGGAUGUUUUCUUCGGUGGAGCGGUGCUUCAUCCUGCACAUUGAAGGCGACGGAUCUCGAUGGCGUGGCGCCCUGGUGAUUAGGCGUCUGAUGUGCGAGGAUGGACUCGCGCAGGAGGGCGACGCUGUCUGGCGUCGUGGUGGCGUCGACGGCAGCUAGACCGGGCAAGGUGGAUGCGUUAGUACAGUUCUGAAGAUGGAUUGAUGGCAGUUGGCGGCGACGAUCUCUGAGUGUGCGCCGGACCGGUGGGUGUCCCAUACCCGGCAGGUGGCUUGGUUGGGGCAUCAGGUCUUAGAUGUUAGGUUUGGCUGUGAGGUCUGUUUGAUAUUAGACCCAGACUAUCAGCAUCCCUUCAUCAACUGUAUACAAGUAGCGACAUAUAUUGUCUAGACGGUGAUUUCAGUCUUACUGAUGUAUUACUUUGUAAGGUUUUUUUGAAUAAUUAAUAAAAUGACUGCAUGCAUCGUUCAGAUGCAAAGGCCGAGGGUCUUCCUCCUUUUCUAAAAAGAAAGAUGUCUAUAAGAAAAGUUCGGCGUGUGAUGUCUAGAAGGGAAGCUCGAUGCGUGUGGUAGAGAUAGUGGACAUUGACUGUGUGUAUUAUAAAGGAGUGUGUUUGCCAAGUUGUAAUUUUAAGUACCACGUAUACUUAUUUGCAUCUAUUGUGCAGAUGCUUGUUCCGUCAUAUUUAUUUGUGUAGAUGGUGUUUUAAGGAAUUGUGUUAAUUUCAUGAAUGUUUAAGUUUACAUUUCAAAUCAAUUUGUUCAUCAACAUAAAUUUUGAAUUAUCUCUGGCAUUGUUAUACUUAUGAGAUAUAGACCAUAAAAUGCAUUCAUAAAAAAUAACCAAGUUUACGCUAUUAAUCUGCCAAGUAAUCUUUUCACAUUAUAUUUUGUAUUACGUGACAACGCACGAGCAUUCAACUAGUGAGGUGUAAGAGUAGCGAUGGUAAUGAAGGAACUAGUAUCUCACUCAGAUAAUAUAGCAAGUGGUUACAGGUUGCAAUGGGGAAGGGGAAGAAGAACUGCCGCCUCCGUUAUCGUCCUAAUCCUACGUGGAUAUCCUAACUGAGGGGAACGAUGCCCUUAAAUAGAAAAAGUCUAUUUUUAACCCUGAACUCGUAGAGGUUUGGCGAAAUAAACCCUUAAAUCAAAAUCCCGGUCGAUUACAUCCUAAACUAUGCAAUCCCGGUCUAAAUUAAACCCUGUAGUCGUUUGGCAAACGAGGAUCGUCGACGUAUGACCGGGAUUGAUGCCAUUUCGCACCGUUCCUUGUUGGGCCAACCCAUUUUUAAUUAUUUUUCUUUCUUUAACACGUGCAGAUUUUUUUAUUUUUUAAAACUACAAUAAUAAGCACGGAUGGUGAUCCGAAUAAAAGACCUCCCUUUUCCUGUUGUGUUUACUUGCUCCCUUUUUAUUCCGUUUCUUUUUUUUACUUUAUUUUAGUUUUUCCUUUUUAUUUUUAUGUUUACAUUUUUUUCUUAAAUUCGUGGCCAUCUUAGUAGGAAAUAGAAAACAAAAAAAAAAUCAUGAACUGGAUUUUCAAAAGGAUAAAAUGGUCACAAAUUUUCUAAUAUGUUGGCAUACUUCAAAAUAUGUUUGUAAUUCUUUUUGAAUAUUGGAAACCAUUUCUGUUUUCAAAAAAUGUUUACAGAUGAAAAAAUGUUUAGGAUUUCAAAAUUAGUUCAAGUUUUCAAAAUUUGUGUGUACUGAAACAAACAUGAAUUCCGAAAAUAUUUUGGUUUUUGGAACAAAAUUAGGCAUUUAAUUGUUUUUUAAAUUUUUUGAGAAACAUACAAAUAUAUGUAAACAGUGGCUGAGCUAUCGAAUUGUCGGAGUCUCGGCACACUGCAAACUCAAAUACAGAGAGAAAAUAUCUAGUCCACCGCUUCCUAGCUCCUGGUCGUGGUGGCCUCACUUUCGUGCACGUGUAACCAAACGAGAAAAAAUAGUACAGUGCCCCUGCAAUCAAAAGAAAGGGAUUAAUGGCCGGAGGAGUGAAUGGAUCAUGCUCCGAUGCACGUACCGUUCAUCCAGUUCUUGCUUCUGGGGCUGGAAAUGGAACCCAGUGUGCUGCGACUGGAGCGUGGUGUUGCUCCACGGAAACCUGUCCAUGCUCUGGCUGCGCGCCGUCUCCACCAGCGGCGGAAUGUCCGCCACCACAUCCCCAGCCACCACCCUCUCCACCCUGCUAGACCCAGCCAGCGCGUUCGCCACCACUAGCACCACCACGGCCAACGCGACCAGCACGGAGAUGCACGCAAGCCACCUCACCCGAGUCUGCUUCGGCGCUCCUCCACAACGUCGGACGAGGCCACCAGCAUGUACCUGUACGACAGCGCCGUCUCACCGAGCCUAAUGAUUCCGCAUGGCCAAAUCAUGCAGAAUCGUGGUGUAUGUCCUCUAAAAUUAUUUUUUAAAACGAAAAAAACAUAAACGGGCCGGCCCCAUGAGAUGAAUCCGGGUUGAAAUUUGCUAGGGUUCGAUUUAGACCGGAAUUGCAUAGUUCAGGUUACAAUCGAUCGGGAUUUUGAAUUAGGGGUUCAGUUCGCCGGACCUCUAUCAAUUCAGGGUUUAAAAUGGACUUUUUCCCCUUAAAUAGCCACCGUCGCUGGGCCGGCCGGGCGUGCCCACUCUGGCCGAAGUAGCGUGGGUUGGUCUUGCGUGUGCGGCCCACCCGCAUGCCGGUCGCCUCCCCGUCAGGUGGGGCCUUGUGGUCAGGGCCCCUGACACGACGUGAGGCAAACUAGCGCCUAUUACUUGGGGGCAUCUGAAGGAACAGAGAUUUGACAGUUUAGAAUCCCAAAAAUACAUGCUUGGAUGCACUGACAUGUUCGGUCACACCAACUUCAUUCUCGCGUUGUGCGACCUACCUGAGCAACGUGAAGAAGAAGUCAUGAAGGCAGGCAGGUGCGCUUGAGGGUCUUCACCACGGAAGCCGUCAACAAAGGCCGCGAUGCAGGCGAUGGAGCUGAAGAUUUAGCCGCGUGAUGGUGCCGGUUUCCAGAGGGGGGCCAGGCGGCGGCCAUGAAAACCAUGUGGGAGGUUCAGGCGGGACAAGAGCAUGCAAGCAGAAGAGAAGGGUGCUUGGUGCAGAUAGGGAUUGGUGGGGAACGAAACUACCUGAUGGUUUGGAGAGGAACAUGACAUCGUGGGAGGGGAUCAGGAGCUGCUCUGCCUACGCGUGAGGUCUUUUCUUCAUAGGAGCUAAACAUGGUUAUAACUUACUAGCAAAAAUGCCCGUGCGUUGCAACGGAAGAAAAACCAUCAGGUUAUACAGGUGUGAUAGAUAUAAAGAAGUAUGAAUCCAAUGCAAAUAUGACAUAAGGAUUUUUGAAAUGUUAUUUCACAAAGUAUAUCUGAGUGAUGAGUGAUGGCAUGAUGAGAUAAGGCACUUUUAAAAUGUAAUUUCAAAAACAAAAAAUAUAAUGUUCAUCGUGACUUGAUUUGUUAAGAGGCCACAACAAAAUAUUUUGUGGCUGAGCAAAUUGUAAAUCACAAACACCUUUUUGUACCCAACGCGAGGGACUAAUAAAAUCAUAAAAUAACCUCUAGAGAUUUUCUAAUAAAACCUUUAUGUAAGCGACAGUUAGUUAUGUUCAUUAUUUAGAGAUGUGUUUUAAUUUUUGGGAACAUUUUCUAAAAGUUGAUAGACAUGUUUUUCAAAUUCCUUAAUAUUUUUUGAAUAUCUGAUCAUUUUUAAAAAUCAAGAACAUUUUUUUUUUCAUGACAAUUUAUUUUAAAUCAUGAUUUGUUUUAUAAUAUGUGAGCAAUUUUUGAAUUCAUAAACAUUUUAUGACUUUCUGAAUAUUUUUUAAAUACACAAACAGUUUAUCAUUUUCCUACUUUUUUUAAACUGACAACUUUUUUUUGUUCUUUUGAAAUCUGGAAUUAAUUUAGAGAAGAAAACCAAAACAGGAAUAAGAAAGUAAAAAAAUACUAAACAAGGGUGCCGUUAAACAGGAAUAGAAAGUAAAAAAAAUACCUGCACAUGGCCCGCCCAUACAUAAGGGAGGAAAAAAGAAGAGAAAACGGUGUGAGAACCAGGGAUCGAACCCCUGGUCUCCACUGUGGAGGGAUGAGGCUUUGGCCACCAGGCUAGCCCAUGUUAGUUGUCUUUUAAUAUAUCAGUCUAUUAAGAACAUACAACGGCGCGACGAUUUUUGAAAUCUGAAAACUGAAUCGUUUUUUGACUUACGGGUGGCAUUGGUGGAUAAUUUUGAUCAACUUCAGGGGCAACUUCGAUGACGUACGGACAAAAGUUAUCCGUGCUUUAUUAGUAGGUAAAGAUAACACAUGGCCAUGGUGCGUAAUCUUAUCUUAUCUUACCUACUAAUAAAACAAAUAGUGCUUCUUCCGUACGUCAUCCAAAUUGCCCUUAAAGUUGAUUAAAAUUACCCACCAAUGUCACCUAUAAGUCAUAAAAAACGUUUCAAACAGAAAAAUCUUCGGACUGGGCCGGCCUAUGUAAGCACCUCCUAUAUUACACUCUGGGCAAACCAAUAAUUUUGUAUUUGUAAAUGAAGUGAGUAAAAGUUAAAAACUUUGAUGGGUCUUUUCUAUAUGGGUUGCCCGGGACUCGAAACCGGAACUAGUCGGAUGGAGUAGAUAAUUCUUCCUUGUUACAAUAGAGAAAAAUCCCUCCCCAAAUCGUGCUUGCAUUUUUCAUUGCACACGACUUUCCCUAUGUAGAAAUAGCCAAUAUUCUAUUCCAAAGAGGAAGUUCUACUAAUUUUUUAAUUAGUAAGUUGAUUCACCUACUCUUUAUUAUAAUAAAAGGAACAUUUCAGAAUGAAAAAUAUGAAAGUUUUUUCUUAAUCAUUUAUCAACCCUUUCCUGCAGCACACCUGUUUGGGCCGGCCCAUGCGUGGGCGCCUGUUUUUUUAGUUCAGUUUUUUAUUUUUAUUUUCAGUUCCAUUUUGUUUUUCUACUUUAAAUAAUUUAGAACUUCAAACAACUUUUCUCAAUUUUAAGAAACUGAGAAUUUCGAAAUAAAAUAUUCAAAAAAACAUUUUUUUGAGAAUUCAAAAACUACUCAGGAGUUAUGAAAAAUGUUUGCAUCUAAAAAAUGUUUAAAUUUGAGAAAAUGUCCGUAAAAUAAAAAAGUCAACGAUUUUAAACAAAAGUCCAUGUAAAAAUCUUAAAAAUAGUUCGUGCCUCUGUUUUUAGUCUCAUGUUUUAUUUUCAUUUUUCUGUUCCAUUUUUUAGUUUAAAUAAUUUAGAACUUUGAAAAACUUUUGCAAUUUAUAAAACUGGGAAUUUUGAAAUAAAAGUUUGAAGAAAAUAUAAAAUGUUUGUGAAUUCAAAAAAUGCUCAGGUUUUUUGUAAAAAUAUUCGCAUAUUCAGAAAAAUGUUCAUAAUUUUGAGAACAAUGUUGGUGAAAACAAUAAAAGUCCAUGAUUUUGAAAAAAAGUUUGUGUGUUAUUUUUUGAGUGUAAUUGAAAAAAAAUAUUUGCUAAUUCAAAAAAUGUCAUGCAUUUCAAGAAAUGUCCUAAAAUUUAAAGAACAUAAUAUGAUCAGCAUUAUUGAAGAUUAUAAUUGUUUUUCUCCCGUUGCAACGCACGGGUCCUUUUGCUAGUUAAACCAACAUGAUUUGAUGGUUGAGAUGGUUUGGUUCUCCAACCUUUCCUAUUUUUAUAGUAGUAGUAGAUAGAUAAUAACAUGGAUAAAUUAAAUAAAUGAGUUAAUUACUCCGUACAUGAAACCACAACUUCAGCCAACUUUAUAAGACAUUAGGGCAUCUCCCGGUGCAUCUAACGUACAUAUACAGAUCCAUUGCUGCUGUGACGUAAAUGCUCCAUCAAAGCUGUUCAAACUGCAUAAAGGCGGAUGAUCUGAUUAAUUUCGGCACGACAAAUGGGGCACCCGCACUUCUUGGACUCAAUAUCUGUUAAGCAGGACAUGCAACCAGCCAUGUGACCACAUGGAAUGCAGGCUCCUUCCACCGGAGCAUCCAAGCAAAUGACACAAGUAACAAAGGUUCCGUCACCGUCAGCAAGUGGUGGUGCAGUUGGUGUUUGAGUAGAUGGAAGUGCAAUUGGUAUUGGAAUAGCCGGAGGUGCCUCCUGUGGAAUCACAAUCGAUUGACUCGAGCUUGUUCCAGUCACUUCCCUCAUCCUUGAAGGGGAUGGAGAAUCUGAUGGACCCCAUCCGUUGUGAGAGCUGUUCACAGUGUUUCCCCAGCCACUGGUGGUCGUAAUUGAUGUCGUUGGCUGCACGUCGGGCACUCCCUCUGCUAUAGCUGAUUGUAUCGAGGCAUUGAUAGCCAUCUGCAAUUCAACAUCCUCGUUACUGGGAGUCGAUGGCACUGAAGGUGCUGAAGACGAAUUUGGCGUUGAAUUUGGAGUAGGAGCAUCCACUGAUUGCACAUGAACCAUGCUGGCAACCUAUGAAAAGAGGAUCUUAGGAAAAUUAGAUUAUUUGUUUUAUCUAUACUGAUGGUAGAGGCUAGGGUUCUACCAGGUCUCGGACGUAGGUUGUAGGGGUGGAAGUGCGGGCUGCGAGGUUGGGGACGCCGGCGCCGGCGGUUGGGCGCCGUCGCGGCGUGAGAGAGAGAGAGGCGGCUAGGGUUUGGGGCUCUCGUCUCCUGAGGGAGACGACAACAGAAUAUACUGUUUAUUGUCUGCUUAAUAUCGAAGGGGUACAUGUGUUUAUAUAGGAGGACAACCUCCACUAAACCCUAGAUAACUUGGACUCUAACUUGGACUCUAAUAUAACUUGGACUCUAAUAUAACUUGGACUCUAAGAUAGGUAAGAUAACUUGGGCUAAGCCCGUAAUUAACCCUGCCCAUUGGGCCUCCUCCGUUGGUACGUUGUACCGGUCAUAACAUCUCUCCCCGCCUUCUCAAACAGCUCGUCCUCGAGCUGAACAUCUGGAAACUGCUGGCGGAAAUCGUCGAGCUUCUCCCAAGUCGCUUCCUCCUUUGACAGGCCGGUCCAUUGUACCAAGACAUGCCAGAUGCCGCGACGCUGUUGCGCCUGUAGCACCUUCGCCACCUGUGCGGAAGCUGGAAGGAGGCGGCCAUCCGAAGUAGGAGGAAGGGCCGGUGUCGCUGCAGGAGGGUCCCCGCGGUAGGCCUUCAGUAAGCCGACAUGGAAGACGUCGUGGAUGCGAGAACCAGCUGGCAGCUCCGAGCGGUAUGCGAGUGUGCCGACACGCUCCAGCACACGAAAGGGACCGGCAUAGCGAGGUCCCAAUUUGCGCUUGGAGCGCAGGUCCAGAGACUGCGUGGUCCUGUGGAGGAGGCGCAGCCACACCCAAUCGCCCACCGCGAACUCCGCCUCGCGAUGAUGAGCAUCGUAGUACUUCCGAGCCAGCUGCUGUGCUUGGAGAAGACGCUGGCGUGCCUCAGCCAGAAUGUCAUCACGGGUGCGGAGUAAGUCGCCCGCCGUCUCGGACCGAGCCGUCCCAGGCUCGUAAGGGAGCAUCGCCAGAGGUGGGCGUCCGUAGACCACCUCGAAAGGCGUGGUGUGCAGGGCGGAGUGAUAGGAGGUGUUGUAGCAGUACUCCGCCCACGCCAACCAGUCCACCCAAGCUCGUGGACGAUCACCAGUAACACAGCGCAGGUACAUGGCGAUCACCUUGUUGACCACCUCGGAUUGGCCGUCUGUCUGAGGGUGGAACGCCGUGCUCAUGCAGAGCUUCACGCCUGCCAGUCGAAAGAGAUCCCGCCAGACAUGUCCCGUGAACACGGGAUCACGAUCGCUGACGAUGGACGAGGGAAAACCGUGGAGGCGGACGAUGCCGUCGAAGAAGGCCCGCGCCACGGAGGCGGCUGUAUAUGGAUGACCCAGGGCGAUGAAGUGCGCGUACUUGGAGAAGCGGUCAACCACCGUGAGGAUGACGGACUUGCCGCCCACCUUGGGAAGGCCCUCGAUGAAGUCCAUGGAAAUAUCCGCCCACACCUGGGAGGGUACGUCCAGCGGCUGCAGUAGACCCGCGGGUCAUAGUGUCUCCGUCUUGUUCCGCUGGCACGUCACGCAUGACCGCACCCAGUCGCGGACCAUCGCGCCAUCACCGGGGAUGUAAAAAUCAGCAUGGAGACGAUGGAGAGUCUUCUGCACGCCCUCGUGCCCUGCAGAGUGCGCCAAGGUCAGGACCUGGUGGCGCAUGUCGCCAUGGUCGGGCACGAAGAUGCGGCGGCCAUGUAGGAGUAGCCCCUUGUCCAAGCGCCAGGGCGCGUCCAGCUCGCCGGCGUCAAGGCGCUCGCGCAGGCCCUGGGCGUCCAGGCCGUCGAAGUUGCCCGGCGAAUGUCAUUGAUGAAGGCGAAAGAUGGCCCGGAGCGAAUGCACAUGAUAGUGCCAGCCAUGGCGACGUCGUCCGCGACAUCCUCAGUGUCGCGGCGGGACAAGGCGUCGGCGACCGUGUUGAGACGGCCGGGGCGGUACUCAACGGUGAAGUCGAAGCCAAAGAGCUUGCUGAUCCACUGGUGUUGCGGAACUGUGGAGAGGCGCUGGUCCAGCAAGAACUUGAGGCUGUAGUGGUCCGUGCGCACACGGAAUGACCGGCCCCAAAGAUAAGGCCGCCAGUGGUGCACCACCUGAACCAGCCCAAUAAGCUCGCGCUCAUAGGCCGCGAGCUUGUGAUGGCGAGCGGCGAAGGGGCGGCUGAAGAAGGCGAGCGGUCCCUCGCCCUGGUGAAGGAUGGAGCCGAAGCCGGUGCCAGAGGCGUCGCAGUCCACGAUGAACGACAUAUCAAAGUCCGGCAUCUGGAGGACGGGUCCCGUCGUGAGCGCCCGCUGGAGAGCCUCGAAUGCCGUAGUCGCCUCCUUGUCUCAGGAGAAGGCGUCGCCUCUAAGGAGACGCGUUAAUGGCGCGGCGAUGAGGCCGAAGUCCCGGAUGUACUUCCGGUAGUAGCCGGCGAGGCCCAAGAAGCCGCGGAGCGCCCGCGGGAUCGGCCACGCGGCGACGGCGGCGACCUUGUCCGCGUCCAUCGCUACCCCGUCCGCCGAGAUGACGUGCCCCAGGUACGCGGCGGAGGUCGUGCCGAACGAGCACUUCGAGCGCUUGAGGUGAAGACGAUGCGCUCGAAGCUCGUUGAAGAUGAUGGCCACAUGUUGUAGAUGCUCCGCCCAAGAUGCACUGCAGAUGAGAAUGUCAUCAAAGAAAACAAGCACAAAGCGGCGCAAGUAUGGGCUGAGCACGUCGUUCAUCAGGGCCUGGAAGGUCGCCGGCGCGUUGGAGAGGCCGAACGGCAUCACCAGGAACUCGAAGUGGCCAUGGUGAGUGCGGAACGCCGUCUUCUCGAUGUCGUCAGGGUGCAUGCGCACCUGAUGGUAGCCCGAGCGAAGGUCGAGCUUGGUGAAGAAGCGCGCUCCGUGUAGCUCGUCCAAGAGCUCAUCCACGACGGGGAUGAGGAACUUGUCCUUGGACGUCAGGGCGUUGAGGGCGCGGUAGUCGAUGCAGAAGCGCCAUGUGCCGUCGGGCUUGCGCACAAGGACCACCGGGGCGGAGAACGGCGAUGUCGAAAUCCGGAUGAUGCCCUGCGCGAGCAUGACCGCCACCUGACGCUCGAGCUCGUCUUUCUGCAGCUGAGGGUACCGGUACGGACGCACGACUACAGGUGCCGUGUCCGGCAGCAGGUGGAUGCAGUGGUCACAGGGCCGCACGGGAGGGAGGCCCUGUGGCUCGUCGAAGAUGUCGCUGUGCUGCUGCAGGAGGUCGGCCAGGAGGGGAUGCGCCUCGUCCAGUGCGGACGCCAUCAACUGGAGCUGUGGAGUCACGGCGCCGGAGCCGCCGAUGCCUGUCCACUGAACGCGACGGCCGCCCUCGCGCCAGAAGAUGAGGGACAGCACAUCGAGGUCCCAAAGGAUGGGGCCGAGAGUGGACAGGAAGUCGAUGCCGAGGAUGAAGUCGUAGCAGCCCAUGUCGAUGCCGACGCAGUCGAUGGAGAACGGCUCGUCGCAGAUGAGGACUGGAACCUGCCGCGCCACCCCUAGCAAGCAAGGCGGUCCCCGUUGGCGACGGUGACGCUGAACUUCUCCGAGCCCGCCGGUUGGAGUGCGAGGCGGCGCAUGGCGUCCCCAGACAGGAAGUUGUGCGUCGAACCCGUGUCCACGAGCGCGGUGAGACGCCCCCCGUUGAUCGUCACCGGAAGCAGCAUCGUCUUUGCCGUCUUGAUGCCAGCCAUGGCAUGAAGGGAGACGACGAAGGCGGUCGCGUCGACCGGCCCGUAGGUCGUGACGCCGGCCUCGGAGAGUGUGGUGGCGUCGAGCUCCGCGGUGAGGGCCUCCACCCCCGCCUCGUNNNNNNNNNNNNNNNNNNNNNNNNNNNNNNNNNNNNNNNNNNNNNNNNNNNNNNNNNNNNNNNNNNNNNNNNNNNNNNNNNNNNNNNNNNNNNNNNNNNNNNNNNNNNNNNNNNNNNNNNNNNNNNNNNNNNNNNNNNNNNNNNNNNNNNNNNNNNNNNNNNNNNNNNNNNNNNCCCGGCGCAUACGGCUCGUCGCAGUUGAAGCACAGACCCUUGCGGCGCCGCUCGAGCUGCUCGGCUGACGUCAAGUGCCGGAAGGUGCGUGUCCGCGCGGGGGCAGCCGCAGUAGCGGCCGGCAGGGCGGGGCGUGUCGGGGUGGCGNGUUUAUAUAGGAGGACAGCCUCCACUAAACCCUAGAUAACUUGGACUCUAAUAUAACUUGGACUCUAAAAUAGGUAAGAUAACUUGGGCUAAGCCCGUAAUUAACCCUGCCCAUUAGGCCUCCUCCGUUGGUACGUUGUACCGGUCAUAACAACUGAAGUUAACAAUUUCUGUUAGUUCUCAUUGCUACAAAGCAAACGUUACAUUCGUUCAUCAAAAGUUCAAAACACAGAUGAUAUAUUUGCAUCGUAAUUAUUAAUUACUCAUCGAUGUACUGAUAUACAUAUAAAUUACCCUCCGUCCUACAAUAAGUGUCUUAAGUUUAGUAUAACUUUGUACUAAAGCUAGUAUAUAAAAUUGAGAGAGUUAUUUUAGGACUGGGGGAGUAUAAGGGAAGGUUGUUCAAAUGACGACCGAAAAACUGAAGAUUAAUCUUCACAACUAGUUCAGAAUAUACCAUGAAUGACUAGCAGUUAGUAAAGGGAAACAUCUCAGCUUAUAUCACCUGUUCCACGCUACAACAUGCACUGUAAAAGGAUCGAAGCUGCUGCUUGUCACCUUCAUAAGCCGGUAAAAGCUCAUAUCGAGAUGCUGUAAAUAUUCAAAUGAAAAUUAGAACUGGCAGCAACGGUCAAGAGGAAUCACAAACUAUCUUUAUGUGAGAGAUUCUAAUUUUGCAGCCAACAAGAGUGAUCAAGCAUACAUGACUAUAUGUGCGUGGGUGUUAUCUUCGUUCCUCUGUAGGGUACCACCAUAAUCAUGAGUUCAUCACUAAGAAUAGGUCUCCUGAGUCUUAAUUCUUAACAGGUACUCCCUCCGUUUCUAAAUAUAAGUCUUUUUAGAGAUUUCAUUAGGGGACUACAUACGGACUACAACGGUCAAGUAUGUCUAUGUACAUCCGUAUGUAGUCCUUUAGUGAAACCUUUAAAUAGACUUAUAUUUAGGAAUGGAGGGAGUACAAAAGAGAAUAUGUCAUUUACCAUGCCAAGGAUCGUGUUAAAUGAGAUAAUAAAUUUGAGUAACUAUAACAGAAGAACUGUGUGUUCUGCUCCUUUAGCAAAUAAUCUUCAACAGUGAAAGGAGCAGCAGAAUAUGAAAUUACACUAAAAUGGCAAAAGAUUGAUGAAGCAUGUACCCACCAACACAAAAAUGCAUUUCAAAUUUGCAUAAACUGGCAAGGUACAAUAUUGCACGUACUUGUAACUUUGUCAAAAAUUGUCAUGGAAGGAUCAACAAGGUUAUACUUUGGUGCCUCAAGUUGACAUUUCCAAAGUUUGGCAACAACACAAGGUUUAGCCGCCUGUUUAAUAAUAAAAAUAAAAUGUUACAAAUAAUAAAUACUCCGUAACAUAUAUACAAAGAAACUCAAUAAAAAUAGCCAAUGUAAAUACAACAAAAAAUGGAAGGAAGUGCAGUGUAGCCAAUAGUGUAUGUUUCUAUUACUGAACUAGACAAUGGGGGAAGCAUACACUAGAUACAAAUACGAGUUCAGUAACUACAUUACUCCUUACCUCAUGUUAAAUAGGAAGAAUGUGUUCACUUUGUUGAUGAUAUCAACAUGUCAAUAUAUCAAGUAUUAUAAACAUCAAUAGGCUACACAAAACCAAAGCAGCAUUGCAACAGACUUCCAUACCUGCGAUUCAGGAUAUAUAGAUAAUUCAAGCUUUACAGGUCUUGUCGGACUCUGUGCCUCACGGGGUAAAAUAACUAUCCAGCUGGGUAAAAGAUUCAAGUUAAUAUAGAGACACAUACAUAGGAGAUUACCCUCACAACUAUGUGCUUGUGGUACAAGAAGGAGGUCCUCGGAAUAUUACAUCUUUCUAGUCAUGACCUGAGGAGGACCACAAUUCUCCCUCAUCCAUCCAGAAAAAAGUGAAAUCUGUCCCUGAAAAUAAUUAAGAAUGAAACAGCACCCAAUAAAAAAACUAUAGAAUAAUAAUAACCAAUGAAAAUGAGCAGGUCACUAGAAAUACGGUAAAGCAAAAUAUUACAUGAAGAAACAAAGAUACCUCUAUGGCCCUUACAACAUUCAGAUGGCCCUUUCCUCUAGCCACAUCUAAAGCGGUAUUGCAGUCAUCAUUUCUGACAAAGGGGUUAGCUGCAAAUAAAUCAUAAGCAAAAGGAUUUUAUUUAACAUAAAAAAUUCAAGUGGCAAAAACGUGAGGCAUGGUGAUAUAUGUUCUUCACAUACCUCCAUGUGACAGAAGUAACUGAACAGUAAGAUCAAGUCCUCUUUUCGCGGCAUGGUGCAGUGGGGUCCCAGCAUGUGAUCCUAAAAAACAGAAAAAAAAAGGGAGGCAUUACAAUAGCAACAAUAGAAAAUGGUGACUUAUUUAAUUAAGCAUGCAUCCAGUGAUAAUCCUAUGGACCCUAGUGUUUAACAACUUAGAAGGGUCACAUUUUAUUCAAGCAGAGUUUCAAUAUUGUAAGGUUGCAAUUCUCUUGAUUGAGUUGAUUCCGUUUUUCAUAACAUGCAAUGGUCAACCUAAUUAAACAUAAGCUGUUUUUUUUUUACUUGAGCACAAUCUGUGUUUGUUUUCUAUUUGACUGAGAAAUAACAGUAAGAAACUUCAAGGUGCCUUUUCAUUUCGCAAAGUAUGUGCAGCUUUUACACCCUUGGGAAAUGGUCAUGUCAAAAUUAAGUCACUUUUGGUUGAAUUACCUUAUCACAAUAGACUUCAAAUAAUUCCUAGAUCCAAACUAAGAAUAAUAACAAAUUCGUAUUCACUUCAUUACCACAAAUCGUCUGUUAUGCCUAGGAAUAAUGGAGAUAUAAUCAACUAAAGCAAUAAAAUACACUAAGUUGAUACGAGAAGAGGAUAUGUACCUGGACGGAAUGCGUUCAAAUUGGCACCUAAGGUUAUUAGGAGCCUCGCCACGUUAAGCAGAUCAGGGCGCAUGCUGGCGACCAUCAGGGGCGUCUUUCCUUCCUUGUUAAUCCACUGCAAGCAAAAAAAAAAAAUCAACCCCAACAAGAUAAAUUAACUCAUCUGGAUCCCAUGUAUCUAUACCUAAUAAUAAUAAAGCGGCUAUUGCUUUCGUCGGAAAACUCACCGCGGUAUUUUUAUAAAAAAGCCCUUGUAAUUUUUGUUAUUCAACCCGCGCUCCAUCAUUUAUCUGCAACGUAAAAGAAAAAAAAUGAUUCGCUGCAAAAAUUAUACCCGUACGCAUCGCCUCCUUCCGUCGACUCUGGGCCACCCUGGCCUGUGCCCAGGCCGCCGACACACCACUCGCCGCCGCGGCCGACCUCAACCGCCACCGCUGCCGAUCUCAACCCACCCGCCUCCGCGGCCGUACCUCUCCCCACUCACUGCCCCCGUUGCAGCGCUCGAGCGCAUCGCGUCGACCCUGGUCCACCCUGGCCUGUGCCCAGGCCGCUGCCACACCACUCAUCGCCGCGGCCGACCUCAACCACCACUGUUGCCGAUCUCAACCCACCCGACUCCGCGGCCGUACCUCUGCCCUCUUGAUGCCCCCUUUUCGGCGCUCGAGCACAGCUUCUGGAUCAAAUCAACGCGACAGCUACAGUGACUGGGGAUGAUGCGUCUGCUCGAUGCAGAACGACGGCGGCGCGGCGGAGCGAAGUACUUGCAGGUGGAGGCGGGCCUCCAUGGCUCACAUGGGGAACUCCGAGGUUAUGGCGCGGCAACGGCGACUCCUUAUGGCCAGAUAGAGGCGUCUAACCCUUGCUCCCCUCAUCGUAUCCCCUCCUCCGGCAGGAACUCAUCAUCUGGUGAGAUCCCCUCCCCAUGCCUCCAACCGUGUGCCAAGUACCGGCAAGACAUUUUGUUUUGUGGGGAUUUGUUUGCUGAUGAAUGAAUGUAUUGAAUGUAAGAUUGUAUUGUUGUAGAGACAGAGAAUGGAACACCACCUUCAGUUUGUCAUCUGAUCCUACAUUCUCUACCCCAUGAGUGAAAUAAUAUAACAGUCCACUGAUCAAUUCACGUAACCUCUCCUCUUUGUUUUGCUUUGCUUGUCCCGCUCAAUUUCUCAUCAUGGUGGAAUUAACAAUGGACGGGUUGAUUGCUCAACAAAAUAGGAUAGGACUAACUACAUUAGUUAGUUAGCUUAUUAUUUUAAUAAAUCAAAAAGAUUAUAAAAAGAUUAAAAGCGUGUGAUAUUUUUUUCUUCCGUUGCAACGCACGGACCCUUUUGCUAGUAUAAACAAUAUGCUGUCGAAACAUCAGAAAACGAUCAUCGCCAAAGAAAGAAAAGGCUGGAAAGGCAGCGAAAUUGUUAUCCUUGCCUCGACGCCUGCACCCUGCGCCCGGAGGUUUCGAAUCCCCUCGACGUUGCCGUAAUUCACCUGCUGGAAGAGCAGCUCCGCCUUGGAUUGCCGUAACCCCAUUUACUCGCCGGACUGUGCAAAAUUGAGGAAUAAAUGAAGAGCAGUUCCCUUGGAUAGGAGUUUCUCUAACUAGAGGUGGCACGUACGAAAUCUGUGCAACUCAGAGGAAAAAGAUCGUGGGCUUGGAAAGCCGGGAAACCCUACCUCGGCCGCGGAAGAAAAUUGCGAGGGAUUGAUGUUAGACCCUAAGAUGAUCUAGCUAGAAAAUGGUAUAGGAAGGAGAGGGGUGUGAGCGAGGAAGAGAACAGAGAGAAAGGAGAAGUGAUUUUUUUCAGAGAAAGAGAAAGGAGAAGUGAUGUUGCUGCAAACUCUCCACUCCUCAUAGCAUCUCUAGCCGGUGAGCUAUCCCGUCCCCAGCCCAUUUAGGACUUAUUUGGUUCACAACCGCUUUUUCUGGUUGCUGGGUAGAGAUGCUUAUCUCACCCUCUUCAUCAUCAUCAUCCAGUCCCUCUUCAAUAUUCAGAAACGUGCUCUCUCUCUCGGAAGGCUCGUCGACAUUAUCAACUUGAGUAAGAAUAGGAUGUUGAGAAGGCUCACAUGACCUAAAGUUCAAAGUUGCUUUAGCUGUUUGUCCUACACAAGGAAAAAUAACAUAAGAGAUCAAUUAAACAUAAAUGUGACAACCUGCAUAACUCGAUAUAAAGAAGUUCAGCUCACCAUCAUAUAGCUCUCCUAAAGCAUCAAACAAUGUUGGAGCGAAAAUUCUUCACUUUAGGAAAUUACUAAAAAGAGAAGAAAUUAAUUGGUGAAUAUCCACACAAGAAUUUAUCUCUCAGGCGGCUAGAUGAAGACAUAAGUAACUUGCAACGAGAAUAUUUUCCCACAAUGCAGGUUCAGCCACCACCAUCUUCCUUGAGUCAUCCCAUGAGAUUCCGCUUUGCAUCCUUGCUUCUUUGAGGAAGUGAUAGUCCCUUUUGAGAUCCUUUUCCUUAUUUUGUGUUUGCAGCUUUGUGAUUAAAGCAUAUGGAUGCUUAUCUUUCAUUUCUCUUGUUAUCUUGUUCCAUGCUUCACUAGACAUCCAUUGUCUCCCCUAAAUGAUGGGUUUUUAUGCUCAUGAAGCAACUCAACUAGAGUCUUCUCUUGUCCAAAAGUCCAUGAUGCUCUAGCUUUUGGAGAUGUCCCUUUCCUUUUUGUACUACAAGCUUUCGGUGUCAACUUCUUGGACGGAGCCAGGAACUUCUCAGAGAACCUCUUCCAAACAUCAUAGUUGUUGAGCAUAAUAAUGUGAGUAACAUUGUUAUUUAACUUAGUUAUGAAAAAAAUUAUGUGCUAACAAUUAUGGAAAGAAACAAAGAGUUCAGAUUACUAACUCUUUCCACAUCCUCACUCCUCCCCGUGUCUUCCUUACUAUUGUUGCCGAUAAAUGACAUAAUCUUCCCACAUCUUUACUGCAAUUGUGUCUCUAUCAUUAUCUCCAUCGACCAUUUGAGUACUCAACGACUCCACAUAAUUGUGGUAUUGAUUAUCACCUCCCGGGAGAUCAACAAAAUCUCUCGCUGGUAUGUUAUUGUGCUAAUUGUGUAACCACUCCUUGUCACCUUUAUGCAUUCGAAUGAUAUUAUGAAAAACCGCAGCAGCUGCCAGUAUCUUGACUUGGUUCUCUAUGCGAAGAAAUGUAUCAACUUUGAGGAUAGGAAAUCGUUUUUUCAAAAACCCGAGAGCCCUCUCUAUAUAAUUCCUUAAUAUAGCAUGACGAAGGUUGAAUAAUUCCUCGUAGUUCCUUGGUCGACAUUGACCACGUUGGAACUCUUUCAAGUGAUAUAUAACUCCAUGAUAUGGAGCAAGAAAUGAUGGUGUAUUAGCAUAGCCACCAUCAAUAAGGAAGAUUUACCUUCGGGAACUUCAAACCCAUUCUUCAAAGACGAUCUAAGGACUUACGCAUACGUUGCAGAUCCCUCCCGGCCACAUGAGAUGAAAGUGAAAUUUAAAUCAAAGUCGCAAGCCAACAUCACAUUGUGACUUAGUGUGCCCUUUCUAUUCCUAUAUGGAGCAGCUUUGUCUCCGCUUAUAGUAAUAAGGAUAUGGGAACCAUCGAUUGCUCCAAUGCAAUUCUGCAAGGAGAAGGGUGAAGAAUGAUUUUGUGAUCUUGUGAGAAAAAAAUAACUAUUCGGCAAUCCAUUGUGACGCCCUCGUUUUAAUCGGACGCUAAUCAUACACGCAAAUGCAUAAGAUCAAACUCAAGGACUCACGGGAAGAUAUCACAACACAACUCUAGACACAAAUAAAACAUACGAGCUUCAUAUUACAAGCCAGGGGCCUCGAGAGCUAGAAUACAGAAGCAUGAUAAACACACGAGUCAACGGAAGCAAGAAAUAUCUGAGUACAUACAUUAAACAUGGGGAAUCUUAGAGAAGGCUAGCACAAAAGAUACAAUGAUCAAACGAGGCGAGGCCUCCUGCCUGGGAACCUCCUAACUACUCCUGGUCUUCAGCGGCCUCCACGUAGUAGUACGCACCAUCGGGGUAGCAGUCGUCGUCGGCGAGAUACUCCAUCUCGUGGGCUCCAUCAUCUGGUCGCAGCAACGGAUAAGGGGACAGAGGGGGAGCAAAGCAACGGUGAGUACUCAUCCAAAGUACUCGCAAGACUGACAUCAAAACUAUGCUAAGCAUGCAACAGUAUAAAAGAAAGGGGUUUUAUAUGUGGACUGACUGCAGCAAUGCGAGAAAGAGAGGGGAGGCCUAGUCCUAUUGAAGACUAGCAUCUUCAGGGGUCUUGCAGCAAUAGACGAGAGUAGAACAGGUAACACAAUUAAUAGUCAUAUUGUUGCAACAAUAUUAAUAUUAGGUCAUGCCCACAGAUUCUCCCUCAACUCCCUGCGAGGAAGCAAUCUCGGAGCAACUAAUCCAGUUAAGUAAUAGUUGUAGUUGUAUAAGAUCAGGGCACAACUCCAAGUCAUCCUGUAACCGUGGACACGCUAUCCGAAUAGUUAAUUUUCAUCCCUGCAGGGGUGCACCAAGUUUUCCGUCAUGCUCGAUAACACUCUGGCCGGACACACUUUUUUGGGUCAUGCCCGGCCUUGGAAUAUCGACACGUUGCAACCCCACCUAAGCUCACCACAGAGGCCAGCCCGUCGGUCUAAAUCCUAAGCACAAAGGGGUCGUGGGCCCACUUGCCCUUUGCGCUCUUGCACGGUGCAAGGGUGGCCGAUGUCAGUCCUAGCACCCCUUAAUACAAGCGCGAUGCAUCUCGGGACCACUCGGGCGCGCGCCGCUCCAUUGCUGACGUCUGAAAAGCUUCGGUUGAUACCACGACGCCGAGUACCCAUUACUUCUCAUGCGUAGCCAGUUAGUGCGAAAAGGUCUCCGACCAACCCACAUCAAAUACCCAAAAUCCAUUAACAUUUUAUUUAACUCAUCGACACAUCCACGCGGGAAUCCAUCCGCCUAACAUCUAUUCAUCAAAGAUCCCAGCAACAAGGUCAAGUAAUUGUGUGGUUGUAAAAUCCGGGGGGGGGGGAUCCGAGGUACCACCCUCGUUGGAUCCCGAACGAUGUAACCGUCAAGGUGGACUUAGAGGAAUCACCCUCGAGGGUCUCACACUUGAGGGGUUGCACGACAGAGUCGUCGUCGGGAGUGGUGAAGGAGAGGAAUCACCCUUGAUAACUGAUACGUCCAUUUUGCAUCAUGUUUUCAUGUUGACAUUUAUCGCUUUUUGGGCUGUUAUUUCACUUCACGGUACAAUACUUAUGCCUUUUCUCUCUUAUUUUGCAAGGUUUACAUGAAGAGGGAGAAUGCCGGCAGCUGGAAUUCUGGCCUGAAAAAGGAGCAAGUUUGAGAUACCUAUUCUGCGCAACUCCAAAUGCUAUGAAAAUCAACGGGGAAUUAUUUUGGAUUUUAUGAAAAAUACUGGGCGGAAGAAGUACCAGAGGGGCGCCACCAGGAGGCCAUAAGCCUGCCAGACCCGGCCUACCCCCUGGCCGGGCCUGGGUGGCUUGUGGGCCCCCUGUUGCCCAUCCGGCGCUCAUCUUUUGCUAUAUGAAGGGUUUCGUUCCAGAAAAAAACAGGAGGAGGCUUUUCGGAGGAUUCACCGCCGCCAUGAGGCGGAACUUGAGCAGAACCAAUCUAGUGCUCCGGCAGGACGAUCCUGCCGGGGAAACUUCCCUCCCGGAGGGGGAAAUAGUUGCCAUCGUCAUCACCAACACUCCUCUCAUAGGAGGGGACUCAUCACCAUCAACAUUUUCAUCAGCACCAUCUCAUCCCCAAACCCUAGUUCAUCACUUGUAACCAAUCUCCGUCUCGCGACUCCCAUUGGUACCUGUAAGGUUGCUAGUAGUGUUAAUUACUCUUUGUAGUUGAUGCUAGUUGGAUUACUUGGUGGAAGAGUUUAUGUUCAGAUCUUUGAUGCUACUCAUUACCUCUCUGGUCAUGAAUAUGAUUAUGCUUUGUGAGUAGUUACUUUUGUUCCCGAGGACAUGGGAUAAGUCAUGCUAAUAGUAGUCAUGUGAAUUUGGUAUUCGUUCGAUAUUUUGAUGUGUUGUAUGUUGUUUUUCCUCUAGUGGUGUUAUGUGAACGUCGACUGCAUAACACUUCACCAUUAUUUGGGCCUAGAGGAAGGCAUUGGGAAGUAGUAAGUAGAUGAUGGGUUGCUAGAGUGACAGAAGCUUAAACCCUAGUUUAUGCGUUGCUUCGUAAGGGGUUGAUUUGGAUCCACUAGUUUAAUGCUAUGGUUAGACUUUGUCUUAAUUCUUCUUUCGUAGUUGCGGAUGCUUGCGAGAGGGGUUAAUCAUAAGUGGGAUGCUUUUCCAAGUAAGGGAAGUACCCAAGCACCGGUCCACCCACAUAUCAAACUAUCAAAGUAACAAACGCGAAUCAUAUGAAUAUGAUGAAAACUAGCAUGACAGAAAUUCCCGUGUGUCCUCGGGAGCGUUUUCCUCCUAUAAGACUUUGUCCAGGCUUGUCCCUUGCUACAAAAGGGAUUGGGCCACCUUGCUACACCGUGGUUACUUUUGUUACUUGCUACUUGCUACGAAUCAUCUCACCACAUAACCACUUGUUACCGAUAAUUUCAGUGCUUGCAGAUAUUACCUUGCUGAAAACCACUUGUCAGAUCCUUCUACUCCUCGUUGGGUUUGACACUCUUACUUAUCGAAAGGACUACGAUAGAUCCCCUAUACUUGUGGGUCAUCAAGACUCUUUUCUGGCACCGUUGCUGGGGAGUGAAGCGCCUUUGGUAAGUGGAACUUGGUAAGGAAACAUUCAUAUAGUGUGCUGAAAUUUAUUGUCACUUGUCACUAUGGAAACUAAUCCUUUGAGGGGCUUGUUUGGGGUAUCUUCACCUCGAACGGAAGCGCAAAGAGUUGCUCCUCAACCUGCUGCACCUACUGAAUAUAUUUGCUUUGAAUUUCCUUCGGGUAUGCUUGAGAAACUGCUGGCUAAUCCUUUUACAGGAGAUGGAACAUCACAUCCAGACUUGCAUCUAAUCUAUGUAGAUGAAGUUUGUGGUUUAUUUAAGCUUGCAGGUUUGCUCGAGGAUGAGGUCAAGAAGAAGGUCUUUCCUUUAUCUUUGAAGGAUAAGGCGUUGACAUGGUAUAGGCUAUGUGAUGAUACUGGAUCAUGGAACUACAAUCGGUUGAAAUUGGAAUUUCAUCAAAAGUUUUAUCCUAUGCAUUUAGUACAUCGUGAUCAGAAUUAUAUUUAUAAUUUUUGGCCUCGUAAUAGAGAAAGCAUCGCUCAAGCAUGGGGGAGGCUUAAAUCAAUGUUAUAUUCAUGCCCCAACCAUGAGCUCUCGAGAGAAAUUAUCAUUCAAAACUUCUAUGCUCGACUUUCUCAUGAAGAUCGCACCAUGCUUUACACUUCUUGUACCGGAUCUUUUAUGAAGAGAGAUAUUGACUUCAAAUGGAAUUUAUUGGAGAGAAUUAAACGCAACUCUAAAGAUUGGGAGCUUGAAGAAGGUAAGGAGUCAGGUAUGAAUUUCAAGUUUGAUUGCGUUAAAUCCUUUGUUAAAACAAAUACUUUUUGUGACUUUAGCGCUAAGUAUGGACUUGACUCUGAGAUAGUAGCUUCAUUGUGUGAAUCAUUUGCUGCUCAUAUUGAUCUCCCCAAAGAGAAGUGGUUUAAAUAUCAUCCUACUUUAGAAGUCAAUGUAGUUAAACCCAAUCCAGUUGAAGAGAGAGUCAUUGCCUAUAAUGAUCCUGUUGUUCCCAGUGCUUACAUUGAUAAACCACCUUUCCCUGUUAGGAUAAAGGAUCAUUCUAAAGCUUCAACUGUGAUACGUAGAGGCUACAUUAGAACACCUACACCCCCUGAGCAAAUUAGAGUUGAACCUAGCAUUGCUAUUAUCAAAGAUCUUCUGUCCGACGAUGUUGAGGGACAUAAUAUUCACUUAUGUGAAGAUGCUGCUAGAAUUGCUAAACCUCAUGCUAGAGACAAACAUAGGCCUGUUGUUGGCACGCCUGUUGUUUCUGUUAAGAUAGGAGAUCAUUGCUAUGAUGGUUUAUGUGACGUGAGUGCUAGUGUUAGUGCAAUACCUCAAUCCUUAUAUGAUGAAAUCAAAGAUGAGAUUGCACCUAUUGAGAUAGAGCCUAUUGAUGUCACUAUUCAGCUUGCCAAUAGAGAUACUAUCUGCCCUGUAGGAAUUGUUAGGGAUGUUGAAGUCUUGUGUGGUAAAACAAAGUAUCCUGCUGAUUUCCUCGUUCUUGCUACCCCCCCAAGAUAGCUUUUGCCCAUCAUAUUUGGCAGACCCUUCCUCAAUACCGUCAAUGCUCAUAUUGACGGUGAGAAGCAAACUGUCACUGUUGGUUUUGAAGGUGUGUCACAUGAGUUCAAUUUCUCCAAGUUUGGUAGACAACCUCAUGAGAAGGAGUUGCCUAGUAAGGAUGAAACUAUUGCCUUAGCUUCUAUUGCUGUGCCUCCUACUGAUCCCUUAGAGCAAUACUUGCUUGAGCAUGAAAAUGAUAUGCAUAUGGAUGAAAGGGAUGAGAUAGAUAGAGUUGUCUUAGAACAAUAUCCUAUCCUUAAGAAUAAUCUGCCUGUUGAACUGCUUGGGGAUCAACCCCCACCAAAGGGUGAUCCUAUGUUCGAGCUUAAACAGUUGCCUGAUACUCUUAAGUAUGCUUGAUGAAAAAGAGAUAUACCCUAUCAUAAUUAGUGCUAGCCUCUCAGAGCUUGAAGAAAAGAAAUUACUAAAAACUCCGAGGAAGCAUCGUGCUGCUAUUGGAUAUACUCUUGAUGAUACUAAGGGCAUUAGUCCCAUUCUAUGCCAGCACAAGAUUAAAACUGAUCCUGGUUCCAAAACAGUUGCUGAUCAUCAAAGGAGAUUAAAUCCUAAGAUGAAAGAGGUAGUAAGAAAAGAAAUACUAAAGCUCCUGGAAGCAGGUAUUAUCUAUCCUGUUGCUCAUAGUGAUUGGGUGAGUCCGGUGCAUUGCGUCCCUAAGAAGGGAGGUAUUACCGUUGUCCCUAAUGAUAAGUAUGAAUUGAUUCCACAGAGGAUUAUUACUGGCUAUAGGAUGGUCAUCGAUUUUAGGAAAUUGAAUAAAGCCACUAGGAAAGAUCAUUACCCUCUGCCUUUUAUCGACCAAAUGCUAGAAAGGUUGUUUAAACACACACACUUCUGCUUUCUAGACGGUUAUUCUGGAUUCUCCCAAAUACCAGUCGCACAAUCUGAUCAGGAGAAAAACACUUUCACCUACCCUUUCAGUACCUUUGCUUAUAGACGUAUGCCUUUUGGCUUAUGUAAUGCACGUGCCACCUUUCAAAGAUGUAUGAUGGCUAUAUUCUCUGACUUCUGUGAAAAGAUUGUCGAGGUUUUCAUGGAUGACAUCUCCGUUUACGGGUCUUCUUUUGAUGACUGCCUCAACAACCUUGAUCGGGUCUUGUAGAGAUGUAAAGACACCAAUCUUGUCUUGAAUUGGGAAAAGUGCCACUUUAUGGUUAAUGAAGGCAUCAUCUUAGGACAUAAAAUUUCUGAAAGAGGUAUUGAAGUCGAUAAGGCUAAGGUUGAUGCAAUUGAGAAAAUGCCAUACCCCACAGAUAUUAAAGGUAUAAGAAGUUUCCUUAGUCAUGCUGGUUUCUAUAGAAGGUUUAUUAAAGACUUCUCUAAGAUAUCUAGGCCCCUUACCAAUCUCUUGCAAAAGGAUAUUCCUUUUGUUUUUGACGAUGAUUGUGAGGAAGCCUUUGACAUACUUAAGAAGGCUUUGAUAACUGCACCUAUUGUUCAACCACCUGAUUGGAAUUUACCUUUUGAAAUCAUGUGUGAUGCUAGUGAUUAUGCUAUUGGUGUUGUCCUAGGGCAAAGAGUUGAUAAGAAGUUGAAUGUUAUUCAGUAUGCUAGUAAAACUCUAGACAGUACCCAAAGAAACUAUGCUACUACGGAAAAGGAUUUUUUAGCAGUCGUGUUUGCAUGUGAAAAGUUCAGGUCUUACAUAGUUGAUAACAAAGUCACUAUUCACACUGAUCAUGCUGCUAUUAAGUACCUCAUGGAGAAGAAAGACGCUAAACCUAGACUUAUCAGAUGGGUUCUCUUGCUACAAGAAUUUGAUUUGCACGUUGUCGACAGGAAGGGUGCUGAUAACCCAGUAGCAAAUAACUUGUCUAGGUUGGAGAACGUUCUUGAUGACCCAUAACCUAUUGAUGAUAGCUUUCCUGAUGAGCAAUUAAAUGUCAUCAAUGCUUCACGUAGUGCAUCGUGGUAUGCUGAUUAUGCAAACUAUAUCGUUGCCAAAUAUAUACCACCUAGUUUCACAUACCAACAAAAGAAGAAAUUCUUCUUUGACUUGAGACAUUACUUUUGGGAUGAUCCUCACCUUUAUAAGGAAGGAGUGAUACGUCUCCGUCGUAUCUACUUUUCCGAACUGUUUUGCCCUUGUUUUGGACUCUAAUUUGCAUGAUUUGAAUGGAACUAACCCGGACUAACGCUAUUUUCAGCAGAAUUGCCAUGGUGUUGUUUUUGCGCAGAAAUAAAAGUUCUCGGAAUGACAUGAAAAUUUACGGAGAUUUUUUCUGGAUUUUAUGAAAAAUACUGGCGCAAGAAUCAGUGGAGGAAGUGGAGUCGUGAGCCCACAAGCCCACCAGGCGCGGGCCCCCUGGCCGCGCCUGGCAGGCUUGUGGGGCCCACAAAGCUCCACCGCCUCCAAAUCCAACUCUAUUUAGUCCGUCUCGCCCGGAAAAAUAAAAAAAUAGUUCAUUGUGUUUUACGAUACGGAGGCGCCGCCACCUCCUGUUCUUCAUCUGGAGGGCAGAUCUGGAGUCCGUUCUGGGCUCCGGAGAGGGGAGAUCGUCGCCAUCGUCAUCAUCAACCUUCCUUCAUCGUCAAUUUCAUGAUGCUCUUCACCGUUCGUGAGUAAUCUCAUCGUAGGCUUGCUGGACGGUGAUGGGUUGGAUGAUAUCUAUCAUGUAAUCGAGUUAGUUUUGACGGGGAUUGAUCCCUAGUAUCCACUAUGUUCUGAGAUUGAUGUUGGUACUACUUUGCCAUGCUUAAUGCUUGUCACUAUGGCCCGAGUGCCAUGAUUUCAGAUCUGAACCUAUUAUGUUGUCGCCAAUAUAUGUGUGUUCUUGAUCCUAUCUUGUAAGUGGUAGUAACCUACUAUGUGUUAUGACCCAGCAACCCCGAAGUGACAAUUGCCGGAACCACUCCCGGAGAUGACCAUAGUAUGAGGGGUUCAUGUAUUCACCAAGUGUUAAUGCGUUGGUCCGGUUCUUUAUUAAAAGGAGAACCUUAAUAUCCCGUCGUUUCCAUUAGGACCCCGCUGCCAUGGGAGGGAUGAACAAUAGAUGUCAUGCAAGUUCUUUUCCCUAAGCACGUAUGACUACAUACGAAAUACAUGCCUACGUUAGAUUGACGAACUCCAGCUAGUUACAUAUCUCUCCGUGUUAUAACUGAUACAUGAUGAAUAGCAUCCGGCAUAAUCAUCCAUCACCGAUCCAAUGCCUACGAGUUUUUCCUACUGGUCCUUGCUACGUUACUUUGCCGCUACUGAUGUCACUGCUGCUACUGUUACUCUGUUGCUACUGCUGUUACUUUGCUACUACUGGUUACUGUUGCUACUGCUGCUAUCACCCUACUUUACUACUGAUACUUUGCUGCAGAUACUAAAUCUUUCAGGUGUGGUUGAAUUGACAACUCAACUGCUAAUACUUGAGAAUAUUCUUUCGCUUCCCCUUGAGUCGAAUCAAUAAAUUUGGGUUGAAUACUCUACCCUCGAAAACUGUUGCGACCCCCUAUAUUUGUGGGUUAUCAAGACUAUUUUCUGGCGCCAUUGCCGGGGAAGCACAGCUAUAUUCUCCGAGUCACUUGGGAUUUACGUCUGCUGAUCACUAUGAGGAAUCCGAUAGAUCCAAGAACUAAAGUCUUGCCCUCCACUACGAGGACAGGUAAGGAACUGCUAUCUAGCUCUACACUUGAUUCACGUUCAGUUAUGAGUAAGUUUGCGACACCACCUCCUGCUAGAAACCUUGAUAUGUCGCGUGUGCUUGAUGAUGCUACUUCUGUUGCCCAUGAUGCUAUGGUUGAUACUGCUUUGCCUGAUGACGCUAUGCUUGAUACUGCUUUGCCUGAUGAUGCUAUGCUUGAUACUGCUUUGCCACUAGGUGCAUUCCUUACUGCACAAAUUGCUAGAGUUGCUGCUAGAUGUGAUGAUACUUCUGAAACUGCUGAUACUAUUGAAGUAGAACCUGCUAUUAUGCCUGAAUUGCCUGAUAUGCCUGAGCGUUAUGUUAUGGAGGGAGAGAUAGCCGAGGAUUUUCUUGUGUGUAAGGAUAGCUAUGAUGUUGAGAAAUUACUGCUCAAGUGGAAAGAAAAAUCUCUGAACGCUAGGAUGAAAUACGACCCGAAGUUUGCUACUUCGCCUAUCUUUGUGACCGAUAAGGAUUAUGAAUUCUCUGUCGACCCUGAGUUAAUCACUCUAAUCGAAUCUGAUCCUUUUCACAGUUAUGAGUCUGAAACGGUCGUAGCACAUCUUACCAAACUGCACGAUAUAGCCACCCUAUUCACUAGCGAGGAAAAGAUCCGCCACUACUAUAUCCUCAAGUUGUUUCCUUUCUCGCUAAAGGAUGAUGCUAAGACUUGGUUCACUUCUCUUGAUGCUGGUUGUGUGCGUAGCCCCCAGGAUAUGGUCUACUACUUCUCUGAAAAAUAUUUCCCUGCCCAUAAGAAGCAAGCUGCCUUGCAGGAAAUAUACAACUUUGCUCAAGCUGAAGAAGAGAGUCUCCCACAAGCUUGCAUGCCUGCNNNNNNNNNNNNNNNNNNNNNNNNNNNNNNNNNNNNNNNNNNNNNNNNNNNNNNNNNNNNNNNNNNNNNNNNNNNNNNNNNNNNNNNNNNNNNNNNNNNNCGCGGAUUCAAGGCGGCACCGUUAGGCCUCGUUUGGUUAAGGGGGGAUUGGGGAGGUUUUGGAAGGAAAAUCCGCGGGAGGGACAAAAACCUAACAGAUCCUCGGACGCCCAUUUGGUACGAGGGGUUUGCUUAGCCCAAUCCCCUCCGUUCCCCUUCAAUCCCUUCCUAUCCAUGUGUUUCAAAACCCCUUCUCGACGGACUAGUGGAAGCAAAGCCUCGGAAAUUUGGAAGGAUUUGAUGAAAUAAAGGGAUUCACCCAAUCCACUGAAAUCACUCACUCUCAAAACCUCCCCAAUCCNNNNNNNNNNNNNNNNNNNNNNNNNNNNNNNNNNNNNNNNNNNNNNNNNNNNNNNNNNNNNNNNNNNNNNNNNNNNNNNNNNNNNNNNNNNNNNNNNNNNNNNNNNNNNNNNNNNNNNNNNNNNNNNNNNNNNNNNNNNNNNNNNNNNNNNNNNNNNNNNNNNNNNNNNNNNNNNNNNNNNNNNNNNNNNNNNNNNNNNNNNNNNNNNNNNNNNNNNNNNNNNNNNNNNNNNNNNNNNNNNNNNNNNNNNNNNNNNNNNNNNNNNNNNNNNNNNNNNNNNNNNNNGGUGUACACGAAAUUAAUUGACAGCCAGCACACGACGAAUCGGUUGGUAUCCGGCGGAAACAUAAACAUGCAGAUGCAGGUGACGAUCAUAGUAUACAGCAAGGAUGAUGGCCGAAACGCCCCUUCCACGACGCCUCCCUUCCCCUCCCCNCUCCCUCUCGCUCCGGGCUUAAAAAGUACGUGGUGCUCCGCACGUCCAACCCAGGCCUCCUGGUUUCCCGCGCGCCAAACUUAGCCUCCCCCUCUCCCUCUCCUACCCUCUCCUUCCUCCAUCUCUCCUCUGUGGGAAGGCUUUGGAUCCCUCGAUCUCCAGGGCCUUCCUUCUCCUCCGACUGCCGUACGUAUCGCCUAACCCACCACCACUAUCCACAUCGUCUCCUCCGUCCAUCC